Molecule: long non-coding RNA, 93537 nt
Filed under: Triticum aestivum (bread wheat)
Lineage: Eukaryota; Viridiplantae; Streptophyta; Magnoliopsida; Poales; Poaceae
Description: long non-coding RNA (TAES_LNC024057)
Source: RNAcentral
UUUUUUCCUCACACUUUUUUUUCUUUCUCUUUUUUUCUGACUUUUUUUUCUCUCUCUUUUUUUUCUCUGUCUUUUUUUUCUCUCCCCCUUUCCAAGACAAACUAGAUAAGAUGCAGAUUGGAUCAAGCGAAGAUGUGAACGACCUCAACUAUGAUUGUGACAAUGAACUAUGGGUAGCACAUGGUGGAAUUUGAUGGAUGGUGUGGUGGACAGCCGAAGGGAUAACGAUGCAGCGGCGACGUGACUAAUGUGAACAGAACUCGAAACUCUAAACGAACUAGACCCUAAGACCAGCAACUCGACACGACGAUGCAACCGAUAAUUCAGUAAUGCAAACAAUGAAUAGAAAAUUGCAAAGGCUCAGACUGGCUUGGACAAAAGGUAAGAAAAUAAAUCUAAUCUAGGGGAAACUGGAAAUUCUCACCGAGCAACCUGAAAACUGAUACCACUUGAUAGAGGCGAGGGUGUCCCGAUCUUUCGAUGAGAUGAUAACUAUCGAUUUGGUGGAGACGACUUUGACGUCCGACUACAAACGUGCACGACGUUGCGCCUUAUCAAUCGCUAAACCAAUCUCCUGAGGUUACUGACGAUGCCGGAAGCACGAUCAGCCUGACCACGAAGGUCUAUUCCUGCAAGCAAUCGAAGAACGAGCAAGAAUAUGAUAAUGCAAUCUGAAUAUUGCGAAUAUAUAUGAAGUAUUGAUAGUGGUGGGAAUCCGUAAGCGGUCUUGGUCUGGUCGUUGGACACAAACGAAGUACACGAAGUUGCAAUGGCUAACUUUUAACUAAACAAAUUCCAAGGAAAAAGCUACUAGAUGGAUCUACUUAUAUAGGAGCAAGGGGUGGCGGCCAAGGAGGUGGGAGGACGUCCCAAGGCAGCCUAAAACCAACCCUAGGUCCUACAAGGCUCAUGGGCCCAAGUGGAGGUGAUGCAACACCUUUGGACUUGUAGUUUGACUCGGAUUCUGGUACAACGUCAGAUUGUUUCGACCAUAACUCAAUGCUCCGGACGAAUUUAAAGGUGAAUCCAAUUGGGUUGGAAAGAGCACGAAAUCUAGUUUCCAACAAAAAAAGAAUCACCCAAUUCGGAGUCCGUAUGAAAAAGUUGUUGGCGUUUUGAGUCAGGUAUGUCUGUGCAGUCCGAAUCUGAAUCCAGAACGUGAGAGACUUGGACUCUAUCUUCUCUUGGCCCAAAAGUGACGUGAGAGGACUUUUUGAACAGAACCUAAACUUCUCCUUUUGCCUUAUCUUCAUAUGUGGAUUGUACAAAUGUCCCAUACACCUGCAAUUAGACAAAACACAAAAGUGUGUGAAGUAUUUUUGUUCUGGAUAACAUAAAUAGAUUAUUGAAUAGUUUGCACUAUAAAUCACCUGACAAAUAUGCAUGUAUGCAAUAUUUUUGGUCGUAUGCAAGGUAGUCAUGUCCUCAUCAGUUUGACCUGGGAAGAGUUUUGAGACACUCGCCAUUAUAGUGAUUUUUCACAAAAAAAAGAGCGCAAAAAAAAAAGAGCACGAAAAAAAAGAGCAAAAAAAAUUCCAGGGUGUGCUUUUCCCUUGUUUACGUGCAGCGCCGUGAUUUUGUUAGUGUUCUAGGCUCGCGUCUCUAGCACGGUCUAGCCUAGGACCAGCACAGUACCGUCGUUGAGCGUUUAUUCAACUUUGCAUCUCUGAAUUGAUUAUUGCUGACCAUUUUUGCUACCAUAUUAUAAGCCUUCCCAGCUCCACAUACAUCUACAUCGUGCGUUUGACUCUCCCUGGUAAUCGCUCUAUCCAAGCUUUGAGAGUUUUGACUACAACGGUUGCCGAUCACCACCUGCUGCUGGGUAAGAACUGGUAAGAAUUUGAGAUUCGCUUGAAGGAUUUGUGACACACCACCAUCACCACCACUUCCUAGUAGUCCGUAGGAUCAUAUUCUUUUGUGUUUCUAUUGCUGCUAACCAUGGCAGGAUCACAAGCCGAUGAGACUGAUUGGGAGAACAUGACGAACAAGGAGUUGCAUGAUAAAUUUCAGCAAAUGAUGAGUGGCCAGGUGGGAGAUGUGCUAAACAGAUUUGAAGAGGCUAUGGAGAAGAUAGAUGCCGUGGAGAAGUCGUUCGAGACAAAGCUGGAUAACAAGUUUACUGAAUUACUCAAGCGUCUUCCCCAACCACCACCGGCUGCAUAUGUCGCACCUCUACAACAACAACAACCACAUCUCCAACGCUGCCUUCCAAAUCAAGUGGGACGAGCACAGCGCGUUCCAAUUGAGACUGGUCAAAAUUCGGGUGCCGCUGCACCUACUGUUGAUGCUUCUUUGGCUCCUGCUACUGCGGCGGCUGAGGAGGAUGACGAUUAUGCGGGCGAUUAUGAGGAUGAGGUUGAUCAAAAUCAGAACUACGUGCAGCCACCAGCACCACCACCAGCAGGUCGACCUCAGGUAUAUAUUCGCAACGGUAGGCCAGCACCACCACCUCAGGUACGAGAUCAUGACCAUCUCCCUAAACUGAAAUUGAAUAUUCCACCAUUUGAGGGUAGAUAUGUUCCUGAUAUAUAUCUUACUUGGGAGUUAGAAACUGAACAACGAUUUACAUGUUUACAAUAUCCUGAGGAGAGACGUGUUCCUGCUGCUGUUUGUGCUUUUACUAGCUUUGCAUGUGUUUGGUGGUCUGAACAUUGUAGAUUAUAUCCUGUUCCAGCUACUUGGGCUGGUUUGAAAACUGCUAUGCGUACUCGUUGGGUUCCACCAUAUUAUCAACGUGAAUUACUUCAAAAAUGCAGCGCUUAAGACAAGGGAAAAUUAUGUAGAAGAAUAUUAUCAGGAAUUACAAACUGGCAUGAUUAGAUGUGGUAUUGUUGAGGAGAAUGAAGCUAUGCUUGCACGUUUUAUGGGUGGAUUAAAUAAAGAGAUUCAGACCAUUCUAGAGUAUAAGGAUUAUAAUAAUAUCACUCGUUUAUUCCAUCUUGCUUGUAAAGCUGAACGUGAAGUGUAGGAUCGACAGGCAUUGGCGCGAACUAACUUUUCUGCAGGUCGACCUUCAUCAUGGACACCACGUGCAUCCUCUACUUCCACUUCACCAUCACCUCCAUCAGCUGCCACCUCCAGCCGUGAUACAAGAAAGCAGGCACAACCACCACUCUCUGCCAAGAGCACACCUGCCGGGCCUGCGCAGAGCUCUUCUUCUUCCAUGGCGUCAACAGGGCACACAAGUGAUAUUAUUUGUCGUCGUUGUAAGGGAAGAGGACAUUAUGCGAGAGAAUGCAAAUCUCAGCGUGUGAUGAUUGCUACUGAGGAUGGUGGGUAUGAGUCCGCUAGUGACUAUGAUGAGGAGACUUUGGCUCUUAUUACACGUGAAGAACAUGGUGGAGAUGAUUCUGAAAAUGAGACGCAAUACAUGGCUCCUGAAGACACUGACAGGUAUGAAUGUUUAGUUGCUCAACGUGUUUUGAGUGUGCAGGUCACACAAGCAGAGCAAAAUCAGAGGCAUAAUUUGUUCCAUACAAAGGGAGUUGUGAAGGAACGUUCUGUUCGCGUCAUCAUAGAUGGAGGGAGCUGUAACAACUUGGCUAGCAUGGAGAUGGUGGAGAAACUAUCUCUCACCACAAGACCACAUCCACAUCCUUACUACAUCCAUAAUUCUAUAGAAGAAUAUUAUCAGGAAUUACAAACUGGCAUGAUUAGAUGUGGUAUUGUUGAGGAGAACGAAGCUAUUCUUGCACGUUUUAUGGGUGGUUUAAAUAGAGAGAUUCAGACCAUUCUAGAGUAUAAGGAGUAUACUAAUAUCACUCGUUUAUUCCAUCUUGCUUGUAAAGUUGAACGUGAAGUGCAGGAUCGACAAGCAUUGGCGCGAACUAACUUUUCUGCAGGUCGACCUUCAUCAUGGACACCGCGUGCAUCUUCUACUUCCACUGCACCAGCACCUCCAUCAGGUUCCACCUCCAGCCGUGAUACAAGAAAGCAGGCACAACCACCACGAUCUGCCAAGAGCACAGCUGCCGGGCCUGCACAGAGCUCUUCUUCUUCCAUGGCAUCAACAGGGCACACAAGUGAUAUUAUUUGUCGUCGUUGUAAAGGAAGAGGACAUUAUGCGCGAGAGUGCAAAUCUCAGCGUGUAAUGAUUGCUACUGAGGAUGGUGGGUAUGAGUCCGCUAGUGACUAUGAUGAGGAGACUUUGGCUCUUAUUACACGUGAAGAACAUGGUGGAGAUGAUUCUGAAAAUGAGACGCAAUACAUGGCUCCUGAAGACGCUGACAGGUAUGAAUGUUUAGUUUCUCAACGUGUUUUGAGUGUGCAGGUCACACAAGCAGAGCAAAAUCAGAGGCAUAAUUUGUUCCAUACAAAGGGAGUUGUGAAGGAACGUUCUGUUCGCGUCAUCAUAGAUGGAGGGAGCUAUAACAACUUGGCUAGCAUGGAGAUGGUGGAGAAACUAUCUUUCACCACAAGACCACAUCCACAUCAUUACUACAUCCAAUGGUUCAACAACAGCGGCAAGGUUAAGGUAACACGUACUGUUCGUGUGCAUUUUAGUAUCUCUACAUAUGCUGAUUAUGUUGAUUGUGAUGUGGUACCCAUGCAAGCAUGUUCCUUAUUACUUGGUAGACCAUGGCAAUUUGAUAAAAACUCUGUACACCAUGGUAGAAACAAUCGGUAUACUCUUGUUCAUAAGAAUAAAAAUAUUACUUUGCUUCCUAUGACUCCUGAUUCCAUUUUGAAAGAUGACAUUAAUAGAGCUAAUAAAGCAAAACAGGAGAAAAAUAAGAGUGAAAAUCAGAUUGUGGCAAAAGAAUUUGAGCAACAAAUGAAACCUAAUAAUAAACCGUCUAGUGUUGUUUCUGAAAUUAAAUUGAAAAGUGCAUGUUUACUUGCCACAAAAUCUGAUAUUGAUGAGCUAGAUUUCAACAAAUCUGUUUGCUAUGCUUUUGUGUGCCAAUAGGCAUUAUUUUCAUUCAAGGACGUGCCUUCCGCUUUGCCCCCUGCUGUCACUAACAUUUUGCCUAUUCCUUAUCGUCAUCCUAUUCCUAGGCUAGAUGAUAUGCUUGAUGAAUUGAGUGGCUCUACAAUCUUCUCCAAAGUUGUUUUGCGUAGUGGAUACCAUCAAAUUCGUAUGAAAUUGGGAGAUGAAUGGAAAACAGCAUUUAAAACUAAGUUUGGUUUAUAUGAGUGGUUAGUCAUGCCUUUUGGGUUAACUAAUGCACCUAGUACUCUCAUGAGACUAAUGAACGAAGUUUUACGUGCUUUCAUUGGACGAUUUGUGGUAGUCUAUUUUGAUGAUAUACUGAUUUAUAGCAAAUCUUUGGAAGAACAUUUGGAACAUUUACGUGCUGUUUUUAUUGCUCUACGUGAUGCACGUUUGUUUGGUAACCUUGGGAAGUGCACCUUUUGCACCGACCGAGUAUCUUUUCUUGGCUAUGUUGUUACUCCACAGGGAAUUGAAGUUGAUAAAGCCAAGAUUGAAGCUAUUGAGAGUUGGCUGCAGCCCAAAACGGUCACACAAAUGCGGAGUUUUCUUUGACUCGCUGGUUUCUAUAGGCGUUUUGUGAGAGAUUUUAGCACCAUUGCUGCACCUCUCAACGAGCUUACAAAGAAGGAUGUGCCUUUUGUUUGGGGUACCGCACAGGAAGAAGCCUUCACGGUAUUGAAAGAUAAGUUGACACAUGCUCCUUUACUCCAACUUCCUGAUUUUAAUAAGACUUUUGAGCUUGAAUGUGAUGCUAGUGGAAUUGGAUUAGGAGGUGUGUUAUUACAAGAUGGUAAACCUGUUGCAUACUUUUCUGAAAAAUUGAGUGGGCCUAGUCUGAAUUAUUCUACUUAUGAUAAAGAACUAUAUGCUCUUGUUCGGACUUUAGAAACAUGGCAACAUUAUUUAUGGCCCAAAGAAUUUGUUAUACAUUCUGAUCAUGAAUCUUUAAAACAUAUUAAAAGUCAAGCUAAACUGAAUCGUAGACAUGCUAAAUGGGUUGAAUUCAUUAGAACUUUCCCUUAUGUCAUUAAACACAAGAAGGGUAAAGAAAAUGUUAUUGCUGAUGCAUUGUCUCGUCGCUAUACUAUGCUGUCACAACUUGACUUCAAAAUAUUUGGUUUGGAGACCAUCAAAGAUCAAUAUGUGCAUGAUGCUGAUUUUAAAGAUGUUUUGCAGAAUUGUAAAGAAGGAAGAACCUGGAACAAGUUUGUCAUUAAUGAUGGAUUUGUGUUCCGUGCUAACAAGCUAUGCAUUCCAGCUAGCUCUCUUCUUCUUUUGUUGUUGCAGGAGGCGCAUGGAGGAGGAUUAAUGGGACACUUUGGCGUGAAGAAGACGAAGGACGUACUUGCUACACAUUUCUUUUGGCCAAAGAUGAGACGGGAUGUUGAGUGUUUUGUUGCUCGCUGCACUACAUGUCAAAAAGCUAAGUCACGACUCAAUCCUCAUGGUUUAUAUAUGCCUUUGCCUGUACCUAGUGUUCCUUGGGAGGAUAUAUCUAUGGACUUUGUUUUAGGUUUACCUCGAACAAAGAAGGGGAGGGAUAGCAUAUUUGUUGUCGUGGAUAGAUUCUCAAAAAUGGCACACUUUAUAUCAUGUCAUAAAAGCGAUGAUGCUGUUAAUGUUGCUGAUUUGUUCUUCCGUGAAAUUAUUCGUUUGCAUGGUGUGCCAAAUACUAUUGUUUCAGAUCGUGAUACUAAAUUUCUUAGCCACUUUUGGAGAUGUUUAUGGGUUAAGUUGGGGACUAAACUGCUUUUUAGUACUACUUGUCACCCCCAAACUGAUGGACAAACUGAAGUAGUCAAUAGAACAUUGUCUACUAUGCUUAGGGCUGUGUUGAAGAAUAAUAAGAAAAUGUGGGAAGAAUGCUUGCCUCAUAUUGAGUUUGCUUAUAAUCGUUCAUUGCAUUCUACUACUAAGAUGUGCCCUUUUGAAAUUGUGUAUGGUUUCCUACCUCGUGCACCUAUUGAUUUGUUGCCUCUUCCAUCUUCGGAGAAGGUUAAUUUUGAUGCUAAACAACGUGCUGAAUUGAUCUUAAAAAUGCAUGAGUUAACUAAGGAAAACAUUGAGCGUAUGAAUGCUAAAUAUAAACUUGCUGGAGAUAAGGGUAGAAAACAUGUUGUGUUUGCACCUGGAGAUCUUGUUUGGUUACAUUUGCGUAAGGAUAGAUUUCCUGAUUUGUGCAAAUCAAAGCUAAUGCCACGUGCUGAUGGUCCUUUUAAGGUGUUAGAGAAAAUAAAUGAUAAUGCAUAUAAACUUGAGCUGCCUGCAGAUUUUGGGGUUAGUCCCACUUUUAACAUUGCAGAUUUGAAGCCUUAUUUGGGUGAGGGAGAUGAGCUUCCGUCGAGGACGACUUCAUUUCAAGAAGGGGAGGAUGAUGAGGACAUUAAUACCAUUGUUACACCCACAGCCCCUGCUGCUAUACAUACUGGACCAAUUACUAGAGCUCGCGCAGGCCAAUUAAAUUACCAGGUACUUUCGUUUCUUGGUAAUGAUUCUAAUGUUCAUGAGAAUAUGAUGCUGCCUAAAUUGGAUACAUUUGUUUUGCUUACAAAUGAAGGGCCUAGCUUUGAGAAGGAUGAACAUUGGAGCAAGAACAAGCAUGGAGAUGAUGGCAUGCGCAUGGGGAACAAGAACGGAGUUACAAGUGAUGAUUUCAGGACGUUGACGCCACCAUAAUGCGUGCAUGAAGCCUUGGACGAAAUAUACAAGAUGCUACUUCAUAACUUUCGUCCAGAGGCUAUUCUAGGUGCUGCGUCACCUUAUUAUUGGGCCAGGCCCAUGUAAUUUCGAAAUACUUGAGUAUAGGCUGUUUUUAGAGUCCGUAUGUGUGGGGAAACAAGAGAUAGGGUUGGUUUCGGACCCCUUCCCCAAGGGCCACGAAAUUCCCCCUCUUCCUCCAUAUAUACAGCCCUUAGGGCGUCGUUUAGACUUUGGGUUUUGUUUAGAUUAAAAGUUCUCCAUAGCUGCAACUUCGCGUACUUCGUUUGUGUUCAACGACCAGACAAAGGCGUCACAGAACCCCACCUUGAUCAAUAAAGCUUUCAUCUUAUAUUCGCAAUAUCCAGAUUGCAAUCUCAGUUUCUUGCUUGUUCUUCGUUUGCUCGCAGGAAACAGACCCUCGUGGUCAGGUUGAUCGUGCUCCGGCGUGGUCAAUAACCUCUCGGAGUUGGUUUAGCGAUUGCUAAGGCGCGACGUCAUCGCACGUUCGUAGUCGGAUCGUCAAAGCCGACUUCCACCAAAGCGAUAUCAAUCAUCUCAUCGAAAGACGGGACACCUUUGCCUCUAUUAAUGUAUGAUUUUUCUCCCAUGAACGCUUUGCAUCUCAUUCCAUAUCAUCUUGCUAAGCUUCAUGUGCUUUGUCAUGAACAAUCUUGCCUCACGGACUCAUUCUUACAUGAUGGACACUUUGUGUGCGCUAACCAUUGUAUUUCCAAGUGUUGUUUGUGUUUGCUCUUUUUGCAUGUGUACCACUCCGGACACACCUUGGAGUACUUGGAUUGCGCCAUGUUUUCCACUUCGUCCAACUACAAGUCCGUCCACGACAACCGUUUCCAUGGUGAUGAAGUUUUCGAUCCGAGGUCGGAUCUUUCCCAAGGGAGGUGAGAUGAUGCGGAGCAUCCUACGGUCAUCCCCAUGUACACUCGAACCUACGCCUUUGGACCUAAGGUGAACCCGCUCCUAAAUGCUUCUCCUUUCCAUUCAUGUGAGACAUGGUUGCUACCUAAUGCAAGGACACUACAUAUGCCUAGGUACCAAGGAGACCCUCUCGGAGAUGCUCGGAAUGAUGGACAAGUCCCCAAGUACAAGGAUGAAGGAGCACGACGAGAGCAACCGGAGAAAGGCUACAGGACCCGGACAUCCGGCCAGGCCCCAGACAUCCGGCCCCUCCCGCAAGCCCGGACAUCCGGCACCAGCCCAGAAAUCCGGCGCCCAUCGCAGAAGACACCCGAAGCUGAACCACGUCAGCUCGGACAUCCGGCUCUUCCCGAGCCGCCGGACAUCCGGCACCCCAGCCCGGACAUCCGACCCCGCCUAUCCAGAGACUACAGAAGUUUGCACCGCCAGCCCGGACAUCCGGCCCCCAGCCCGGACAUCCGGCCACUCCUGAAGCCCCGGACAUCCGGCCCGUCGCCCGGAGAUCCGGCUCCGUCUGUCUGCGCACAGUAAAGGGCCGAGGCCCGUGUACCCCUUCGACCCCCUAGACUAUAUAUACUCCUUGUCCUCCAUCUUUCUAGGGUUAGCAAAGGAUUAGCUCAUUUAGAGAUAGAGCUUUGCUCAUCCAUAUCGGAUCUACUCCACGAGAGAGACUGCGGCCCCUCUACGGAGAAGAUCCACCUUGGAUUCAAGACCCCUCACGGGAAGAUCCCCUCGUGGAUUCAAGACCUCCUCAUGGAGAAGAACCGGUUACCGUUUGUAUCAUCCGUUGUUGACUUUGGAUCUUGUAUCUUACCUUUGUGUUCAUCGAUCUAGUGCAUGUGUGAUCUAUUCUUGUUGGUUGAGUGAUUUCUCUCGUGUUCCUCUCGUGUUUCCCUCGUGUUUCCCCUCGUGUUCAUCACGUUCCUCGUAGGGAUCCGCUCCUUUCGUGAAAGAGCGGCCAUCUAGGGUUCCACCCUACAUCAAGGUCUUGAGGGGGGCCACCCAAGAGGGGGUCUUGAAUCCAACGUGGAUCGUCUCCGAAGAGGGGCCGCAGUCUCUCUCGAGGAGGAGAUCCGUAUGGAUGAGCAAUGCUCUAUCUCACAUAUGAGCUAAACCAGUGCUGACCCUAGAAAGAUGGAGGAGAAGGAGUAUAUAUAGUCUAGGGGGUCGAAGGGGUACACGGGCCUCGGCCCUUACUGUGCGCAGACAGGGGUGGCCGGAUGUCCGGGCGACGGGCCGGAUGUCCGGGGCUUCAGGAGGGGCCGGAUGUCCGGGCUGGGGGGCGGACGUCCGGGCUGGAGGGCAAAACUUCUGGAUGUUCUGUAGCGUGGCGCCGGAUGUCCGGGCUUUUGACCGGAUUUCCGGGCUGGGGCCGGAUGUCCGGGCUGGACGCCGGAUGUCCGGGCCCUGUAGGCUUGGGCGUCUGGGCUGCUGCUGCUGUGGUUGCUCCAGGGGCCGGAUGUCCGGGACCUGGAAGGUGAACUUGCCCGUUUCCGUUGGUUCCCUUCAUCUGUGAACUUGGCGGCAUGUCCGUCUUCACGUGCAUCCUCGGGAGGCUCCUCUUGACACCUAAUCAUGCAUAGCAUAUCGGACUUAGGUAGUAGCCAUGUCUCGAGUGGAUCAUAUGUGACAUCACUAAGGAAGGAAGUCACCUCGUUCUCGAGAGCUCUAGCUCGUGCUCGUGUCAUAGGUCCUCUUGGUGAGACGAUGGUAGGUCCAUGGGGAUGACCGUAGGAUGCUCCGCAUCAUCUCCCCUCCCUUGGGAAAGAUCCGACCUCGGAUCAAAAUCCUCUUCACCCUGGUACGGGGAUAGAUCUUUGAUGUUGAAGAUGUCGCUCACGGAGUACUUGUCGCGUGGGAUGUCGAUCUUGUAUGCGUUGUUGUUGUAGCGUGCAAGCACCUUGAAGGGUCCAUCCGCUCGGGGUAGUAGCUUGGACUUGCGUUCCUUGGGGAAGCGAUCCUUGCGAAGGUGUAGCCACACAAGAUCUCCAACAUUGAACAUCAUGGGUUGCUUGUUGACGUUGAGCUUGGUCGCGAGUCGUUGUACUUGGCGCUCGAUGGUGUUUCUUGUAUCUUCGUGCAUGUUCUUGAGGAAGUUGACUCGGGCACUCGCGUCCAUGUUUGUGCGCUCUUGUAGCGGUAGAGGUAGAAUGUCCAAUGGAGACAAUGGGUUGAAGCCAUAGACAACCUCGAAGGGGGACUUGCCGGUAGUCGAAUGUCUUGCACGAUUGUAGGCAUACUCGGCAAUGGGUAGGCACUCCUCCCACUCCUUGAUGUUCUUCUUUAUCAACACGCGUAGUAGAGUGGAGAGCGUGCGGUUGGUCACCUCCGUUUGGCCAUCGGUUUGUGGAUGGUAUGCCGAAGAGAACAAAAGCUUGAUUCCGAGCUUGGCGCACAAUGUCUUCCAAAAGUAACUCAAGAACUUGACGUCGCGGUCCGAGACAAUCGUCUUUGGCACUCCAUCAAGGCGCAAGAUUUCCCUACAAAACAAAUUUGCAACAUGUGGAGCAUCGUCUAUCUUGUUGCAAGGAAUGAAAUGUGCCAUUUUGGAGAAUCGGUCCACAACAACAAAAACGGAAUCCUUGCCAUUUCGAGUUCUAGGCAAACCAAGCACAAAGUCCAUGCUAAUAUCUUCCCAUGGGUGAUAUGGAAUUGGAAGUGGCAUAUAGAGGCCAUGAGAUUGAGCUUUGGACUUAGCUUUGCGACAUGUAGAGCAUCGGUUGGUGAAGCGAUUGACGUCGCGGAACAUCUUGGGCCAAAAGUAGUUCUUGGAGAGCAUAGCAAAUGUCUUGUCGCGUCCAAAGUGUCCCAUGAGUCCGCCUCCAUGAGAUUCCUGCAAAAGCAACAAACGAAGAGAGGACUCGGGGAUGCAAAGUUUGUUAGCUCUCAUAAGAUAUCCAUCUUUGAUGUAGUAUCGAUCCCAAGAAGUAUGCGUCAAACACUUGGUAUAAGGAAUAGAAAAUGUAGGAUCAUGCUCAUACAAGUCUUUUAUAUGCUCAAAGCCAAUGACAUUUAACUCAAGUUGAUUAACAAGCAUGCAUAUACGGGAAAGUGCAUCCGCCACAACAUUUUCCUUACCUUUAAUAUACUUGAUGACAUAAGGAAACGACUCAAUGAACUCACUCCAUUUAGCAUGACGCUUGUUCAACUUAGUUUGACCCUUAAGGUAUUUAAGCGUUUCAUGGUCGGUAUGGAUGAUGAACUCAUGAGGGCGUAGGUAAUGUUCCCAUUCAUGCAAAACUCGCACCAAAGCAUAUAGCUCUUUGUCAUAGAUAGGGUAAUUGAGUUGUGCUCCGGAGAGUUUCUCACUAAAAUAAGCAAUUGGGCGCUUCUCUUGCGUUAACACACCUCCUAUGCCAUUACCACUAGCAUCGCAAUGAAUUUCGAAAGGUUUGUCAAAGAUGGGUAAUGCAAGCACGGGAGCAUGAGUAAGCAAAUUCUUAAGCUCAUUGAAAGCGAUAUCUUGAGAUGUUCCCCAAACAAACGGUGCAUUUUUCUUACUCAAAGCAUGCAGAGGUGAAGCAAUGGUGCUAAAAUCCUUCACAAAUCUGUGAUAGAAACCGGCUAAACCAAGAAAACUACACACUUGUUGCAAAUUGGUUGGUUGGGGCCAAGUUUUAAUAGCAUUGAUCUUAGAUUCAUCAACAUGAACACCCUUAGAAGAUACUACGAAACCCAAGAAAACAAGCUUAUCAACACCAAAUAGGCAUUUUUCCAUAUUAGCAUAAAGUUGCUCUUUUCGAAGAGUUUGUAGCACGGUGCGAAGGUGGGUGACAUGCUCUUUGAGAGAUUUGCUAAACACAAGGUUAUCAUCAAAGUAGACAACAACAAAUUCACCGAUGUAAGGGCGAAACACGUAAUGCAUAAGACGCAUGAAAGUAUCGGGUGCUUCCGAUAAACCCAUAGGCAUGACUAACCACUCAUAUAGACCAAACUUUGUUUUGAAAGCGGUUUUCCAUUCAUCACCCUCUUGUAUGCGGAUUUGAUAGUAACCACUUUUAAGAUUAAUUUUGGAAAAGAUAGUGGCACCGCAAAGUUCAUCAAGCAUAUCAUCAAGGCGUGGAAUGGGAUACCUAUAACGAACGGUGAUAGCAUUGAUAGGUCUACAAUCGGAACACAUGCGAAAGCUACCGUCUCGUUUUGGCACAAGAAUGACCAGUGCGGCACAAGGACUCAAACUUCCACGCACAUGUCCAUGGUCUAUGAGAUGCUUUACUUGCCUUUGAAUUUCUUUGGUUUCUUCGGGGUUGACGCGGUAGGGCGCUUUGUUUGGAAGCGGCGCUCCGGGGAUGAGAUCAAUUCGGUGCUCAAUGCCUCGUAGUGGAGGUAGACCCAGAGGUAGCUCAUCGGGGAAAACAUCUUGGAAUUCCUGCAAUAAAGAAGAUAACACCAAAGGUAGAUCGUGAGAGUUGUUAGUUUUUGGUGCCUCAUCCUUGCACAAUAGGACAUAGUGUAGGACACUUGGUGGGUUCUCACACACUUGUCUCAUCUCACGUUUGGUGGCAAAUAGGACUAAGUUUUUCUUGUCGCUCAUUGUGGAGGCACUCAAUUUAGGCUUGUGGCGCUCACUCUCUUUUUGGUGGUUCACUCUCUCACUAUUCUCUCCACGAUGGGUGUUUUGCUUGUCGGCGAGCACUUGGCUUGGAGACAUAGGACGUAGCACAAACUCUUUCCCUUUCAUCUUGAAGCUAUAGUGAUUUGUACGCCCAUUGUGAAUGACACCUCGGUCAAAUUGCCAUGGCCGUCCAAGAAGGAGGUGGCACACGGUCAUCGGAAGGACAUCACACUCCAAAGUGUCUUCAUAGGCGCCGAUCUUGAAAGAGACUUGUACUCUCUGCUCGACUUGUAUGAUGCCGGUGUCGCUUAGCCAUGGAACCUUGUAGGGGUGCGGGUGCUUCAUCUUGACCAAUUGGAGUUUGGAGCAUAGUUCUUCACUUGCCAAGUUAUGGCAACUCCCUCCAUCGAUGAUGACCUUGACGGACCAUCCAUUGAUGCCGGCCUUUGUGUGGAAGAUAUGGCAUCUUUGAUCUUCGUCUUGUUGAUGUUGAAGAGUCAAGACCUUGGAGACAACAAGAGCGGGACUUGAGUCUUCGUCACAAAAGAUGUGAUCAUCUUCUUCUUCCUUGUUCACUUGUCGGUGCAUGGCCACUUGCUCAAGAGCUUCCAUUUCUCCUUCACUCAUGGAGUCGUAGGUGCCGUCGUCGUUGAGGAUCAUGCUGCGCUUGUUUGUGCACUCGAAGGACUUGUGGCCUCGGCCUCCGCAUGUGAAACAUUUGAUGGAACUUGUCUUGAUGGUCUCAUCGGUUGGAGUAGAUGAUGAUGAAGCUUUCAGCUUGAAGUUGCUUGUAGUAGGAGGACGACUUGAGCUUGUCAAAGCUUUCUUGUAACUUGACUUGUCGCCAUUGCUCGUGGUGGGAGCCGUUGAAGCUUGAUUGUUGGAGAGGCCAUAGGACUUGGAUGAGAACUUGGCAUACUUGAAGUCGUCUUGUACUUGUCGUUCCACUUUGGUAGCUUGAUGCACUAGCUCAAUGAGGUUCGAGUAUGGUUGGAAGUCGGCAAUCUUCUUGAUAGGGUGAUUGAGUCCAUUCAAGAAACGUGCCAUAGUUUGCUCAUCAUCUUCUUUGACAUUGGCUCGUAUCAUGCAAUCUCCAUUUCCUUGUAGUACUCUUCAACGCUCUUGGUUCCUUGCUUGAGUUGUUGGAGUUUCUUGAAGAGGUCGCGGUUGUAGUAGUUUGGCACGAAUCGUGCUCUCAUGACAUCCUUCAUUGGUGCCCAAGUGGUGAUGGGUGGUUCACCUCUUGUCGCAUGGCGCUCAAUGACUUGUUCCCACCAAAUGAGGACGUAGUCUUGGAAUUCGAGGGAUGCCAUUGCGAUCUUCUUCUCUUCUUCGUAGUUGUGCAAGCGGAAGAUUUUGUCAACCUUUAAUGCCCAUGAUAUGUACUCUUCGGGGUCAUUGCUUCCGGUAAACUUGGGCAUGGUGAACUUUAGCUUGCCAUAUCGUUGCUCUUCAUUGUGUUAGGGUCGGGGAUGAUGAUGCCCAUGUCGGUGAGGAUUGGCAAUCUCAUGUUGCUCUUGGCGAGGAGGGUUGUCUUCCUCAUGUUGCUCUUGGUGAGGAGGGUUGUCUUCCUCAUGAUGCUCUUGGCGAGGAGGUGGUCCAUUGUCCUCUUGCUCUCGAUGGACUUGACGUUCUUGUCUCGCAUGAGGAGGAGCUUGUCGAUCUUGACGAGGAACUUGUCGAUCAUGUCGAGGAGCUUGUCGAUGCACACGUGCUUCGUAAAUCCUUUCUUGAGCUUCGUCGCGAAGUGCUUCUUGAUGUAGUCGAGCUUGUCGGCCUCGAUUGGCUACGGCACGACUUGAGUCUUGAAGAGCACGUUGCGCCUCAAGUGCUUGAGCUUCACGUAGUUGUCGUUCUUGACGUUGCGCCUCGGCGUCUUGUGCAUCUUGAUGUUGUCGCGCUCGCUCCUCUUGUUCUUGUUGUCGUUGGUGUUGCCGUUCUUGUGCUUGUGCGAAAGCAGCUUGGUUGUGACGAUGUCGAUGCUCUUGAGAGUCGGUGUCGUGUAGAGGAUUGCGGUUAGCUUGACGGUCUUGACGCGCGGCACGACGAAGAGUGUUCGAUGUCGGUGUACUUGAACUGGAGAUGGUGUCGUCGUAGUGUCGACUUGAGCGGCUCCGUCUUGACGAGGACGAAGUUGUAGAAGAGCGGACCAUCAUGGUUCGGAUAUCUUCUUUGAGGGAACUCAUGGAUGUGUCGAAGUAGUCUCUUGUACGUUGCUCAGAUUGUCGUAGAUCGGUGGCGAGGUUGUCGAUGCGAUCGCCCAAAGCAAGUUGUUCUUGAUGCAAAGCUCGGUGUGCACCAAAUAGUUGAGUCUUGGUGACGUAGGAUGACAUGUCGUCGUCUUGCUCCAAGAAGAGUGGAUUGGUAGAAGUACUUGGCCUAUCCAUCAUUCCAAACAAAGAUAUGUGAGUGGGAGAAAGAGAAGAACCAAUACCAAAUGUACCUUGACCGAUGUUGAAAAUGGAUCAAAGAUCACUCCAAUGUGUAUCAAGGGAAUAGCACAAUUGGUACCGUUUCUUGUCGGUUCUCACACCUACACAAGUAAAUGCUUAUGGUGGAGCUUGGUUAGGAUGGUGGCACAAAAUUUGAUGCAAUUGUAAGUGAGACUCAAUAAUGUUGGAAAAGAUUCACAAAUUUGCAAAUGCAACAAGUAGACCAAUAGCAAGAUAUGGUACACGGAAACACACACGCAAAUAGAUAAGUGGGGUUGGGCAACCAAGGGUGAGCCAAAAUGUGGAAUCCACCAAGAUGCUCUAGUUGCACAACACUAGAGAGACGCUAGGACGAUUGCACAAUAGGCGGAUACGAACUUGUGCACAACCUACUAAGCAAAAAUGCAACGACAUCUAUCCCAAGUAUGCUAUAUGUAUGAUGUUUCUAUGCUUUGAUCCAAGAAGAUCGAGUAUGACAAUCUUAAUGUUGUAUGAUGCUAUGUUUCUUGCUUAAGCUCUUUGCUUAUCUUUCCCUUUUGCUUAAAGGCUUAUUUGGCUCUUUGUUGUUUGAGCUCUUUUCUCAUGCAAUGCUUCACGAACCAAGAUAGCAAUUGUGUAUGCGAAGACAACUUUUGUGACACAAGAGAUGAUACCAAGAUAUGCAACUCAAUGAUGGUAUGUAUGUUAUGUGAAGAAUGAACACUAAUGUGCACAAGUCACGUUGCCGGCAAUACUCAAAGGCUAGUCUCGAUGGGUAAGCUACGCAAAAGUAAGGCCACGGGGUUAUCAAUGCAAAUGCAAGAGAGUAUGAUAAUAUCACGAUACCAAGAUGAUAUGACGGUGAAGGUGAUACCAAAGUAAUGUAGCCGUUCGUAGUAGUUGACGAGGACAUCAAUACCAUUGUUACACCCACAGCCCCUGCUGCUAUACAUACUGGACCAAUUACUAGAGCUCGCGCACGCCAAUUAAAUUACCAGGUACUUUCGUUUCUUGGUAAUGAUUCUAAUGUUCAUGAGAAUAUGAUGCUGCCUAAAUUGGAUACAUUUGUUUGGCUUACAAAUGAAGGGCCUAGCUUUGAGAAGGAUGAACAUUGGAGCAAGAACAAGCAUGGAGAUGAUGGCAUGCGCAUGGGGGACAAGAACGGAGUUACAAGUGAUGAUUUCAGGACAUUGAAGUCACCAUAAUGCGUGCAUGAAGCCUUGGACGAAAUAUACAAGAUGCUACUUCAUAACUUUCGUCCAGAGGCUAUUCUAGGUGCUGCGUCACCUUAUUAUUGGGCCAGGCCCAUGUAAUUUCGAAAUACUUGAGUAUAGGCUAUUUUUAGAGUCCGUAUGUGUGGGGAAACAAGAGAUAGGGUUGGUUUCGGACCCCUUCCCCAAGGGCCACGAAAUUCCCCCUCUUCCUCCAUAUAUACAGCCCUUAGGGCGUCGUUUAGACUUUGGGUUUUGUUUAGAUUAAAAGUUCGCCAUAGCUGCAACUUCGCGUACUUCGUUUGUGUUCAACGACCAGACAAAGGCGUCACAGAACCCCACCUUGAUCAAUAAAGCUUUCAUCUUAUAUUCGCAAUAUCCAGAUUGCAAUCUUAGUUUCUUGCUUGUUCUUCGUUUGCUCGCAGGAAACAGACCUUCGUGGUCAGGUUGAUCGUGCUCCGGCGUGGUCAAUAACCUCUCGGAGUUGGUUUAGCGAUUGCUAAGGCGCGACGUCCUCGCACGUUCGUAGUCGGAUCGUCAAAGUCGACUUCCACCAAAGCGAAAUCCACCAUCUCAUCGAAAGACGGGACACCUUUGCCUCUAUCAGUUUUCCUUAGUUAACUCAUGCAUUUUUAAAAUCAAUUCAGCACGUUGUUUAGCAUCAAAAUUAACCUUCUCCGAAGAUGGAAGAGGCAACAAAUCAAUAGGUGCACGAGGUAGGAAACCAUACACAACUUCAAAAGGGCACAUCUUAGUAGUAGAAUGCAAUGAACGAUUAUAAGCAAAUUCAAUAUGAGGCAAGCAUUCCUCCCACAUUUUCUUAUUAUUCUUCAAAACAGCCCUAAGCAUAGUAGACAACGUUCUAUUGACUACUUCAGUUUGUCCAUCAGUUUGGGGGUGACAAGUAGUACUAAAAAGCAGUUUAGUCCCCAACUUAGCCCAUAAACAUCUCCAAAAGUGGCUAAGAAAUUUAGUAUCACGAUCUGAAACAAUAGUAUUUGGCACACCAUGCAAGCGAAUAAUUUCACGAAAGAACAAAUCAGCAACAUUAACAGCAUCAUCGCUUUUAUGACAUGGUAUAAAGUGUGCCAUUUUCGAGAAUCUAUCCACGACAACAAAUAUGUUAUCCCUCCCCUUCUUUGUUCGAGGUAAACCUAAAACAAAGUCCAUAGAUAUAUCCUGAUAGAGGCAAAGGUGUCCCGUCUUUCGAUGAGAUGAUGGAUAUCGCUUUGGUGGAAGUCGACUUUGACGAUCCGACUACGAACGUGCGAGGACGUCGCGCCUUAGCAAUCGCUAAACCAACUCCGAGAGGUUAUUGACCACGCCGGAGCACGAUCAACCUGACCACGAGGGUCUGUUUCCUGCGAGCAAACGAAGAACAAGCAAGAAACUAAGAUUGCAAUCUGGAUAUUGCGAAUAUAAGAUGAAAGCUUUAUUGAUCAAGGUGGGGUUCUGUGACGCCUUUGUCUGGUCGUUGAACACAAACGAAGUACGCGAAGUUGCAGCUAUGGCGAACUUUUAAUCUAAACAAAACCCAAAAUCUAAACGAUGCCCUAAGGGCUGUAUAUAUGGAGGAAGAGGGGGGGGGGAAUUUCGUGGCCCUUGGUGGAGGGGUCCGAAAUCAACCCUAUCUCUUGUUUCCCCACACAUACGGACUCUAAAAAUAGCCUAUACUUAUGUAUUUCGAAAUUACAUGGGCCUGGCCCAAUAAUAAGGUGACGCAGCACCUAAAAUAGCCUCGGGACGAAAUUUAUGAAGUGGCAUCUUGUAUAUUUCGUCCAAGGCUUCAUGCACCCAUUAUGGUGGCUUCAAAGUCCUGAAAUCAUCACUUGUAACUCCGUUCUUGUUCCCCUUGCGCAUGCCAUCAUCUCCAUGCUUGUUCUUGCUCCAAUGUUCAUCCUUCUCCAAGCUAGGCCCUUCAUUUGUAAGCAAAACAAAUGUAUCCAAUUUAGGCAGCAUCAUAUUCUCAUGAACAUUAGAAUCAUUACCAAGAAACGAAAGUACCUGGUAAUUUAGUUGGCGUGCGCGAGCUCUAGUAAUUGGUCCAGUAUGUAUAGCAGCAGGGCCUGUGGGUGUAACAAUGGUAUUGAUGUCCUCAUCAAGGUCAAACUGACAGGAUGGGCAUGAAAUUUUUGUGACCAAAAAAAAAUUUUUUUUUGACUGCCCGGACCCAAAAACUGGAAACGGGUCAAAAAAACUUUCUAUAACGGCGACUGUCUCAAUACGCUUAGAAACACCUAAAAAUAGGAUAGCCAGAAAUUUUUUUGUCAAGUGCGUUUUCCGAAAAUUUUGGGCCUAAACGGAGGGUGGUUUCCGGACACUUUUUUUUUUGGAAACCAACCUCUUCUACGGACGGCAAAAGAUUGCUGGAAUUCGAAACCUACUCCAACAAGGAAACACGAAUCGGAAAUUAGAUGGAUCCCGAAAACAAACCUAAUACGCAAGGAACUCGGAUUGGUGGUGGAUAUAUGGUGGUGGUAUAUGGCAGCGGUGCUGGUAGCGGUGGUAGUAUAUGGAUAUGGAUCGGUGGUGGUAUAUGGACACGGAUUGGUGGUGGUAUAUGGAUACAGAUUCGGAGCGGUGGCGGAUAAGCGGUGGUGGUAGAUGGCAGGGGCGAUGAUGAUGGUGCGGCGGCGGCGUGACAACUUAUGACCAGAACUCGAAACUCUAAAAGACUAGACUCUAAGACCAGCAACUAGACACGACGAUGCAACCGCAAAUUCAACAAAGCAAAACCCUAAAAAGAUUAUGCAAAGGCUCAGAUUGGUUCGGAUAUGAUGAACUAACCCUAAUUUUUUUUGUGGCUUUUUCGUGGACUGUAGGUAUGAAGAACAGACUCGAUCUAAACUACGAAAAACUGUAAAAUCUCACCGAGCAACCUGGAAAUCUGAUACCACUUGAUAGAGGCAAAGGUGUCCCAUCUUUCGAUGAGAUGGUGGAUUUCGCUUUGGUGGAAGUCGACUUUGACGAUCCGACUACGAACGUGCGAGGACGUCGCGCCUUAGCAAUCGCUAAACCAACUCCGAGAGGUUAUUGACCACGCCGGAGCACGAUCAACCUGACCACGAGGGUCUGUUUCCUGCGAGCAAACGAAGAACAAGCAAGAAACUGAGAUUGCAAUCUGGAUAUUGCGAAUAUAAGAUGAAAGCUGUAUUGAUCAAGGUGGGGUUCUGUGACGCCUUUGUCUGGUCGUUGAACACAAACGAAGUACGCGAAGUUGCAGCUAUGGCGAACUUUUAAUCUAAACAAAACCCAAAGUCUAAACGAUGCCCUAAGGGCUGUAUAUAUGGAGGAAGAGGGGGGAAUUUCGUGGCCCUUGGUGGAGGGGUCCGAAAUCAACCCUAUCUCUUGUUUCCCCACACAUACGGACUCUAAAAAUAGCCUAUACUUAUGUAUUUCGAAAUUACAUGGGCCUGGCCCAAUAAUAAGGUGACGCAACACCUAAAAUAGCCUCAGGACGAAAUUUAUGAAGUGGCAUCUUGUAUAUUUCGUCCAAGGGUUCAUGCACCCAUUAUGGUGGCUUCAAAGUCCUGAAAUCAUCACUUGUAACUCCGUUCUUGUUCCCCUUGCGCAUGCCAUCAUCUCCAUGCUUGUUCUUGCUCCAAUGUUCAUCCUUCUCCAAGCUAGGCCCUUCAUUUGUAAGCAAAACAAAUGUAUCCAAUUUAGGCAGCAUCAUAUUCUCAUGAACAUUAGAAUCAUUACCAAGAAACGAAAGUACCUGGUAAUUUAGUUGGCGUGCACGAGCUCUAGUAAUUGGUCCAGUAUGUAUAGCAGCAGGGGCUGUGGGUGUAACAAUUGUAUUGAUGUCCUCAUCACUGCGUCACCUUAUUAUUGGGCCAGGCCCAUGUAAUUUCGAAAUACAUAAGUAUAGGCUAUUUUUAGAGUCCGUAUGUGUGGGGAAACAAGAGAUAGGGUUGAUUUCGGACCCCUCCACCAAGGGCCACGAAAUUCCCCCCUCUUCCUCCAUAUAUACAGCCCUUAGGGCAUCGUUUAGACUUUGGGUUUUGUUUAGAUUAAAAGUUCGCCAUAGCUGCAACUUCGCGUACUUCGUUUGUGUUCAACGACCAGACAAAGGCGUCACAGAACCCCACCUUGAUCAAUAAAGCUUUCAUCUUAUAUUCGCAAUAUCCAGAUUGCAAUCUCAGUUUCUUGCUUGUUCUUCGUUUGCUCGCAGGAAACAGACCCUCGUGGUCAGGUUGAUCGUGCUCCGGCGUGGUCAAUAACCUCUCGGAGUUGGUUUAGCGAUUGCUAAGGCGCGACGUCAUCGCACGUUCGUAGUCGGAUCGUCAAAGUCGACUUCCACCAAAGCGAUAUCCAUCAUCUCAUCGAAAGACGGGACACCUUUGCCUCUAUCAAGUGGUAUCAGAUUUCCAGGUUGCUCGGUGAGAUUUUACAGUUUUUCGUAGUUUAGAUCGAGUCUGUUCUUCAUACCCACAGUCCAUGAAAAAGCCACAAAAAAAAAUUAGGGUUAGUUCAUCAUAUCCGAACCAAUCUGAGCCUUUGCAUAAUCUUUUUAGGGUUUUUGCUUUGUUGAAUUUGCGGUUGCAUCGUCGUGUCAAGUUGCUGGUCUUAGAGUCUAGUCUUUUAGAGUUUCGAGUUCUGGUCAUAAGUUGUCACGCCGCCGCCGCACCAUCAUCAUCGCCUUGCCAUCUACCACGAUUGCUUAUCCGCCACCGCUUUGAAUCCGUAUCCAUAUACCACCACCAAUCCGUAUCCAUAUACCACCACCGCUACCAUAUACCACCACCGCUGCCAUAUCCUACCACCAUAUAUCCACAACCAAUCCGAGUUCUUUUCAUAUUCGGUUUGUUUUAGAGAUCCAUCUAUUUUCCGUUUCGUGUUUCCUUGCCUGAGUAGGUCUCGGAAAAAAAAGAGUCUGGAGACCCCCGGGCAGUUUUUAGGCCAAAAUUUCGGUGACCAAAAAUAUUUUUCCCUAUCCUAUUUUAGGUCCCGGGGAGUGUUUUGAGACACUCACCAUCAUAGUGAUUUUUUGUCGCACUUUUUCGUCGUCGUUGCCCUGAUUUCCGAAAAAAAAUAGUCAAAAAAAUUUUGUGCCUAUCCUGUCAGUUUGACCUGGGAAGAGUUUUGAGCACUCGCCAUUAUAGUGAUUUUUCGCAAAAAAAAAAGAGGAGCGCAAAAAAAAAGAGCGCAAAAAAAAAGAGCGAAAAAAAAUUCCAGAGUGUGCUUUUCCCUUGUUUACGUGCAGCGCCGUGAUUUUGUUAGUGUUCUAGGCUCGCGUCUCUAGCACGGUCUAGCCUAGGACCAGCACAGUACCGUCGUUGAGCGUUUAUUCAACUUUGCAUCUCUGAAUUGAUUAUUGCUGACCAUUUUUGCUACCAUAUUAUAAGCCUUCCCAGCUCCACAUACAUCUACAUCGUGCGUUUGACUCUCCCUAGUAAUCGCUCUAUCCAAGCUUUGAGAGUUUUGACUACAACGGUUGCCGAUCGCCACCUGCUACUGGGUAAGAACUGGUAAGAAUUUGAGAUUCGCUUGAAGGAUUUGUGACACACCACCAUCACCACCACUUCCUAGUAGUCUGUAGGAUCAUAUUCUUUUGUGUUUCUAUUGCUGCUAACCAUGGCAGGAUCACAAGCCGAUGAGACUGAUUGGGAGAACAUGACGAACACGGAGUUGCAUGAUAAAUUUCAGCAAAUGAUGAGUGGCCAGGUGGGAGAUGUUCUAAACAGAUUUGAAGAGGCUAUGGAGAAGAUAGAUGCCGUGGAGAAGUCGUUCGAGACAAAGCUGGAUAACAAGUUUACUGAAUUACUCAAGCGUCUUCCCCAACCACCACCGGCUGCAUAUGUCGCACCUCUACAACAACAACAGCCACAUCUCCAACGCCGCCUUCCAAAUCAAGUGGGACGAGCACAACGCGUUCCAAUUGAGACUGGUCAAAAUUCGGGUGCCGCUGCACCUACUGUUGAUGCUUCUUUGGCUCCUGCUACUGCGGCGGCUGAGGAGGAUGACGAUUAUGCGGGCGAUUAUGAGGAUGAGGUUGAUCAAAAUCAGAACUACAUGCAGCCACCAGCACCACCACCAGCAGGUCGACCUCAGGUAUAUAUUCGCAACGGUAGGCCGGCACCACCACCUCAGGUACGAGAUCAUGACCAUCUCCCUAAACUGAAAUUGAAUAUUCCACCAUUUGAGGGUAGAUAUGUUCCUGAUAUAUAUCUUACUUGGGAGUUAGAAACUGAACAACGAUUUACAUGUUUACAAUAUCCUGAGGAGAGACGUGUUCCUGCUGCUGUUUGUGCUUUCACUAGCGUUGCAUGUGUUUGGUGGUCUGAACAUUGUAGAUUAUAUCCUGUUCCAGCUACUUGGGCUGCUUUGAAAACUUCUAUGCGUACUCGUUGGGUUCCACCAUAUUAUCAACGUGAAUUACUUCAAAAAUUGCAGCGCUUAAGACAAGGGAAAAAUUCUGUAGAAGAAUAUUAUCAGGAAUUACAAACUGGCAUGAUUAGAUGUGGUAUUGUUGAGGAGAAUGAAGCUAUGCUUGCACGUUUUAUGGGUGGAUUAAAUAAAGAGAUUCAGACCAUUCUAGAGUAUAAGGAUUAUAAUAAUAUCACUCGUUUAUUCCAUCUUGCUUGUAAAGCUGAACGUGAAGUGUAGGAUCGACAGGCAUUGGCGCGAACUACCUUUUCUGCAGGUCGACCUUCAUCAUGGACACCACGUGCAUCCUCUACUUCCACUUCACCAUCACCUCCAUCAGGUGCCACCUACAGCCGUGAUACAAGAAAGCAGGCACAACCACCACUCUCUGCCAAGAGCACACCUACCGGGCCUGCGCAGAACUCUUCUUCUUCCAUGGCGUCAACAGGGCACACAAGUGAUAUUAUUUGUCGUCGUUGUAAGGGAAAAGGACAUUAUGCGAGAGAAUGCAAAUCUCAGCGUGUGAUGAUUGCUACUAAGGAUGGUGGGUAUAAGUCCGCUAGUGACUAUGAUGAGGAGACUUUGGCUCUUAUUACACGUGAAGAACAUGGUGGAGAUGAUUCUGAAAAUGAGACGCAAUACAUGGCUCCUGAAGACGCUGACAGGUAUGAAUGUUUAGUUGCUCAACAUGUUUUGAGUGUGCAGGUCACACAAGCAGAGCAAAAUCAGAGGCAUAAUUUGUUCCAUACAAAGGGAGUUGUGAAGGAACGUUCUGUUCGCGUCAUCAUAGAUGGAGGGAGCUGUAACAACUUGGCUAGCAUGGAGAUGGUGGAGAAACUAUCUCUCACCACAAGACCACAUCCACAUCAUUACUACAUCCAAUUGUUCAACAACAGCGGCAAGGUUAAGGUAACACGUACUGUUCGUGUGCAUUUUAGUAUCUCUACGUAUGCUGAUUAUGUUGAUUGUGAUGUGGUACCCAUGCAAGCAUGUUCCUUAUUACUUGGUAGACCAUGGCAAUUUGAUAAAAAUUCUGUACACCAUGGUAGAAACAAUCAGUAUACUCUUGUUCAUAAGGAUAAAAAUAUUACUUUGCUUCCUAUGACUCCUGAUUCCAUUUUGAAAGAUGACAUUAAUAGAGCUAAGAAAGCAAAACAGGAGAAAAAUAAGAGUGAAAAUCAGAUUGUGGCAAAAGAAUUUGAGCAACAAAUGAAACCUAAUAAUAAACCAUCUAGUGUUGUUUCUGAAAUUAAAUUGAAAAGUGCAUGUUUACUUGCCACAAAAUCUGAUAUUGAUGAGCUAGAUUUCAACAAAUCUACUUGCUAUGCUUUUGUGUGCAAAGAGGCAUUAUUUUCAUUCGAGGACGUGCCUUCCUCUUUGCCCCCUGCUGUCACUAACAUUUUGCAGGAGUUCGCUGACGUCUUCCCACAAGACGUGCCACCGGGAUUACCACCUAUUCGAGGGAUUGAGCAUCAAAUUGAUUUAAUUCCCAGUGCAUCGCUACCCAACCGUGCACCAUACCGUACCAAUCCAGAGGAGACGAAGGAGAUUAUGCGUCAAGUACAGGAGCUGCUCGACAAAGGUUAUAUACGCGAAUCUCUUAGUCCUUGUGCUGUUCCUAUUAUACUAGUGCCUAAAAAGGAUGGUACGUCGCGUAUGUGUGUUGAUUGUAGAGGCAUUAAUAAUAUUACUAUUCGUUAUCGUCAUCCUAUUCCUAGGCUAGAUGAUAUGCUUGAUGAAUUGAGUGGCUCUACAAUCUUCUCCAAAGUUGAUUUGCGUAGUGGAUAUCAUCAAAUUCGUAUGAAAUUGGGAGAUGAAUGGAAAACUGCAUUUAAAACUAAGUUUGGUUUAUAUGAGUGGUUAGUCAUGCCUUUUGGGUUAACUAAUGCACCUAGUACUCUCAUGAGACUAAUGAACGAAGUUUUACGUGCUUUCAUUGGACGAUUUGUGGUAGUCUAUUUUGAUGAUAUACUGAUUUAUAGCAAAUCUUUGGAAGAACAUUUGGAACAUUUACGUGCUGUUUUUAUUGCUCUACGUGAUGCACGUUUGUUUGGUAACCUUGGGAAGUGCACCUUUUGCACCGACCGAGUAUCUUUUCUUGGCUAUGUUGUUACUCCACAGGGAAUUGAAGUUGAUAAAGCCAAGAUUGAAGCUAUUGAGAGUUGGCUGCAGCCCAAAACGGUCACACAAGUGCGGAGUUUUCUUUGACUCGCUGGUUUCUAUAGGCGUUUUGUGAGAGAUUUUAGCACCAUUGCUGCACCUCUCAACGAGCUUACAAAGAAGGAUGUGCCUUUUGUUUGGGGUACCGCACAGGAAGAAGCCUUCACGGUAUUGAAAGAUAAGUUGACACAUGCUCCUUUACUCCAACUUCCUGAUUUUAAUAAGACUUUUGAGCUUGAAUGUGAUGCUAGUGGAAUUGGAUUAGGAGGUGUGUUAUUACAAGAAGGUAAACCUGUUGCAUACUUUUCUGAAAAAUUGAGUGCGCCUAGUCUGAAUUAUUCUACUUAUGAUAAAGAACUAUAUGCUCUUGUUCAGACUUUAGAAACAUGGCAACAUUAUUUAUGGCCCAAAGAAUUUGUUAUACAUUCUGAUCAUGAAUCUUUGAAACAUAUUAAAAGUCAAGCUAAACUGAAUCGUAGACAUGCUAAAUGGGUUGAAUUCAUUGAAACUUUCCCUUAUGUCAUUUAACACAAGAAGGGUAAAGAAAAUGUUAUUGCUGAUGCAUUGUCUCGUCGCUAUACUAUGCUUUCACAACUUGACUUCAAAAUAUUUGGUUUGGAGACCAUCAAAGAUCAAUAUGUGCAUGAUGCUGAUUUUAAAGAUGUUUUGCAGAAUUGUAAAGAAGGAAGAACCUGGAACAAGUUUGUCGUUAAUGAUGGAUUUGUGUUCCGUGCUAACAAGCUAUGCAUUCCAGCUAGCUCUCUUCGUCUUUUGUUGUUGCAGGAGGCGCAUGGAGGAGGAUUAAUGGGACACUUUGGCGUGAGGAAGACGGAGGACGUACUUGCUACACAUUUCUUUUGGCCAAAGAUGAGACGGGAUGUUGAGCGUUUUGUUGCUCGCUACACUACAUGUCAAAAAGCUAAGUCACGACUCAAUCCUCAUGGUUUAUAUAUGCCUUUGCCUGUACCUAGUGUUGCUUGGGAGGAUAUAUCUAUGGACUUUGUUUUAGGUUUACCUCGAACAAAGAAGGGGAGGGAUAGCAUAUUUGUUGUCAUGGAUAGAUUCUCAAAAAUGGCACACUUUAUACCAUGUCAUAAAAGUGAUGAUGCUGUUAAUGUUGCUGAUUUGUUCUUCCGUGAAAUUAUUUGUUUGCAUGGUGUGACAAAUACUAUUGUUUCAGAUCGUGAUACUAAAUUUCUUAGCCACUUUUGGAGAUGUUUAUGGGCUAAGUUGGGGACUAAACUGCUUUUUAGUACUACUUGUCACCCCCAAACUGAUGGACAAACUGAAGUAGUCAAUAGAACAUUGUCUACUAUGCUUAGGGCUGUUUUGAAGAAUAAUAAGAAAAUGUGGGAAGAAUGCUUGCCUCAUAUUGAGUUUGCUUAUAAUCGUUCAUUGCAUUCUACUACUAAGAUGUGCCCUUUUGAAAUUGUGUAUGGUUUCCUACCUCGUGCACCUAUUGAUUUGUUGCCUCUUCCAUCUUCGGAGAAGGUUAAUUUUGAUGCUAAACAACGUGCUGAAUUGAUCUUAAAAAUGCAUGAGUUAACUAAGGAAAACAUUGAGCGUAUGAAUGCUAAAUAUAAACUUGCUGGAGAUAAGGGUAGAAAACAUGUUGUGUUUGCACCUGGAGAUCUUGUUUGGUUACAUUUGCGUAAGGAUAGAUUUCCUGAUUUGCGCAAAUCAAAGCUAAUGCCACGUGCUGAUGGUCCCUUUAAGGUGUUAGAGAAAAUAAAUGAUAAUGCAUAUAAACUUGAGCUGCCUGUAGAUUUUGGGGUUAGUCCCACUUUUAACAUUGCAGAUUUGAAGCCUUAUUUGGGUGAGGAAGAUGAACUUCCGUCGAGGACGACUUCAUUUCAAGAAGGGGAGGAUGAUGAGGACAUCAAUACAAUUGUUACACCCACAGCCCCUGCUGCUAUACAUACUGGACCAAUUACUAGAGCUCGUGCACGCCAACUAAAUUACCACGUACUUUCGUUUCUUGGUAAUGAUUCUAAUGUUCAUGAGAAUAUGAUGCUGCCUAAAUUGGAUACAUUUGUUUUGCUUACAAAUGAAGGGCCUAGCUUGGAGAAGGAUGAACAUUGGAGCAAGAACAAGCAUGGAGAUGAUGGCAUGCGCAAGGGAAACAAGAACGGAGUUACAAGUGAUGAUUUCAGGACUUUGAAGCCACCAUAAUGGGUGCAUGAAGCCUUGGACGAAAUAUACAAGAUGCCACUUCAUAAAUUUCGUCCCGAGGCUAUUUUAGGUGCUGCGUCACCUUAUUAUUGGGCCAGGCCCAUGUAAUUUCGAAAUACAUAAGUAUAGGCUAUUUUUAGAGUCCGUAUGAGUGGGGAAACAAGAGAUAGGGUUGAUUUCGGACCCCUCCACCAAGGGCCACGAAAUUCCCCCCCCCCUCUUCCUCCAUAUAUACAGCCCUUAGGGCAUCGUUUAGACUUUGGGUUUUGUUUAGAUUAAAAGUUCGCCAUAGUUGCAACUUCGCGUACUUCGUUUGUGUUCAACGACCAGACAAAGGCGUCACAGAACCCCACCUUGAUCAAUAAAGCUUUCAUCUUAUAUUCGCAAUAUCCAGAUUGCAAUCUCAGUUUCUUGCUUGUUCUUCGUUUGCUCGCAGGAAACAGACCCUCGUGGUCAGGUUGAUCGUGCUCCGGCGUGGUCAAUAACCUCUCGGAGUUGGUUUAGCGAUUGCUAAGGCGCGACGUCCUCGCACGUUCGUAGUCGGAUCGUCAAAGUCGACUUCCACCAAAGCGAUAUCCAUCAUCUCAUCGAAAGACGGGACACCUUUGCCUCUAUCACUUUGUUUUAGGUUUACCUCGAACAAAGAAGGGGAGGGAUAGCAUAUUUGUUGUCGUGGAUAGAUUCUCGAAAAUGGCACACUUUAUACCAUGUCAUAAAAGCGAUGAUGCUGUUAAUGUUGCUGAUUUGUUCUUUCGUGAAAUUAUUCGCUUGCAUGGUGUGCCAAAUACUAUUGUUUCAGAUCGUGAUACUAAAUUUCUUAGCCACUUUUGGAGAUGUUUAUGGGCUAAGUUGGUGACUAAACUGCUUUUUAGUACUACUUGUCACCCCCAAACUGAUGGACAAACUGAAGUAGUCAAUAGAACAUUGUCUACUAUGCUUAGGGCUGUUUUGAAGAAUAAUAAGAAAAUGUGGGAAGAAUGCUUGCCUCAUAUUGAGUUUGCUUAUAAUCGUUCAUUGCAUUCUACUACUAAGAUGUGCCCUUUUGAAAUUGUGUAUGGUUUCCUACCUCGUGCACCUAUUGAUUUGUUGCCUCUUCCAUCUCCGGAGAAGGUUAAUUUUGAUGCUAAACAACGUGCUGAAUUGAUCUUAAAAAUGCAUGAGUUAACUAAGGAAAACAUUGAGCGUAUGAAUGCUAAAUAUAAACUUGCUGGAGAUAAGGGUAGAAAACAUGUUGUGUUUGCACCUGGAGAUCUUGUUUGGUUACAUUUGCGUAAGGAUAGAUUUCCUGAUUUGCGCAAAUCAAAGCUAAUGCCACGUGCUGAUGGUCCUUUUAAGGUGUUAGAGAAAAUAAAUGAUAAUGCAUAUAAACUUGAGCUGCCUGCAGAUUUUGGGGUUAGUCCCACUUUUAACAUUGCAGAUUUGAAGCCUUAUUUGGGUGAGGGAGAUGAGCUUCCGUCGAGGAUGACUUCAUUUCAAGAAGGGGAGGAUGAUGAGGACAUCAAUACCAUUGUUACACCCACAGCCCCUGCUGCUAUACAUACUGGACCAAUUACUUGAGCUCGCGCACGCCAAUUAAAUUACCAGGUACUUUUGUUUCUUGGUAAUGAUUCUAAUGUUCAUGAGAAUAUGAUGCUGCCUAAAUUGGAUACAUUUGUUUUUCUUACAAAUGAAGGGCCUAGCUUUGAGAAGGAUGAACAUUGGAGCAAGAACAAGCAUGGAGAUGAUGGCAUGCGCAUGGGGGACAAGAACGGAGUUACAAGUGAUGAUUUCAGGACAUUGAAGCCACCAUAAUGCGUGCAUGAAGCCUUGGACGAAAUAUACAAGAUGCUACUUCAUAACUUUCGUCCAGAGGCUAUUCUAGGUGCUGCGUCACCUUAUUAUUGGGCCAGGCCCAUGUAAUUUCGAAAUACUUGAGUAUAGGCUAUUUUUAGAGUCCGUAUGUGUGGGGAAACAAGAGAUAGGGUUGGUUUCGGACCCCUUUCCCAAGGGCCACGAAAUUCCCCCCUCUUCCUCCAUAUAUACAGCCCUUAGGGCGUCGUUCAGACUUUGGGUUUUGUUUAGAUUAAAAGUUCGCCAUAGCUGCAACUUCGCGUACUUCGUUUGUGUUCAACGACCAGACAAAGGCGUCAUAGAACCCCACCUUCAUCAAUAAAGCUUUCAUCUUAUAUUCGCAAUAUCCAGAUUGCAAUCUCAGUUUCUUGCUUGUUCUUCGUUUGCUCGCAGGAAACAGACCCUCGUGGUCAGGUUGAUCGUGCUCCGGCGUGGUCAAUAACCUCUCGGAGUUGGUUUAGCGAUUGCUAAGGCGCGACGUCAUCGCACGUUCGUAGUCGGAUCGUCAAAGUCGACUUCCACCAAAGCGAUAUCCAUCAUCUCAUCGAAAGACGGGACACCUUUGCCUCUAUCAAGUGGUAUCAGAUUUCCAGGUUGCUCGGUGAGAUUUUACAGUUUUUCGUAGUUACGGGUCAAAAUUGUUGGAGUUGGUAGUGGGAAAGGCUAUGGUGGUGCUAUGCAGAAGUGGUGGUGGUAUGCGGAAGUGUAUGUGGGCACCGGGACAAAAUUUGGUGAGAGUUAGGCGGUAAACGGAGUGGAGGAUGGAGUUGAUGCUGUCAGGGGCCGGAUGCGGGCUGAUGGACGGAUGUCCGGGCUCGGGAUCCGUGGAUGAACACCGCGUGCAGAGGUCAAAUCCGGGGCGAAAUUCGGAAGAUUUUGUGGAUGGAAAUUGGGGAAAAGAUGGGGAAAAGCUAGAUCUACCUGCAACACACGAAAUCCACGGAUCAAAUCCAACAAAACUUCAUCACACCAACAAAUCACAAAAAAAUUUGGGGCUAUUUUUGUCGGGGAAUUUUCGGGUUAGGACGAAAAACAACAAAAUCAAGCUAGAAAACAAAGAGAGGUGGCUCCAAAAUCGUGAUUAACGUGGCUCUGAUACCAAGAUGAUGUAGGGUGGAACCCUAGAUGGCCGAUCUUUCAUGAAAGGAGCGGAUCCCAACUUAGAACACGAAGAACACGAGGGGAAACACGAGGGGAAGAUACGAGAGAAUCACUCAAACCAACAAGAACAAUCACACAUGUGCUAGAUCCUCGGAACACAAAGAGAUACACGAUCCAAAUCCAACAAGGGACGAUACAUAGGUAACCGGUUCUUCUCCGAAAGGAUGUCUUGAGGGGGGCCACCCAAGAGGGGGUCUUGAAUCCAACGUGGAUCGUCUCCGAAGAGGGGCCGCAGUCUCUCUCGAGGAGGAGAUCCAUAUGGAUGAGCAAUGCUCUAUCUCACAUAUGAGCUAAACCAAUGCUGACCCUAGAAAGAUGGAGGAGAAGGAGUAUAUAUAGUCUAGGGGUCGAAGGGGUACACGGGCCUCGGCCCUUACGGUGCGCACACAGGGGUGGCCGGAUGUCCGGGCGAUGGGCCGGAUGUCCGGGGCUUCAGGAGGGGCCGGAUGUCCGGGCUGGGGGGCCGGACGUCCGGGCUGGAGGGCAAAACUUCUGGAUGUUCUGUAGCGAGGCGCCGGAUGUCCGGGCUUUUGACCGGAGUUCCGGGCUGGGGCCGGAUGUCCGGGCUGGACGCCAGAUGUCCGGGCCUUGUAGGCUUGGGCGUCUGGGCUGCUGCUGUUGUGGUUGCUCAGGGGCCGGAUGUCCGGGACCUGGAAGGUGAACUUGCCCGUUUCCGUUGGUUCUCUUCAUCCGUGAACUUGGCGGCUUGUCCGUCUUCACGUGCAUCCUUGGGAGGCUCCUCUUGACACCUAAUCAUGCAUAGCAUAUCGGACGUAGGUAGUAGCCAUGUCUCGAGUGGAUCAUAUGUGGUAUCACUAAGGAAGGAAGUCACCUCGUUCUCGAGAGCUCUAGCUCGUGCUCGUGUCAUAGGUCCUCUUGGCUCUUGAUGAGACGAUGGUAGGUCCAUGGGGAUGACCGUAGGAUGCUCCGCAUCAACAAGCCUGCUCAGGGCCUCUAGACUAUCCCGCUCUCAUGUCCGUUUGCGGUCUGGGGGCUGGACGUUUUGGGCCCGUUCCCUCGAGCGCCCGGGGGCUACCGCUACCUCUACGUCGCCAUUGACAAGUUCACCAAGUGGGCGGAGGUGGAGCCAGUCCGCACCAUCCCGGCCGACUUGGCGGUCAAGUUCAUCAAGGACCUUGUGAGCCGGUUCGGAGUCCCUAAUCGCAUCAUCACCGACAACGGCUCACAAUUCACUAGCAAUCUCUUCAAAUCAUAUUGUGCUAAUCUUGGAACGCAGAUAUGUUAUGCCGCAGUGGCACACCCCAGGAGCAACGGCCAAGCCGAGCACGCAAACGCAGAGGUCCUGAGGGGCCUCAAAGCAAGGACUUUCAAGAAGAAGCUCGAAGCCUGCGGCAGCGGCUGGCUGGACGAGCUCUAGUCCGUAAUGUGGUCCAUCCGCACCACCGCAACCAAGCCGACCGGCGAGACUCCAUUCUUCCUCGUCUACGGAGCUGAAGCGGUUCUCCCACAUGAGGUCAGGCAUGGCUCCGCAUGGGCUUGGCGUUUGACGAGGCACGCCAGGACGCCACGCGGGGGAUGGACCUCCUGCUGGGGAGGAACGCCGCCAUCAAGCCUCGCUCCGAGCGGCAACGUACCAGCAGGCGCUGCAGCGGUAUCACUGUCGCAGCGUCCGCUCCAGGACGCUCGAGGUGGGUGAUCUCGUCCUACGGCGGGUGCUCUCCAGGGAAGGGCUGCAUAAGCUCUCACCCAUGUGGGAGGGCCCGUUUAGGGUCGCCCGCGUCUCCAGGCCUGGCGCCGCGCGCCUGGAGACGCAGGACGGGAUCCCCAUCCAGAACGCCUGGAACAUCCAGCACCUCCGGAAGUUCUACCCAUGAAGCAAGGCCCAGUUCCUGUGAAGGUCUUCGCUCGUGACACUCUCACGUAAUAAUGAGUGGGGCUGUACAUGCCCCGGAGUCUCCAGAGUGCCGCCCUCCAGCCUCGGGGGCUCCCUCCCACGUCCUAGUGGCAGCACUUUAGCUCCGCGCUGGUGAGAAGACUAGACUAUGUGCCGGACAUGGCUGUUCGUUUGUUUCUGUAGUUGGUUUACAACCUUUUUAAUGAAAUUUGGAGUUCGUGUGCUUUUAGUUGCCAAGCCGACUUUCCCCUUCGUUUUCUCUCUUGCGCUUUGGUCCUGGUUCAGGAGGAGCGGCAGUUGCCCGUCGCUCUCUCUCACGCAUCUCACGCGUGGGUGCUGGGUGGGUGUGUGCAUGAGACGGGCUCGCACCGCGCCACAUACACACUUUCACCAUAGCCCUACUCCUUCAGAGCUUCGGCUUAUUCUGUCCUCGCGAGACGCCCUCGAGGAAACUCGCGAUCUACGCACCCUCUUGAAGCCCUUUCCCCCCGGGCACUAUGACGCGGUGCACCGAGCCACGACUGGCUCGUGCCUGAGGGAUCGCUCCAGGAAGAAUGACACACCCGACAAAGUUUCCUAACAACUCCGCAGCUUCACGAUGCCUCCUGAGGUCGGUGACUCUCAAGCCGCCAGCAAGGAGGGCCUCACCAGAUAAUGAAGCACACACCCUCGCGAGGUGGGAAACUAUCGUGAGUGUAUCAAGCUAAGUUAUUCUACCAUACCCAUUUGGAGCAAAAACACCGCAGCAUAACAUCGGAACGAUAAGCAUAGAGUAGCAGCAUAAAUGCCAUGGUUCAUUACACGCCCCUGCAGGGCCCUCUACUUUUUCAAAUGCAGGAAGGAAGGAAAGGUUAAACAAAAGCAGCCCGCACAACCGCGGCAGCUCAUGAGGCCUGGCUCCAAGGGCCCCCCGGGGUGAGCUCAGCCUGAGCCCUCCUCACGCUUCACCGCCGCAUGCCGGCGGGACGACCUGUCACCACCCUCGAAGCGAGCCCGGCGGCGUGGCGGCUGGUCAUAGCCGCCGCUGCUGGUGCUCUCACUGGCGGAGGGGCCGCUGCCGUUGGAUGAGCCGUGGCCGUCGCCAAAGGCAAGCUCGCCCCCAGCAUCGUCACGGCUAUCGUCAAGGCCGAGCUCAUCGUCGCUGUCGCUGUCUUCGGGGCAACACCCUACGCGACGACCAUCUUCCCCAAACACCCUCACGCGACACCGUCGUACUUGAAGUGGAGGGUGCACCUCCUGCUCAGGCCGCGCAUGCGGGCGAACGCCUGCCAGCCGUGGGCCAGGGCCACGUUGCCCGCGGCGGAGACCUCCACCGUGACCCACGAGGGCUUGCUGCAGCAACCACCAGCCUGCAGCCAGAGGCCGUCAAGAUCCACAGCCGGCAGCUCGCCGUCAAAGGAGUGCGGAAGCUGGAGCCAGGUGCCGGCCGGACUCUCUGACCACACGACGAACUCCGGGAGCAUCUUCGCCAACUCAAUUAUCCCAUCUAUGACAAAGAGCUAUAUGCUUUAGUGUGAGUUUUGCGUGAAUGGGAACAUUACCUCCGCCCUCAUGAAUUUAUCAUCCAUACCGAUCAUGAAAUGCUUAAAUACCUUAAGGGUCAAACUAAGUUGAACAAGCGUCAUGCUAAGUGGAGUGAAUUUAUUGAGUCUUUUGCUUAUGUCAUCAAGUAUAUUAAAGGGAAGGAAAAUGUUGUGGCGGAUGCGCUUUCCCGUUUAUGCAUGCUUGUUACCCAACUUGAAUUCAAUGUCAUUGGCUUUGAGCACAUAAAAGACUUGUAUGAGCAUGAUCCUACUUUUGCCAUUCCUUAUGCCAAAUGUUUGACGCAUACAUCUUGGGAACGUUAUUACAUCAAAGAUGGAUAUCUUAUGAGAGCUAACAAACUUUGCAUCCCCGAGUCUUCUCUUCGUUUGUUACUUUUGCAAGAAUCUCAUGGAGGAGGACUAAUGGGACAUUUUGGACGCAACUAGACAUUUGCUACGCUCUCCAAGAACUAUUUUUGGCCUAAGAUGUUUCGCGACGUCAACCGCUUCACCAACCAAUGUUCUACAUGUCGCAAAGCAAAGUCUAAAGCUCAAUCUCAUGGCCUUUACAUGCCACUUCCAAUUCCAUAUCAACCAUGAGAAGAUAUUAGCAUGGAUUUUGUACUUGGUUUGCCUAGAACUCGAAAUGGCAAAGAUUCCGUUUUUGUAGUUGUGGAUCGAUUCUCCAAAAUGGCUCAUUUCAUUCCUUGCAACAAGAUAGACGAUGCUUCACAUGUUGCCAAUCUGUUUUGUAGGGAAAUCUUGCAUCUUCAUGGAGUGCCCAAGACGAUUGUCUCGGACCGCGACGUCAAGUUCUUGAGUUACUUUUGGAAGACCUUAUGCGCCAAGCUCGGAAUCAAGCUACUAUUCUCCACGGCAUAUCAUCCACAAACCGACGGCCAAACGGAGGUGACAAACCGUACGCUCUCCACCCUUCUUCGCUUGCUAAUCGAGAAGAACAUCAAGGAGUGGGAAGAGUGCUUACCCAUCGCCGAGUACGCCUACAACCGAGCAAGACAUUCGACUACCGGCAAGUCCCCCUUCGAGGUCAUCUACGGCUUCAACCCGUUGUCCCCAUUGGACAUUCUUCCUCUACCACUACAAGAGCGCAUCAACAUGGACGCGAGUGGCCAAGUCAACUAUCUCAAGAAGAUGCAUUAUGAUAGUAGGAACACCAUCGAACGUCAAGUACAACGACUCGCGACCAAGCUCAACGUCAACAAGCACCCCAUGAUCUUCAACAUUGGCGAUCUUGUGUGGCUACACCUUCGCAAGGACCGCUUCCCCAACAAACGCAAGUCCAAACUUCUACCACGAGCGGAUGGACCCUUCAAGGUGCUAGCACGCUACAACAACAACGCUUACAAGAUCGACCUACCAUGCGACAAGUACAACGUGAGCGACAUCUUCAACGUCAAGGAUCUUUCGCCCUACCAUGGUGAUGAAGAAUUCGAUCCGAGGUCGGAUCUUUACCAAGGGAGGGGAGAUGAUGCGGAGCAUCCCAAGGUCAUCCCCAUGGACCUACCUACGUCUCCCACGACACCACUUGGACCAAUGACAAGAGCCCGAGCUAAGGCUAUCGAAGAUAAGGUGAACUCGCUCCUUUCCGAACUACCACUUUCGACACAUGAGACAUGGCUACUACCUCAAACGGAAACACUAUGUGUGCUUAGGUACUUGGACUAAAGCCAUGGUACAUCUACAUCCAACGAACAAGACGGCAAGGCCACCAACCGUGAAGGACAAGAAGAAGAGCUACCGAAGAAAACUGCAACCACCGAACGACCGGUCGGGACCGGACGUCCGGCGCCUGAAGGCCAACCUGCCCAAGUCCCAGCCAACGCAGGUCCCAGCGAGCGGACAUCCGGCCCGGACCGGACGACCGGCCACACUCUCCAGCGAGUGGACGACCGACGUCAACGAACGUCCGGCACCCCCAACAGAAUGGAUAUUAACGGAAGUAUGGAGAUACCGGACGUCUGGCGCCUCCUUCACAGAACAGAUCUGGCAGAUGUCCGACGACUCCGGACGUCCGGACCCCCAUGAGCCACCGGACGUCCGGACCCCCGUGAGCCACCGGACGACCGGUCCCCAGCGUACCUGUCUGUGCACAGUGUUCGGGCUAGAGGCCCAUGUACCCUUUCACUUCGCCCCAUUUGCACUAAGACUAUAAAUAGAACUCCCCCUCCUCCUAGUAGGGUUAGCAAAGGGUUAGCUCAUGUUUGUGUGAGAGCUUUGCUCAUCCACUUGGUUACUUUCUCCUCGGAGACAUGCCUCCAUCAGAGAAGAUCCUUCCAAGCGGAUUCAAGACCCCCUCUUGGGUGGCCCCAUCAAGACCUCCUCACGGAGAAGAACCGGUUACCUUUGUAUCGUCCUUUGUUGGACUUGGAUCUUGUAUCUCACCUUUGUGUUCAUCGAUCUAGCGCAUGUGUGAUCUAUUCUUGUUGGUUGAGUGAUUCUCUCGUGUUUCCUCUUGUGUUUUCCCUUGUGUUUCCCCGUGUGUUCAUCGUGUUCUUAGUCGGGAUUCGCUCCUUUCGUGAAAGAUCGGCCGUACGGAGUUCCACUCCACAUCAUCGGGCUCCACCGACACUUCCGCCCUCGUCGAGCACUCGGCGUACUUCGUCAGCACGGUACUGCGUGACGCACGGGCAGGCUACCCCAUGCCGCCGAAGCUUCUGCUCGCGCUCCUCGUUGCCUCGCGCAAGCUGCGCCACUACUUCCAAGGUCACCCCAUCAAGGUUGUCUCAGCUUACCUGUUGGAGAGGGUGCUCCGGAGCCCUAAUGCUGCGGGAAGGGUCGCCGAAUGGAACAUCGAACUGCAGGCAUUCCAGCUGGAGUUCAGCACCACCAGGGUCAUCAAGGGCGCCGUGCUCGCCGACUUCGUGGCGGAAUGGACCGACGCCCCAAGGCCCAAAGCAGAGGAGGACCGGUCCCUCUUGCCAGGGAGCGAAGGACUAGACGGCUGGGUCAUGUACUUUGACCGUGCUUUCGCACGUCAGGGCGCGGGGGCUGGAACCGUGCUCAUCUCGCCCACCCAAGACAAGCUCUACUACGCCGUGCAGCUCUGUUUCCAACACGGCGAGAAGGUCUCCAACAAGAUCUCGGAGUACGAAGGCUUGAUCGCCGUCCUCAAGGCCGCGGCCGCUUUGGGCGUGAAGUGGCUCACCAUCAAGGGCGACUCUCAGCUCCUCGUCAACUUGAUAGAGGCAAAGGUGUCCCGAUCUUUCGAUGAGAUGAUAACUAUCGAUUUGGUGGAGACGACUUUGACGAUCCGACUACAAACGUGCACGAUGUUGCGCCUUAUCAAUCGCUAAACCAAUCUCCUGAGGUUACUGACGAUGCCGGAAGCACGAUCAGCCUGACCACGAAGGUCUAUUCCUGCAAGCAAUCGAAGAACGAGCAAGAAUAUGAUAAUGCAAUCUGAAUAUUGCAAAUAUAUAUGAAGUAUUGAUAGUGGUGGGAAUCCGUAAGCAGUCUUGGUCUGGUCGUUGGACACAAACGAAGUACACGAAGUUGCAAUGGCUAACUUUUAACUAAACAAAUUCCAAGGAAAAAGCUACUAGAUGGAUCUACUUAUAUAUGAGCAAGGGGUGGCGGCCAAGGAGGUGGGAGGACGUCCCAAGGCAGCCUAAAACCAACCCUAGGUCGUACAAGGCUCAUGGGCCCAAGUGGAGGUUGAUAAAGGCAAAGGUGUCCCGUCUUUCGAUGAGAUGAUGAAUAUCGCUUUGAUGGAAGUCGACUUUGACGAUCCGACUACGAACGUGCGAGGACGUCGCGCCUUAGCAAUCGCUAAACCAACUCCGAGAGGUUAUUGACCACGCCGGAGCACGAUCAACCUGACCACGAGGGUCUGUUUCCUGCGAGCAAACGAAGAACAGGCAAGAAACUGAGAUUGCAAUCUGGAUAUUGCGAAUAUAAGAUGAAAGCUUUAUUGAUCAAGGUGGGGUUCUGUGACGCCUUUGUCUGGUCGCUGAACACAAACGAAGUACGCGAAGUUGCAGCUAUGGCGAACUUUUAAUCUAAACAAAACCCCAAGUCUAAACGACGCCCUAAGGGCUGUAUAUAUGGAGGAAGAGGGGGGGGGGAACUUCGUGGCCCUUGAGGAAGGGGUCCGAAACCAACCCUAUCUCUUGUUUCCCCACACAUACGGACUCUAAAAACAGCCUAUACUUAUGUAUUUCGAAAUUACAUGGGCCUGGCCCAAUAAUAAGGUGACGCUGCACCUAGAAUAGCCUCUGGACGAAAGUUAUGAAGUAGCAUCUUGUAUAUUUCGUCCAAGGCUUCAUGCACGCAUUAUGGUGGCUUCAACGUCCUGAAAUCAUCACUUGUAACUCCGUUCUUGUUCCCCAUGCGCAUGCCAUCAUCUCCAUGCUUGUUCUUGCUCCAAUGUUCAUCCUUCUCAAAGCUAGGCCCUUCAUUUGUAAGCAAAACAAAUGUAUCCAAUUUAGGCAGCAUCAUAUUCUCAUGAACAUUAGAAUCAUUAGCAAGAAACGAAAGUACCUGGUAAUUUAAUUGGCGUGCGCGAGCUCUAGUAAUUGGUCCAGUAUGUAUAGCAGCAGGGACUGUGGGUGUAAUAAUUGUAUUGAUGUCCUCAUCAUCCUCCCCUUCUUGAAAUGAAGUCGUCCUCGACGGAAGCUCAUCUUCCUCACCCAAAUAAGGCUUCAAAUCUGCAAUAUUAAAAGUGGGACUAACCCCAAAAGCUGCAGGCAGCUCAAGUUUAUAUGCAUUAUCAUUUAUUUUCUCUAACACCUUAAAAGGACCAUCAGCACGUGGCAUUAGCUUUGAUUUGCGCAAAUCAGGAAAUCUAUCCUUACGCAAAUGUAACCAAACAAGAUCUCCAGGUGCAAACACAACAUGUUUUCUACCCUUAUCUCCAGCAAGUUUAUAUUUAGCAUUCAUACGCUCAAUGUUUUCCUUAGUUAACUCAUGCAUUUUUAAGAUCAAUUCAGCACGUUGUUUAGCAUCAAAAUUAACCCUCUCCGAAGAUGGAAGAGGCAACAAAUCAAUAGGUGCACGAGGUAGGAAACCAUACACAAUUUCAAAAGGGCACAUCUUAGUAGUAGAAUGCAAUGAACGAUUAUAAGCAAACUCAAUAUGAGGCAAGCAUUCUUCCCACAUUUUCUUAUUAUUCUUCAAAACAGCCCUAAGCAUAGUAGACAAUGUUCUAUUGACUACUUCAGUUUGUCCAUCAGUUUGGGGGUGACAAGUAGUACUAAAAAGCAGUUUAGUCCCCAACUUAGCCCAUAAACAUCUCCAAAAGUGGCUAAGAAAUUUAGUAUCACGAUCGGAAACAAUAGUAUUUGGCACACCAUGCAAGCGAAUAAUUUCACGAAAGAACAAAUCAGCAACAUUAACAGCAUCAUCGCUUUUAUGACAUGGUAUAAAGUGUGCCAUUUUCGCGAAUCUAUCCACGACAACAAAUAUGCCAUCCCUCCCCUUCUUUGUUCGAGGUAAACCUAAAACAAAGUCCAUAGAUAUAUCCUCCCAAGGAACACUAGGUACAAGCAAAGGCAUAUAUAAACCAUGAGGAUUGAGUCAUGACUUAGCUUUUUGACAUGUAGUGCAGCGAGCAACAAAACGCUCAACAUCCCGUCUCAUCUUUGGCCAAAAGAAAUGUGUAGCAAGUACGUCCUCUGUCUUCUUCACGCCAAAGUGUCCCAUUAAUCCUCCGCCAUGCGCCUCCUGCAACAACAAAAGACGAAGAGAGCUAGCUGGAAUGCAUAGCUUGUUAGCACGGAACACAAAUCCAUCAUUAACGACAAACUUGUUCCAGGUUCUUCCUUCUUUACAAUUCUGCAAUACAUCUUUAAAAUCAGCAUCAUGCACAUAUUGAUCUUUGAUGGUCUCCAAACAAAAUAUUUUGAAGUCAAGUUGUGAAAGCAUAGUAUAGCGACGAGACAAUGCAUCAGCAAUAACAUUUUCUUUACCCUUCUUGUGUUUAAUGACAUAAGGGAAAGUUUCAAUGAAUUCAACCCAUUUAGCAUGUCUACGAUUCAGUUUAGCUUGACUUUUAAUAUGUUUCAAAGAUUCAUGAUCAGAAUGUAUAACAAAUUCUUUGGGCCAUAAAUAAUGUUGCCAUGUUUCUAAAGUCCGAACAAGAGCAUAUAGUUCUUUAUCAUAAGUAGAAUAAUUCAGACUAGGCCCACUCAAUUUUCAGAAAAGUAUGCAACAGGUUUGCCAUCUUGUAAUAACACACCUCCUAAUCCAAUGCCACUAGCAUCACAUUCAAGCUCAAAAGUCUUACUAAAAUCAGGAAGUUGGAGUAAAGGAGCAUGUGUCAACUUAUCUUUCAAUACCGUGAAGGCUUCUUCCUGUGCGGUACCCCAAACAAAAGGCACAUCCUUCUUUGUAAGCUCGUUGAGAGGUGCAGCAAUGGUGCUAAAAUCUCUCAGAAAACGCCUAUAGAAACCAGCGAGUCCAAGAAAACUCCGCACUUGUGUGACCGUUUUGGGCUGCGGCCAACUCUCAAUAGCUUCAAUCUUGGCUUUAUCAACUUCAAUUCCCUGUGGAGUAACAACAUAGCCAAGAAAAGAUACUCGGUCGGUGCAAAAGGUGCACUUCCCAAGGUUACCAAACAAACGUGCAUCACGUAGAGCAAUAAAAACAGCACGUAAAUGUUCCAAAUGUUCUUCCAAAGAUUUGCUAUAAAUCAGUAUAUCAUCAAAAUAGACUACCACAAAUCGUCCAAUGAAAGCACGUAAAACUUCGUUCAUUAGUCUCAUGAAAGUACUAGGUGCAUUAGUUAACCCAAAAGGCAUGACUAACCACUCAUAUAAACCAUACUUAGUUUUAAAUGCAGUUUUCCAUUCAUCUCCCAAUUUCAUACGAAUUUGAUGGUAUCCACUACGCAAAUCAACUUUGGAGAAUAUUGUAGAGCCACUCAAUUCAUCAAGCAUAUCAUCUAGCCUAGGAAUAGGAUGACGAUAACGAAUAGUAAUAUUAUUAAUGCCUCUACAAUCAACACACAUACGCGACGUACCAUCCUUUUUAGGCACUAGUAUAAUAGGAACAGCACAAGGACUAAGAGAUUCGCGUAUAUAACCUUUGUCGAGCAGCUCCUGUACUUGACGCAUAAUCUCCUUCGUCUCCUCUGGAUUGGUACGGUAUGGUGCACGGUUGGGUAGCGAUGCACCGGGAAUUAAGUCAAUUUGAUGCUCAAUCCCUCGAAUAGGUGGUAAUCCCGGUGGCACGUCUUGUGGGAAGACGUCAGCGAACUCCUGCAAAAUGUUAGUGACAGCAGGGGGCAAAGAGGAAGGCACGUCCUCGACUGAAAAUAAUGCCUCUUUGCACACAAAAGCAUAGCAAACAGAUUUGUUGAAAUCUAGCUCAUCAAUAUCAGAUUUUGUGGCAAGUAAACAUGCACUUUUCAAUUUAAUUUCAGAAACAACACUAGAUGGUUUAUUAUUAGGUUUCAUUUGUUGCUCAAAUUCCUUUGCCACAAUCUGAUUUUCAGUCUUAUUUUUCUCCUGUUUUGCUUUAUUAGCUCUAUUAAUGUCAUCUUUCAAAAUGGAAUCAGGAGUCAUAGGAAGCAAAGUAAUAUUUUUAUCCUUAUGAACAAGAGUAUACUGAUUGUUUCUACCAUGGUGUACAGAAUUUUUAUCAAAUUGCCAUGGUCUACCUAGUAAUAAGGGACAUGCUUGCAUGGGUACCACAUCACAAUCAACAUAAUCAGCAUAUGUAGGGAUACUAAAAUGCACACGAACAGUACGUGUUACCUUAACCUUGCCGCUGUUGUUGAACCAUUGGAUGUAGUAAGGAUGUGGAUGUGGUCUUGUGGUGAGAGAUAGCUUCUCCACCAUCUCCAUGCUAGCCAAGUUGUUACAGCUCCCUCCAUCUAUGAUGACGCGAACAGAACGUUCCUUCACAACUCCCUUUGUAUGGAACAAAUUAUGCCUCUGAUUUUGCUCUGCUUGUGUGACCUGCACACUCAAAACACGUUGAGCAACUAAACAUUCAUACCUGUCAGCGUCUUCAGGAGCCAUGUAUUGCGUCUCAUUUUCAGAAUCAUCGCCACCAUGUUCUUCACGUGUAAUAAGAGCCAAAGUCUCCUCAUCAUAGUCACUAGCGGACUCAUACCCACCAUCCUCAGUAGCAAUCAUGACACGCUGAGAUUUGCAUUCUCUCGCAAAAUGUCCUCUUCCCUUACAACGACGACAAAUAAUAUCACUUGUGUGCCCUGUCGAUGCCAUGGAAGAAGAAGAGCUCUGCACAGGCCCGGCAGGUGUGCUCUUGGCAGAGAGUGGUGGUUGUGCCUGCUUUCUUGUAUCACGGCUGGAGGUGGCACCUGAUGGAGGGGAUGGUGAAGUGGAAGUAGAAGAUGCACGCGGUGUCCAUGAUGAAGGUCGACCUGCAGAAAAGUUAGUUCGCGCCAAUGGCUGUCGAUCCUGCACUUCACGUUCAGCUUUACAAGCAAGAUGGAAUAAACGAGUGAUAUUAUUAUAAUCCUUAUACUCUAGAAUGGUCUGAAUCUCUUUAUUUAAUCCACCCAUAAAACGUGCAAGCAUAGCUUCAUUCUCCUCAACAAUACCACAUCUAAUCAUGCCAGUUUGUAAUUCCUGAUAAUAUUCUUCUACAGAAUUUUUUCCUUGUCUUAAACGCUGCAAUUUUUGAAGUAAUUCACGUUGAUAAUAUAGUGGAACCCAACGAGUACGCAUAGCAGUUUUCAAAGCAGCCCAAGUAGCUGGAACAGGAUAUAAUCUACAAUGUUCAGACCACCAAACACAUGCAAAGCUAGUGAAAGCACAAACAGCAGCAGGAACACGUCUCUCCUCAGGAUAUUGUAAACAUGUAAAUCGUUGUUCAGUUUCUAACUCCCAAGUAAGAUAUAUAUCAGGAACAUAUCUACCCUCAAAUGGUGGAAUAUUCAAUUUCAGUUUAGGGAGAUGGUCAUGAUCUCGUACCUGAGGUGGUGGUGCCGGCCUACCGUUGCGAAUAUAUACCUGAGGUCGACCUGCUGGUGGUGGUGCUGGUGGCUGCACGUAGUUCUGAUUUUGAUCAACCUCAUCCUCAUAAUCGCCCGCAUAAUCAUCAUCCUCCUCAGCCGCCGCAGGAGCAGGAGCCAAAGAAGCAUCAACAGUAGGUGCAGCAGCACCCGAAUUUUGACCAAUCUCAAUUGGAACGCGCUGUGCCCGUCCCACUUGAUUUGGAAGGCGGCGUUGGAGAUGUGGUUGUUGUUGUUGUAGAGGUGCGACAUGUGCAGCCGGUGGUGGUUGGGGAAGACGCUUGAGUAAUUCAGUAAACUUGUUAUCCAGCUUUGUCUCGAACGACUUCUCCACGGCAUCUAUCUUCUCCAUAGCCUCUUCAAAUCUGUUUAGCACAUCUCCCACCUGGCCACUCAUCAUUUGCUGAAAUUUAUCAUGCAACUCCUUGUUCGUCAUGUUCUCCCAAUCAGUCUCAUCGGCUUGUGAACCUGCCAUGGUUAGCAGCAAUAGAAACACAAAAGAAUAUGAUCCUGCAGACUACUAGAAGUGGUGGUGAUGGUGGUGUGUCACAAAACCUUCAAGCGAAUUGAUAGAGGCAAAGGUGUCCCGUCUUUCGAUGAGAUGAUGAAUAUCGCUUUGAUGGAAGUCGACUUUGACGAUCCGACUACGAACGUGCGAGGACGUCGCGCCUUAGCAAUCGCUAAACCAACUCCGAGAGGUUAUCGACCACGCCGGAGCACGAUCAACCUGACCACGAGGGUCUGUUUCCUGCGAGCAAACGAAGAACAGGCAAGAAACUGAGAUUGCAAUCUGGAUAUUGCGAAUAUAAGAUGAAAGCUUUAUUGAUCAAGGUGGGGUUCUGUGACGCCUUUGUCUGGUCGCUGAACACAAACGAAGUACGCGAAGUUGCAGCUAUGGCGAACUUUUAAUCUAAACAAAACCCCAAGUCUAAACGACGCCCUAAGGGCUGUAUAUAUGGAGGAAGAGGGGGGGGGAACUUCGUGGCCCUUGAGGAAGGGGUCCGAAACCAACCCUAUCUCUUGUUUCCCCACACAUACGGACUCUAAAAACAGCCUAUACUUAUGUAUUUCGAAAUUACAUGGGCCUGGCCCAAUAAUAAGGUGACGCAGCACCUAGAAUAGCCUCUGGACGAAAGUUAUGAAGUAGCAUCUUGUAUAUUUCGUCCAAGGCUUCAUGCACGCAUUAUGGUGGCUUCAACGUCCUGAAAUCAUCACUUGUAACUCCGUUCUUGUUCCCCAUGCGCAUGCCAUCAUCUCCAUGCUUGUUCUUGCUCCAAUGUUCAUCCUUCUCAAAGCUAGGCCCUUCAUUUGUAAGCAAAACAAAUGUAUCCAAUUUAGGCAGCAUCAUAUUCUCAUGAACAUUAGAAUCAUUAGCAAGAAACGAAAGUACCUGGUAAUUUAAUUGGCGUGCGCGAGCUCUAGUAAUUGGUCCAGUAUGUAUAGCAGCAGGGACUGUGGGUGUAAUAAUUGUAUUGAUGUCCUCAUCACGGUCGGUGCAAAAGGUGCACUUCCCAAGGUUACCAAACAAACGUGCAUCACGUAGAGCAAUAAAAACAGCACGUAAAUGUUCCAAAUGUUCUUCCAAAGAUUUGCUAUAAAUCAGUAUAUCAUCAAAAUAGACCACCACAAAUCGUCCAAUGAAAGCACGUAAAACUUCGUUCAUUAGUCUCAUGAAAGUACUAGGUGCAUUAGUUAACCCAAAAGGCAUGACUAACCACUCAUAUAAACCAAACUUAGUUUUAAAUGCAGUUUUCCAUUCAUCUCCCAAUUUCAUACGAAUUUGAUGGUAUCCACUACGCAAAUCAACUUUGGAGAAUAUUGUAGAGCCACUCAAUUCAUCAAGCAUAUCAUCGAGCCUAGGAAUAGGAUGACGAUAACGAAUAGUAAUAUUAUUAAUGCCUCUACAAUCAACACACAUACGCGACGUACCAUCCUUUUUAGGCACGAGUAUAAUAGGAACAGCACAAGGACUAAGAGAUUCGCGUAUAUAACCUUUGUCGAGCAGCUCUUGUACUUGACGCAUAAUCUCCUUCGUCUCCUCUGGAUUGGUACGGUAUGGUGCACGGUUGGGUAGCGAUGCACCGGGAAUUAAGUCAAUUUGAUGCUCAAUCCCUCGAAUAGGUGGUAAUCCCGGUGGCACGUCUUGUGGGAAGACGUCAGCGAACUCCUGCAAAAUGUGAGUGACUGCAGGGGGCAAAGAGGAAGGCACGUCCUCGAAUGAAAAUAAUGCCUCUUUGCACACAAAAGCAUAGCAAACAGAUUUGCUGAAAUCUAGUUCAUCAAUAUCAGAUUUUGUGGCAAGCAAACAUGCACUUUUCAAUUUAAUUUCAGAAACAACACUAGAUGGUUUAUUAUUAGGUUUCAUUUGUUGCUCAAAUUCCUUUGCCACAAUCUGAUUUUCACUCUUAUUUUUCUCCUGUUUUGCUUUAUUAGCUCUAUUAAUGUCAUCUUUCAAAAUGGAAUCAGGAGUCAUAGGAAGCAAAGUAAUAUUUUUAUCCUUAUGAACAAGAGUAUACUGAUUGUUUCUACCAUGGUGUACAGAAUUUUUAUCAAAUUGCCAAGGUCUACCUAGUAAUAAGGAACAUGCUUGCAUGGGUACCACAUCACAAUCAACAUAAUCAGCAUAUGUAGAGAUACUAAAAUGCACACGAACAGUACGUGUUACCUUAACCUUGCCGCUGUUGUUGAACCAUUGGAUGUAGUAAGGAUGUGGAUGUGGUCUUGUGGUGAGAGAUAGCUUCUCCACCAUCUCCAUGCUAGCCAAGUUGUUACAGCUCCCUCCAUCUAUGAUGACGCGAACAGAACGUUCCUUCACAACUCCCUUUGUAUGGAACAAAUUAUGCCUCUGAUUUUGCUCUGCUUGUGUGACCUGCACACUCAAAACACGUUGAGCAACUAAACAUUCAUACCUGUCAGCGUCUUCAGGAGCCAUGUAUUGCGUCUCAUUUUCAGAAUCAUCUCCACCAUGUUCUUCACGUGUAAUAAGAGCCAAAGUCUCCUCAUCAUAGUCACUAGCGGACUCAUACCCACCAUCCUCAGUAGCAAUCAUGACACGCUGAGAUUUGCAUUCUCUCGCAAAAUGUCCUCUUCCCUUACAACGACGACAAAUAAUAUCACUUGUGUGCCCUGUCAAAUUGGUUCGGAUAUGAUGAACUAACCCUAAAUUUUUUUUUGUGGCUUUUUCGUGGACUGUAGGUAUGAAGAACAGACUCGAUCUAAACUACGAAAAACUGUAAAAUCUCACCGAACAACCUGGAAAUCUGAUACCACUUGAUAGAGGCAAAGGUGUCCCGUCUUUCGAUGAGAUGAUGAAUAUCGCUUUGAUGGAAGUCGACUUUGACGAUCCGACUACGAACGUGCGAGGACGUCGCGCCUUAGCAAUCGCUAAACCAACUCCGAGAGGUUAUCGACCACGCCGGAGCACGAUCAACCUGACCACGAGGGUCUGUUUCCUGCGAGCAAACGAAGAACAGGCAAGAAACUGAGAUUGCAAUCUGGAUAUUGCGAAUAUAAGAUGAAAGCUUUAUUGAUCAAGGUGGGGUUCUGUGACGCCUUUGUCUGGUCGCUGAACACAAACGAAGUACGCGAAGUUGCAGCUAUGGCGAACUUUUAAUCUAAACAAAACCCCAAGUCUAAACGACGCCCUAAGGGCUGUAUAUAUGGAGGAAGAGGGGGGGGGAACUUCGUGGCCCUUGAGGAAGGGGUCCGAAACCAACCCUAUCUCUUGUUUCCCCACACAUACGGACUCUAAAAACAGCCUAUACUUAUGUAUUUCGAAAUUACAUGGGCCUGGCCCAAUAAUAAGGUGACGCAGCACCUAGAAUAGCCUCUGGACGAAAGUUAUGAAGUAGCAUCUUGUAUAUUUCGUCCAAGGCUUCAUGCACGCAUUAUGGUGGCUUCAACGUCCUGAAAUCAUCACUUGUAACUCCGUUCUUGUUCCCCAUGCGCAUGCCAUCAUCUCCAUGCUUGUUCUUGCUCCAAUGUUCAUCCUUCUCAAAGCUAGGCCCUUCAUUUGUAAGCAAAACAAAUGUAUCCAAUUUAGGCAGCAUCAUAUUCUCAUGAACAUUAGAAUCAUUAGCAAGAAACGAAAGUACCUGGUAAUUUAAUUGGCGUGCGCGAGCUCUAGUAAUUGGUCCAGUAUGUAUAGCAGCAGGGACUGUGGGUGUAAUAAUUGUAUUGAUGUCCUCAUCAAGAAUCACCCAAUUCGGAGUCCGUAUGAAAAAGUUGUUGGCGUUUUGAGUCAGGUAUGUCUGUGCAGUCCGAAUCUGAAUCCAGAACGUGAGAGACUUGGACUCUAUCUUCUCUUGGCCCAAAAGUGACGUGAGAGGACUUUUUGAACAGAACCUAAACUUCUCCUUUUGCCUUAUCUUCAUAUGUGGAUUGUACAAAUGUCCCAUACACCUGCAAUUAGACAAAACACAAAAGUGUGUGAAGUAUUUUUGUUCUGGAUAACAUAAAUAGAUUAUUGAAUAGUUUGCACUAGAAAUCACCUGACAAAUAUGCAUGUAUGCAAUAUUUUUGGUCGUAUCCAAGGUAGUCAUGUCCUCAUCAUCCUCCCCUUCUUGAAAACAAAGCCGUCCUCGGCGUUGCUUAAUCUGAAAUGUGGCUAACAAAAGAGACAAGGUGUACAUGUUGUAUAUGUAUACGUCAUCCAUUUUUACUUCCCGUGGAUUUUGCACAUAUGACACAUGUAUACAUGAGUAACUUUCAUAGUUAAUAAAAUAUAAAGCCAAAAUAUUAUCACAAGAAGUAGAAGGCAUGAAAGUAUUGCAACUCAGUUUGCACAUAUAAGUGAAGCUCUUAUUCAUAUGAAAAGAUUGACAAUAUUCAUCAUUAAACCAUCCCAACAUUGAUGAACCUUCACCAAGAUUAGAGGUCAUAUCAAAAUGAUUAAACAUUGGCACAAUUAUUUUCAAACAUAUUUGAUCCAAAUCUGAUUUAUUCCCUGAUUCACUUGAUUCUUUUGCAUCGAUAGUUAAUUCAAUGGGCUCACUCAAAAUUGUUUGAUCACAUGGCAAAGUCAAAUCAUCAACAUAGUCCUCUAAGGUAGCUGGUGUGAUCAAAGUAGUGGGUAGCUCACCGCAUGGUGCACUUAAAUUGACAAGACAUUCAUCAUACUCAUGUGGAAGUGGAAGAUUAGUACCUUUGUCAUUACCUCUUAUGAUCAACUCAGAUGAUCUAGGCACUCUCGGUGAUGAUGUGUCACAUGGUGGAGGUGAUGUAGUCCUCACAACAAAGGAUGUGGUUGUCAUAGUAUGCCUAGUAGUUGAAGGGACAACCGUAUCAACUCUUGGAAUGUGCAUCUCGCGCUUGUUCUCCUUGUAGGCAACACGUCGUUUUAUUUCCUGUUCAGCUUUGCAAGCAAGAUGAAACAAAUGGUCCAUAGGAUAACACUCUUCAUGAAUUAGUAUCUCCUGAAUGUCACGAUUUAAUCCUCCCCAAAAUCUAUCCAUAAAAUCUUCUUCACUUUCUUCUAAAGAGGAAUGCAGCAAGGUAGUUUGUAAAGUAUCAUAAUAUUUCGUAACGGUGUCACUACCUUGUUUUAAAUGUUGCAACUUUGUAAUCAUGUCACGAGUAUAAUAAGCGGGAACGAAUGUAUGUCGCAUGGCAAGUUUCAAAUCAUCCCAAGUAGUAGGUAUAUCAUUAGGGUGUAACCGACAAUAUUCACUCCACCAAACUACAGCAUAACCAGUGAAAGAACCAACCGCAACCUUAACUUUUUUACGUACAUCAAAAUUAUUGGAAGCAAAUAUAUUAUUUAGGUCAAACUCCCAUUCAAUAUAUAAAGCAGGUCUAAAACAGCCAUUAAAUGGUGGUAUAGAAACAUUAACCUGAUCAUGUGCAUUUGGAUGUUUGUGCACCUCUCGUGACGGUUGUGGUAUUUGCAUAGGUGAUGGCACAUCUCCCACGAUCGACAAACCCCAUGAAUUGACUCUAGAUCCUGUCAUGAUUAGUAGAAACAAGAAACAAAAUUCAAGAAUAAUGUUCCUAUGAACUACUAAGAUGUGGUGGUAAAGCGCUCACAGUAAAGCAAAUAUCAAUAUCUUACAAGUUCUUACCAAGCAGCAGGUGGUGACAGGCAACCAGCGGUGUCAAAUAACUCCAAAGAUUGAGUAAAGCGAUUGCCAGGGGAACGUACGUAUACACGGUGUAGAAAUAUGUGGAGCUGGGUUGGCUAUAUAUGGUAGCAAAAUAUUAGCAAUAAUCAAUUCAGAGAUGCAAUGUUGAAUAAACGCUCAACGACGGUACUGUGCUGGUCCUAGGCUAGACCGGACUAGAGACGCGAGCCUAGAACACUAAUGAGGUCACGGCGUAGCACAACUAGCAUCAAUGAAGGAUACUAAGUAGCUCUGGACAGCAAGAUAUAAGUGAAGAUCACAACGGCAGUAAAGAUAAUGAUGAAAAACAACUGCCAAGCAGGAUAUACAACAACUCUCUCCAACUUUCCUCUUGAAAAGUUUGUGCCAAUUUUCUGAUAAUUUUUUUCAAAGAAUGCUACUAACUCAAGCUUUCCAAUGCAAAAAGACUCACUCAAUUCCGAGUUGAUAUGAGGAGUGAAAGAAUUCUGAAACUGGCUUGAAAAACUGGAAUAAGAUGUGUCCGCGAACUUCGGAGGGCAAAAAGACCUAUUUAGAAGACGAUUUUGAGGUGUCAAAUAUUUAACUAGUCUCUGCAACUAUUUAGAUGCGGCUCGUCGCUAGCUUUCAUUUGAGUACUCGCGGAGUCAAAACGGACUUCGUAUGAGGAAGGUAUGCCUGUUUUACUGAACAGUGCACAAAACAGAUUCCAAUCCGAAUUCAACUACGAGAUUGAGUCUAGAUAGAUCCGAAUUUUGUUUUUUUUCUUCUCUCUUUUUUUUUCCUCACACUUUUUUUUCUUUCUCUUUUUUUUCUGACUUCUUUUUCUUUUUUUCUCUCUUUUUUUUCUCUGUCUUUUUUUUUCUCUCCCUCUUUCCAAGACAAACUAGAUAAGAUGCAGAUUGGAUCAAGCGAAGAUGUGAACGACCUCAACUAUGAUUGUGACAAUGAACUAUGGGUAGCACAUGGUGGAAUUUGAUGGAUGGUGUGGUGGACAGCAGAAGGGAUAACGAUGCAGCGGCGACGUGACUAAUGUGAACAGAACUCGAAACUCUAAACGAACUAGACCCUAAGACCAGCAACUCGACACGACGAUGCAACCGAUAAUUCAAUAAUGCAAACAAUGAAUAGAAAAUUGCAAAGGCUCAGACUGGCUUGGACAAAAGGAUGAAUAGAUCUAACUUUUUUGUGGCUUUUUCUUGGACAAUAGGUAAGAAAAUAAAUCUAAUCUAGGGGAAACUGGAAAUUCUCACCGAGCAACCUGGCUCUGAUACCACUUGAUAGAGGCAAAGGUGUCCCGAUCUUUCGAUGAGAUGAUAACUAUCGAUUUGGUGGAGACGACUUUGACGAUCCGACUACAAACGUGCACGACGUUGCGCCUUAUCAAUCGCUAAACCAAUCUCCUGAGGUUACUGACGAUGCCGGGAGCACGAUCAGCCUGACCACGAAGGUCUAUUCCUGCAAGCAAUCGAAGAACGAGCAAGAAUAUGAUAAUGCAAUCUGAAUAUUGUGAAUAUAUAUGAAGUAUUGAUAGUGGUGGGGAUCCGUAAGCGGUCUUGGUCUGGUCGUUGGACACAAACGAAGUACACGAAGUUGCAAUGGCUAACUUUUAACUAAACAAAUCCCAAAGUCUAAACGACGCCCUAAGGGCUGUAUAUAUGGAGGAAGAGGGGGGGAAUUUCGUGGCCCUUGAGGAAGGGGUCCGAAACCAACCCUAUCUCUUGUUUCCCCACACAUACGGACUCUAAAAACAGCCUAUACUUAUGUAUUUCGAAAUUACAUGGGCCUGGCCCAAUAAUAAGGUGACGCAGCACCUAGAAUAGCCUCUGGACGAAAGUUAUGAAGUAGCAUCUUGUAUAUUUCGUCCAAGGCUUCAUGCACGCAUUAUGGUGGCUUCAACGUCCUGAAAUCAUCACUUGUAACUCCGUUCUUGUUCCCCAUGCGCAUGCCAUCAUCUCCAUGCUUGUUCUUGCUCCAAUGUUCAUCCUUCUCAAAGCUAGGCCCUUCAUUUGUAAGCAAAACAAAUGUAUCCAAUUUAGGCAGCAUCAUAUUCUCAUGAACAUUAGAAUCAUUAGCAAGAAACGAAAGUACCUGGUAAUUUAAUUGGCGUGCGCGAGCUCUAGUAAUUGGUCCAGUAUGUAUAGCAGCAGGGACUGUGGGUGUAAUAAUUGUAUUGAUGUCCUCAUCAGAGGUGAUGCAACACCUUUGGACUUGUAGUUUGACUCGGAUUCUGGUGCAACGUCAGAUUGUUUCGACCAUAACUCAAUGCUCCGGACGAAUUUAAAGGUGAAUCCAAUUGGGUUGGAAAGAUCACGAAAUCUAGUUUCCAACAAAAAAAGAAUCACCCAAUUCGGAGUCUGUAUGAAAAAGUUGUUGGCGUUUUGAGUCAGGUAUGUCUGUGCAGUCCGAAUCUGAAUCCAGAACGUGAGAGACUUGGACUCUAUCUUCUCUUGGCCCAAAAGUGACGUGAGAGGACUUUUUGAACAGAACCUAAACUUCUCCUUUUGCCUUAUCUUCAUAUGUGGAUUGUACAAAUGUCCCAUACACCUGCAAUUAGACAAAACACAAAAGUGUGUGAAGUAUUUUUGUUCUGGAUAACAUAAAUAGAUUAUUGAAUAGUUUGCACUAGAAAUCACCUGGCAAAUAUGCAUGUAUGCAAUAUUUUUGGUCGUAUCCAAGGUAGUCAUGUCCUCAUCAUCCUCCCCUUCUUGAAAACAAAGCCGUCCUCGGCGUUGCUUAAUCUGAAAUGUGGCUAACAAAAGAGACAAGGUGUACAUGUUGUAUAUGUAUAUGUCAUCCAUUUUUACUUCCCAUGGAUUUUGCACAUAUGACACAUGUAUACAUGAGUAACUUUCAUAGUUAAUAAAAUAUAAAGCCAAAAUAUUAUCACAAGAAGUAGAAGGCAUGAAAGUAUUGCAACUCAGUUUGCACAUAUAAGUGAAGCUCUUAUUCAUAUGAAAAGAUUGAUAAUAUUCAUCAUUAAACCAUCCCAACAUUGAUGAACCAUCACCAAGAUUAGAGGUCAUAUCAAAAUGAUUAGACAUUGGCACAAUUAUUUUCAAACAUAUUUGAUCCAAAUCUGAUUUAUUCCCUGAUUCACUUGAUUCUUUUGCAUCGAUAGUUAAUUCAAUGGGCUCACUCAAAAUUGUUUGAUCACAUGGCAAAGUCAAAUCAUCAACAUAGUCCUCUAAGGUAGCUGGUGUGAUCAAAGUAGUGGGUAGCUCACCGCAUGGUGCACUUAAAUUGACAAGACAUUCAUCAUACUCAUGUGGAAGUGGAAGAUUAGUACCUUUGUCAUUACCUCUUAUGAUCAACUCAGAUGAGGUAGGCACUCUCGGUGAUGAUGUGUCACAUGGUGGAGGUGAUGUAGUCCUCACAACAACGGAUGUGGUUGUCAUAGUAUGCUUAGUAGUUGAAGGGACAACCGUAUCAACUCUUGGAAUGUGCAUCUCGCGCUUGUUCUCCUUGUGCGCAACACGUCGUUUUAUUUCCUGUUCAGCUUUGCAAGCAAGAUGAAACAAAUGGUCCAUAGGAUAACACUCUUCAUGUAUUAGUAUCUCCUGAAUGUCACGAUUUAAUCCUUCCCAAAAUCUAUCCAUAAAAUCUUCUUCACUUUCUUCUAAAGAGGAAUGCAGCAAGGUAGUUUGUAAAGUAUCAUAAUAUUUCGUUACGGUGUCACUACCUUGUUUUAAAUGUUGCAACUUUGUAAUCAUGUCACGAGUAUAAUAAGCGGGAACGAAUGUAUGUCGCAUGGCAAGUUUCAAAUCAUCCCAAGUAGUAGGUAUAUCAUUAGGGUGUAACCGACAAUAUUCACUCCACCAAACUACAGCAUAACCAGUGAAAGAACCAACCGCAACCUUAACUUUUUUACGUACAUCAAAAUUAUUGGAAGCAAAUAUAUUAUUUAGGUCAAACUCCCAUUCAAUAUAUAAAGCAGGUCUAAAACAGCCAUUAAAUGGUGGUAUAGAAACAUUAACCUGAUCAUGUGCAUUUGGAUGUUUGUGCACCUCUCGUGACGGUUGUGGUAUUUGCAUAGGUGAUGGCACAUCUCCCACGAUCGACAAACCCCAUGAAUUGACUCUAGAUCUUGUCAUGAUUAGUAGAAACAAGAAACAAAAUUCAAGAAUAAUGUUCCUAUGAACUACUAGGAUGUGGUGGUAAAGCGCUCACAGUAAAGCAAAUAUCAAUAUCUUACAAGUUCUUACCAAGCAGCAGGUGGUGACAGGCAACCAGCGGUGUCAAAUAACUCCAAAGAUUGAGUAAAUCGAUUGCCAGGGGAACGUACGUAUACACGGUGUAGAAAUAUGUGGAGCUGGGUUGGCUAUAUAUGGUAGCAAAAUAUUAGCAAUAAUCAAUUCAGAGAUGCAAUGUUGAAUAAACGCUCAACGACGGUACUGUGCUGGUCCUAGGCUAGACCGGACUAGAGACGCGAGCCUAGAACACUAAUGAGGUCACGGCGUAGCACAACUAGCAUCAAUGAAGGAUACUAAGUAGCUCUGGACAGCAAGAUAUAAGUGAAGAUCACAACGGCAGUAAAGAUAAUGAUGAAAAACAACUGCCAAGCAGGAUAUACAACAACUCUCUCCAACUUUCCUCUUGAAAAGUUUGUGCCAAUUUUCUGAUAAAUUUUUUCAAAGAAUGCUACUAACUCAAGAUUUCCAAUGCAAAAAGAAUCACUCAAUUCCGAGUUGAUAUGAGGAGUGAAAGAAUUCUGAAACUGGCUUGAAAAAACUGGAAUAAGCUGUGUCCGCGAACUUCGGAGGGCAAAAAGACCUAUUUAGAAGACGAUUUUGAGGUGUCAAAUAUUGAACUAGUCUCUGCAACUAUUUAGAUGCGGCUCGUCGCUAGCUUUCAUUUGAGUACUCGCGGAGUCAAAACGGACUUCGUAUGAGGAAGGUAUGCCUGUUUUACUAAACAGUGCACAAAACAGAUUCCAAUCCGAAUUCAACUACGAGAUUGAGUCUAGAUAGAUCCGAAUUUUUUUUUUCUUCUCUCUUUUUUUUUCCUCACACUUUUUUUCUUUCUCUUUUUUUUCUGACUUCUUUUUCUUUUUUUUUCUCUCUUUUUUUUCUCUGUCUUUUUUUUCUCUCCCUCUUUCCAAGACAAACUAGGUAAGAUGCAGAUUGGAUCAAGCGAAGAUGUGAACGACCUCAACUAUGAUUGUGCAAUGAACUAUGGGUAGCACAUGGUGGAAUUUGAUGGAUGGUGUGGUGGACAGCAGAAGGGAUAACGAUGCAGCGGCGACGUGACUAAUGUGAACAGAACUCGAAACUCUAAACGAACUAGACCCUAAGACCAGCAACUCGACACGACGAUGCAACCGAUAAUUCAAUAAUGCAAACAAUGAAUAGAAAAUUGCAAAGGCUCAGACUGGCUUGGACAAAAGGAUGAAUAGAUCUAACUUUUUUGUGGCUUUUUCUUGGACAAUAGGUAAGAAAAUAAAUCUAAUCUAGGGGAAACUGGAAAUUCUCAUCGAGCAACCUGAAAACUGAUACGACUUGAUAGAGGCAAAGGUGUCCCGAUCUUUCGAUGAGAUGAUAACUAUCGAUUUGGUGGAGACGACUUUGACGAUCCGACUACAAACGUGCACGAUGUUGCGCCUUAUCAAUCGCUAAACCAAUCUCCUGAGGUUACUGACGAUGCCGGAAGCACGAUCAGCCUGACCACGAAGGUCUAUUCCUGCAAGCAAUCGAAGAACGAGCAAGAAUAUGAUAAUGCAAUAUGAAUAUUGCGAAUAUAUAUGAAGUAUUGAUAGUGGUGGGAAUCCGUAAGCGGUCUUGGUCUGGUCGUUGGACACAAACAAAGUACACGAAAUUGCAAUGGCUAACUUUUAACUAAACAAAUUCCAAGGAAAAAGCUACUAGAUGGAUCUACUUAUAUAGGAGCAAGGGGUGGCGGCCAAGGAGGUGGGAGGACGUCCCAAGGCAGCCUAAAACCAACCCUAGGUCGUACAAGGCUCAUGGGCCCAAGUGGAGGUGAUGCAACACCUUUGGACUUGUAGUUUGACUCGGAUUCUGGUGCAACGUCAGAUUGUUUCGACCAUAACUCAAUGCUCCGGACGAAUUUAAAGGUGAAUCCAAUUGGGUUGGAAAGAGCACGAAAUCUAGUUUCCAACAAAAAAAGAAUCACCCAAUUCGGAGUCUGUAUGAAAAAGUUGUUGGCAUUUUGAGUCAGGUAUGUCUGUGCAGUCCGAAUCUGAAUCCAGAACGUGAGAGACUUGGACUCUAUCUUCUCUUGGCCCAAAAAUGACGUGAGAGGACUUUUUGAACAGAACCUAAACUUCUCCUUUUGCCUUAUCUUCAUAUGUGGAUUGUACAAAUGUCCCAUACACCUGCAAUUAGACAAAACACAAAAGUGUGUGAAGUAUUUUUGUUCUGGAUAACAUAAAUAGAUUAUUGAAUAGUUUGCACUAGAAAUCACCUGACAAAUAUGCAUGUAUGCAAUAUUUUUGGUCGUAUCCAAGGUAGUCAUGUCCUCAUCACAACUUCUCCAACAAAGUGUACGAGCCGAAGGAUGAACACAUGGAGGCAUACCUGGCGGAGGUACACAAAAUGGAGAAACAAUUCUUGGGCCUGGAGCUGCAGCACGUGCCUCGCGGCACGAACAAGGAAGCCGACGACAUUGCCAAAAGGGCGUCCAGGCGCCUGCCCCAGGAACCCAACGUCUUCGAGGAGCGGCUCUUCAAGCCUUCAGCGGCCCCUCCGGCUGCGGAGAUGGCGCCGCCUCAGGGGAGCUCCCCGCGCCACCAACCUCAGGAGCCCCACCCCGCCUGCGGCCCGACCUCAGCAGCAUGCCUGCUCCUCGCGCUCGAGCCUUAGGAUGGGUGCUGGACCGAAGAAUUCAAGGCAUAGCUGCUGCAGGGAACCCUGCUGGAAAAGAAGGAAGACACGGAGCGUGUAGCUCGGCAGGCCACAGCCUACUUCAUCCAGGAAGGUGAGCUGUACCGAAAAUGGCCAAACAAUGUUCUUUGCAAUGCAUCGCCAAGGAGCAGGGGUGCGAGCUGUUAACUGACAUACACGGCGGGGACUGCGGACAUCACUCAUCAUCGCGCACCUUGGUGGGCAAGGCGUUCCGCAGCGGAUUCUACUGGCCUACAGCACUCAACGAUGCAACCGAGCUAGUGAAAUCUUGUGAAACCUGCCAGUUCCAUGCCAAGCAAAUCCACAAGCCUGCUCAGGGCCUCUAGACUAUCCCGCUCUCAUGUCCGUUUGCGAUCUGGGGGCUGGAUGUUUUGGGCCCGUUCCCUCGAGCGCCCGGGGGCUACCGCUAUCUCUACGUCGCCAUUGACAAGUUCACCAAGUGGGCGGAGGUGGAGCCAGUCCGCACCAUCCCGGCCGACUUGGCGGUCAAGUUCAUCAAGGACCUUGUGAGCCGGUUCGGAGUCCCUAAUCGCAUCAUCAUCGACAACGGCUCACAGUUCACUAGCAAUCUCUUCAAAACAUAUUGUGCUAAUCUUGGAACGCAGAUAUGUUAUGCCUCAGUGGCACACCCCAGGAGCAACGGCCAAGCCGAGCGCGCAAACGCAGAGGUCCUGAUGGGCCUCAAAGCAAGGACUUUCAAGAAGAAGCUCGAAGCCUGUGGCAGCGGCUGGCUGGACGAGCUCUAGUCCGUCAUGUGGUAUAUCCGCACCACCGCAACCAAGCCGACCGGCGAGACUCCAUUCUUCCUCGUCUACGGAGCUGAUGAUAGAGGCAAAGGUGUCCCGUCUUUCGAUGAGAUGGUGGCUAUCGUUUUGGAGGAAGUCGACUUUGACGAUCCGACUACGAACGUGCGAGGACGUCGCGCCUUAGCAAUCGCUAAACCAACUCCGAGAGGUUAUUGACCACGCCGGAGCACGAUCAACCUAACCACGAAGGUCUGUUUCCUACAGGCAAAUGAAGAACAAGCAAGAAACUAAGAUUGCAAUCUGGAUAUUGCGAUUAUAAGAGGAAAGCUUUAUUGAUCAAGGUGGGGUUCUGUGACGCCUUUGUCUGGUCGUUGAACACAAACGAAGUACGCGAAGUUGCGGCUAUGGCGAACUUUUAAUCUAAACAAAACCCAAAAUCUAAACGAUGCCCUAGGGGCUGUAUAUAUGGAGGAAGAGGGGGAAAUUUCGUGGCCCUUGGAGGAGGGGUCCGAAACCCACCCUAACUCUUGUUUCCCCACACAUACGGACUCUAAAAACAGCCUAUAUUGAAGUAUUUCGAAAUUACAUGGGCCUGGCCCAAAAUAAGGUGACGCAGCACCUAGAAUAGCCUCUGGACGAAAUUUAUGAAGUGGCAUCUUGUAUAUUUCGUCCAAGGCUUCAUGCACUCAUUAAGGUGGCUUCAAAGUCCUGAAAUCAUCACUUGAAACUCUGUUCUUGUCUCCCUUGCGCAAGCCAUCAACUCCAUGCUUGUUCUUGCUCCAAUGUUCAUCCUUCUCCAAGCUAGGCCCUGUUGUGGACAUCAAUACCAUUGUUUCACCAACAACCCCUGCUACUAUACAUACUGGACCGAUUACUAGAGCUCGCACACGCCAAUUAAAUUACCAGGUACUUUCGUUUCUUGGUAAUGAUUCUAAUGUUCAUGAGAAUAUGAUGCUGCCUAAAUUGGAUACAUUUGUUUUGCUUACAAAUGAAGGGCCUAGCUUUGAGAAGGAUGAACAUUGGAGCUAGAACAAGCAUGGAGUUGAUGGCAUGCGCAAGGGGAACAAGAACGGAGUUACAAGUGAUGAUUUCAGGACUUUGAAGCCACCAUAAGGAGUGAAUGAAGCCUUGGACGAAAUAUACAAGAUGCCACUUCAUAAAUUUCGUCCAGAGGCUAUUCUAGGUGCAGCGUCACCUUAUUAUUGGGCCAGGCCCAUGUAAUUUCGAAAUACAUAAGUAUAGGCUGUUUUUAGAGUCCGUAUGUGUGGGGAAACAAGAGAUAGGGUUGGUUUCGGACCCCUUCCCCGAGGGCCACGAAAUUCCCCCCUCUUCCUCCAUAUAUACAGCCCUUAGGGCACCGUUUAGACUUUGGGUUUUGUUUAGAUUAAAAGUUCGCCAUAGCUGCAACUUCGCGUACUUCGUUUGUGUUCAACGACCAGACAAAGGCGUCACAGAACCCCACCUUGAUCAAUAAAGCUUUCCUCUUAUAUUCGCAAUAUCCAGAUUGCAAUCUUAGUUUCUUGCUUGUUCUUCGUUUGCCUGCAGGAAACAGACCUUCGUGGUCAGGUUGAUCGUGCUCCGGCGUGGUCAAUAACCUCUCGGAGUUGGUUUAGCGAUUGCUAAGGCGCGACGUCCUCGCAAGUUCGUAGUCGGUUCGUCAAAGUCGACUUCCUCCAAAACGAUAUCCACCAUCUCAUCGAAAGACGGGACACCUUUGCCUCUGUCAAGUGGUAUCAGAUUUUCAGGUUGCUCGGUGAGAUUUUACAGUUUUUCGUAGUUUAGAUCAAGUCUGUUCUUCAUACCUAUAGUCCACGAGAAAGCCAAAAAAAAUAUUAGGGUUAGUUCAUCUUAUCCGAACCAAUCUGAGCCUUUGCAUAAUCUUUAGAGUUUCGAGUUAUGUUCACAAGUUGUCACGCCACCGCUGCACCAACGUCAUCACCGCUGCGAUAUACCACCAUCGUCAUCGCCGCUACCAUAUACCACAUAUCCACCACCAUCACGCUAAUCCGAGUCCACCUCCAUCACAGAUUCGGCACCAGUCCAUGUUCCAUCGCCCUGCAAAUAUCCACCACCAGUCCGAGUUUCCACCAGAUUCCUCUCCGCCACCAGUCCUAGUCCGAGUCCAGUAGUUAUUGCUUUGUUCUCGAUUUCCAGAUCACGCGAUACUCCGAAUCAUGACAGAGUAGGACUCCCCAACUUCCGAGCCAUCCGCAGAAGAAAAAUAGUUCCAGUUUCAAAAAAAAAAUCUGGCUAGGCAGUUUUUAGGACAUUUGUAGACUUUUUCGAAAAAAAAUUGUUGCGGAGCACAAAAAAAAGAGUGUGCUCCUCCCAUGUUUACGUGCAGCGCCGUGAUUUUGUUAGUGUUCUAGGCUCGCGUCUCUAGUACGGUCUAGCCUAGGACCAGCACAGUACCGUCGUUGAACGUUUAUUCAACUUUGCAUCUCUGAAUUGAUUAUUGCUGACCCUUUUUGCUACCAUAUUAUAAGCCUUCCCAGCUCCACAUACAUCUACAUCGUGCGUUUGACUCUCCCUCGUAAUCGCUCUAUCCAAGCUUUGAGAGUUUUGACAACAUCGGUUGCCGAUCACCGCCUGCUGCCGGGUAAGAACUGGUAAGAAUUUGAGAUUUGCUUGACGGAUUUGUGACACCCACCACCACCACUUGUUAGUAGUCUAUAGGAUCAUAUUCUUGUGUGUUUCUAUUACUGCUAACCAUGCCAGGAUCACAAGCCGACGAGAUUGACUGGGAGAACUUAACGAACAAGGAGCUUCACGAUAAGUUUCAGCAAAUGAUGAGUGAACAGGUGCAAGAUGUGCUGAACAAUUUUGAAGAGGCCAUGGAGAAGAUCACUGGCCUUGAGAAGACGUUCCAAACAAAGCUUGAUAACAGAUUUAAUGAACUGCUUGCACGUCUUCCACCACCGGCCGCACCUGCCGCACCUCUACAACAACAACAACGACUACCUCCACGUCAGGAAACAGCCCUCCGCCGAGCGAGUCGUGUCCCUCUUCAGCCUGGCCAAACUGCUGGUGCUGCUAUUGAUACUUCUAUGGCUCCUGCUGCUGAUGUGGAGGAGGAUGAUUAUGCAGGAGAUUACGAGGAUGAGGUUUAUCAAAAUCAGAACUACGUGCAACCACCAGCACCACAACCACCAGGUCGUCCACACGCAAAUAAUGGCAAUGUUAGGGCUCCCCCUCAGGUACGAGAUCAUGACCAUCUCCCUAAACUGAAAUUGAAUAUUCCACCAUUUGAGGGUAGAUAUGUUCCUGAUAUAUAUCUUACUUGGGAGUUAGAAACUGAACAACGAUUUAGAUGUUUACAAUAUCCUGAGGAGAGACGUGUUCCUACUGCUGUUUGUGCUUUCACUAGCUUUGCAUGUGUUUGGUGGUCUGAACAUUGUAGAUUAUAUCCUGUUCCAGCUACUUGGGCUGCUUUGAAAACUGCUAUGCGUACUCGUUGGGUUCCACCAUAUUAUCAACGUGAAUUACUUCAAAAAUUGCAGCGCUUAAGACAAGGAAAAAAUUAUGUAGAAGAAUAUUAUCAGGAAUUACAAACUGGCUUGAUUAGAUGUGGUAUUGUUGAGGAGAAUGAAGCUAUGCUUGCACGUUUUAUGGGUGGAUUAAAUAGAGAGAUUCAGACCAUCUUGCUUGUAAAGCUGAACGUGAAGUGCAGGAUCGACAGGCAUUGGCGCGAACUAACUUUUCUGCAGGUCGACCUUCAUCAUGGACGCCACGUGCAUCAUCUACUUCCACUGCACCAUCACCUCCUUCAGGUGCCACCUCCAACCGUGAUACAAGAAAGCAGGCACAACCACCACUAUCUGCCAAGAGCACACCUACCGGGCCUGCACAGAGCCCUUCUUCUUCCAUGGCGUCAACAGGGCACACAAGUGAUAUUAUUUGUCAUCGUUGUAAGGGAAGAGGACAUUUUGCGAGAGAAUGCAAAUCUCAGCGUGUGAUGAUUGCUACUGAGGAUGGUGGGUAUGAGUCCGCUAGUGACUAUGAUGAGGAGACUUUGGCUCUUAUUACACAUGAAGAACACGGUGGAGAUGAUUCUGAUCAUGAGACGCAAUACAUGGCUGCUGAAGAUGCUGACAGGUAUGAAUGUUUAGUUGCUCAACGUGUUUUGAGUGUGCAGGUAACACAAGCUGAGCAGAAUCAGAGGCAUAAUUUGUUCCAUACAAAGGGAGUUGUGAAGGAACGUUCUAUUCGCGUCAUCAUAGAUGGAGGGAGCUGCAACAACUUGGCUAGCAUGGAGAUGGUGGAGAAGCUAUCUCUCACCACAAGACCACAUCCACAUCCUUACUACAUCCAAUGGUUCAACAACAGCGGCAAGGUUAAGGUAACACGUACUGUUCGGGUGCAUUUUAGUAUCUCUACAUAUGCUGAUUAUGUUGAUUGUGAUGUGGUACCUAUGCAAGCAUGUUCCUUAUUACUUGGUAGACCAUGGCAAUUUGAUAAAAAUUCUGUACACCAUGGUAGAAACGAUCAGUAUACUCUUGUUCAUAAGGAUACAAAUAUUACUUUGCUUCCUAUGACUCCUGAUUCCAUUUUGAAAGAUGAUAUUCAUAGAGCGAAUAAAGCAAAACAGGAGAAAAAUAAGAGUGAAAAUCAGAUUGUGGCAAAAUAAUUUGAGCAACAAAUGAAGCCUAAUAAUAAACCAUCUAGUGUUGCUUCUGAAAUUAAAUUGAAAAGUGCAUGUUUACUUGCCACCAAAUCUGAUAUUGAUGAGCUAGUUUUUAGCAAAUCUGUUUGCUAUGCUUUUGUGUGCAAACAGGCAUUAUUUUCAUUCGAGGACGUGCCUUCCUCUUUGCCCCCUGCUGUCACUAACAUUUUGCAGGAGUUCGCUGACGUCUUCCCACAAGACGUGCCACCGGGAUUACCACCUAUUCGAGGAUUGAGCAUCAAAUUGACUUAAUUCCCGGUGCAUCGCUACCCAACCGUGCACCAUACCGUACCAAUCCAGAGGGGGCGAAGGAGAUUAUGCGUCAAGUACAGGAGCUGCUCGACAAAGGUUAUAUACGCGAAUCUCUUAGUCCUUGUGCUGUUCCUAUUAUACUAGUGCCUAAAAAGGAUGGUACGUCGCGUAUGUGUAUUGAUUGUAGACGCAUUAAUAAUAUUACUAUUCGUUAUCGUCAUCCUAUUCCUAGGCUAGAUGAUAUGCUUGAUGAAUUGAGUGGCUCUACAAUAUUCUCCAAAGUUGAUUUGUGUACUGGAUACCAUCAAAUUCGUAUGAAAUUGGGAGAUGAAUGGAAAACAGCAUUUAAAACUAAGUUUGGUUUAUAUGAGUGGUUAGUCAUGCCUUUUGGGUUAACUAAUGCACCUAGUACUUUCAUGAGACUAAUGAACGAAGUUUUACGUGCUUUCAUUGGACGAUUUGUGGUAGUCUAUUUUGAUGAUAUACUGAUUUAUAGCAAAUCUUUGGAAGAACAUUUGGAACAUUUACGUGCUGUUUUUAUUGCUCUACGUGAUGCACGUUUGUUUGGUAACCUUGGGAAGUGCACCUUUUGCACCGACCGAGUAUCUUUUCUUGGCUAUGUUGUUACUCCACAGGGAAUUGAAGUUGAUAAAGCCAAGAUUGAAGCUAUUAAGAGCUGGCCGCAGCCCAAAACGGUCACACAAGUGCGGAAUUUUCUUGGACUCGCUGGUUUCUUUAGGCGUUUUGGGAGAGAUAUUAGCACCAUUGUUGCACCUCUCAACGAGCUUACAAAGAAGGAUGUGCCUUUUGUUUGGGGUACCGCACAGGAAGAAGCCUUCACGGUAUUGAAAGAUAAGUUGAGACAUGCUCCUUUACUCCAACUUCCUGAUUUUAAUAAGACUUUUGAGCUUGAAUGUGAUGCUAGUGGAAUUGGAUUAGGAGGUGUGUUAUUACAAGAUGGCAAACCUGUUGCAUACUUUUCUGAAAAAUUGAGUGGGCCUAGUCUGAACUAUUCUACUUAUGAUAAAGAAUUAUAUGCUCUUGUUCGGACUUUAGAAACAUGGCAGCAUUAUUUAUGGCCCAAAGAAUUUGUUAUACAUUCUGAUCAUGAAUCUUUGAAACACAUUAAAAGUCAAGCAAAACUAAACCGUAGACAUGCUAAAUGGGUUGAAUUCAUUGAGACUUUCCCUUAUGUCAUUAAACACAAGAAGGGUAAAGAAAAUGUUAUUGCUGAUGCAUUGUCUCAUCGUUAUACUAUGCUUUCACAACUUGACUUUAAAAUAUUUGGUUUGGAGACCAUCAAAGAUCAAUAUGUGCAUGAUGCUGAAUUUAAAGUUGUAUUGCAGAAUUGUAAAGAAGGUAGAACAUGGAACUAGUUCUUCGUUAACGAUGGAUUUGUGUUUCGUGCUAACAAGCUAUGCAUUCCAGCUAGCUCCGUUCGUCUUUUGUUGUUGCAGGAGGCGCAUGGAGGAGGACUAAUGGGACACUUUGUGAUGCGGAGCAUCCUACGGUCAUCCCCAUGGACCUACCAUCGUCUCAUCAAGAGCCAAGAGGACUUAUGACACGAGCACGAGAUAGAGCUCUCGAGAACGAGGUGACUUCCUUCCUUAGUGAUAUCACAUAUGAUCCACUCGAGACAUGGCUACUACCUAAGUCCGAUAUGCUAUGCAUGAUUAGGUGUCAAGAGGAGCUUCCCGAGGAUGCACGUGAAGACGGACAAGCCGCCAAGUUCACGGAUGAAGAGAACCAACGGAAACGGGCAAGUUCACCUUCCAGGCCCCGGACAUCCGGCCCAUCGCCCGGACAUCCGGCCACCCCUGUCUGUGCACAGUAAGGGCCGAGGCCCGUGUACCCCUUCGACCCCCAAGACUAUAUAUACUCCUUCUCCUCCAUCUUUCUAGGGUUAGCAUUGGUUUAGCUCAUAUGUGAGAUAGAGCAUUGCUCAUCCAUACGGAUCUCCUCCUCGAGAGAGACUGCGGCCCCUCUUCGGAGACGAUCCACGUUGGAUUCAAGACCCCCUCUUGGGUGGCCCCCCUCAAGACCUCCUUUCGGAGAAGAACCGGUUACCUAAGUAUCGUCCCUUGUUGGAUUUGGGUCGUGUAUCUCUUUGUGUUCCGAGGAUCUAGCACAUGUGUGAUUGUUCUUGUUGGUUUGAGUGAUUCUCUCGUGUUUUCCCCUCGUGUUUCCCCUCAUGUUCUUCGUGUUCUUAGUUGGGAUCCGCUCCUUUCGUGAAAGAUCGGCCAUCUAGGGUUCCACCCUACAUCAUCUUGGUAUCAUGAGCCACGUUGAUCAACAUUUCGGAGCCCCCUCUCUUUGUUUUCUAGCUUAAUUUUGUUGUUUUUCGUCCUAACCCGACAAUUGCCCCACAAAAAUAGCCCCAAUUUUUUUUUUGUGAUUUGUUGGUGUGAUGAAGUUUUGUUGGAUUUGAUCCGCGGAUUUCGUGUGUUGCAGGUAGAUCUAGCUUUUCCCCGUCUUUUCCCCAAUUUCCAUCCACGAAUUCCUCCGAAUUUUUGCCCGGAUUUGACCUCUCCACGCGGUGUUCAUCCACGGAUCCCGAGCCCGGACAUCCGGCCCGACCAGCACGGACAUCCGGCCCGGCCCGGACAUUCGGCCCCUGACAGCAUCAACUCCAUCCUCCACUCCGUUUACCGCCUAACUCUCACCAAAUUUUGUCUCGGUGCCCACAUACACUUCCGCAUAUCACCACCAUAGCCUUUCCCGCUACCAACUCCGACAAUUUUGACCCAUUUUGUUUUGAGAAUUUCAGUUGUGGUUUCCGUGUCCUAUUAUGUUUCGGCUAUCUACGGUUCGGCAACAACAUCACCACCGCUCAUCUUCGGCAAGGACUACUACGAGCGGCUACAUUGGUAUCACCUUCACCUUCAUAUCAUCCUGGUAUAGCGAUAUCAUCAUACUCUCUUGCAUUUGCAUUGAUAAACCCAUGGCCUUACUUUUGCGUAGCUUACCCAUUGAGACUAGCCUUUGAGUAUUGCCGGCAACGUGACUUGUGCACGUUAGUGUUCAUACUUCCCAUAGCAUACAUACCAUCAUCGUGUUGCAUAUCUUGGUAUCAUCUCUUGUGUCACAAAGUUGUCUUUGCAUACACAAUUGCUAUCUUGGUUCGUGAAGCAUUGCAUGAGAAAAGAGCUCAAACAACAAAGAGCCAAACAAGCUUUUAAGCAAAAGGAGAAAGAUAAGCAAAGAGCUUAAGCAAGAACCAUAGCAUCAUACAACAUUAAGAUUGUCAUACUCGAUCAUCUUGGAUCAAAGCAUAGAAACAUCAUACAUAUAGCAUACUUGGGAUAGAAGUCGUUGCAUUUUUGCUUAGUAGGUUGUGCACAAGUUCGUAUCCGCCUAUUGUGCAAUCGUGCUAGUGUCUCUUUAGUGUUGUGCAACAAGAGCAUCUUGGUGGAUUCCACAUUUUGGCUCACCCUUGGUAGCCCAACCCCACUUAUCUAUCUGCGUGUGUGUUUCCGUGUGCCAUAUCUUGCUAUUGGUCUACUUGUUGCAUUUGCAAAUUUGUGAAUCUUUUCCAACAUUAUUGAGUCUCACUUACAAUUGCAUCAAAUUUUGUGCCACCAUCCUAACCAAGCUCCACCAUAAGCUUUUACUUGUGUAGGUGCGAGAACCGACAAGAACUGGUACCAAUUGUGCUAUUUCCUUGCUACACAUUGGAGUGAUCUUUGAUCCAUUUUCAACAUCGGUCAAGGUACAUUUGGUAUUGGUUCUUCUCUUUCUCCCACUCACAUAUCUUUGUUUGAAAUGAUGGAUAGGCCAAGUACAUCUACCAACCCACUCUUCUUGGAGCAGGACGACGACAUGUCAUCCUACGUCACCAAGACUCAACUAUUUGGUGCACACCGAGCUUUGCAUCAAGAACAACUUGCUUUGGGAGAUCGCAUCGACAACCUCGCCACCGAUCUACGACAAUCUGAGCAACGUACAAGAGACUACUUCGACACAUCCAUGAGUUCCCUCAAAGAUAUCCGAACCAUGAUGGUCCGCUCUUCUACAACUUCGUCCUCGUCAAGACGGAGCCGCUCAAGUCGACACUACGACGACACCAUCUCCGGUUCAAGUACACCGACAUCGAACACUCUUCGUCGUGUCGCGCGUCAAGACCGUCAAGCUAACCGCAAUCCUCUACACGACACCGACUCUCAAGAGCAUCGACAUCGUCACAACCAAGCUACUUUCGCACAAGCACAAGAACGGCAACGCCAACGACAACAAGAACGAGAGGAGCGAGCGCGACAACAUCAAGAUGCACAAGACGCCGAGGCGCAACGUCAAGAACGACAACUACGUGAAGCUCAAGCACUUGAGGCGCAACGUGCUCUUCAAGACUCAAGUCGUGCCGUAGCCAAUCGAGGCCGACAAGCUCGACUACAUCAAGAAGCACUUCGCGAUGGAGCUCAAGAAAGGAUUUACGAAGCACGUGUGCAUCGACAAGCUCCUCGACAUGAUCGACAAGUUCCUCGUUAAGAUCGACAAGCUCCUCCUCAUGCGAGACAACAACGUCAAGUCCAUCGAGAGCAAGAAGACAAUGGACCACCUCCUCGCCAAGAGCAUCAUGAGGAAGACAACCCUCCUCACCAAGAGCAACAUGAGGAAGACAACCCUCCUCGCCAAGAGCGACAUGAGAUUGCCAAUCCUCACCGACAUGGGCGUCAUCAUCCCCGACCCCAACACAAUGAAGAGCAACGAUAUGGCAAGCUAAAGUUCACCAUGCCCAAGUUUACCGGAAGCAAUGACCCCGAAGAGUACAUAUCAUGGGCAUUGAAGGUUGACAAAAUCUUCCGCUUGCACAACUACGAAGAAGAGAAGAAGAUCGCAAUGGCAUCCCUCGAAUUCCAAGACUACGUCCUCAUUUGGUGGGAACAAGUCAUUGAGCACCAUGCGGCAAGAGGUGAACCACCCAUCACCACUUGGGCACAAAUGAAGGAUGUCAUGAGAGCACGAUUCGUGCCAAACUACUACAACCGCGACCUCUUCAAGAAACUCCAACAACUCAAGCAAGGAACCAAGAGCGUUGAAGAGUACUACAAGGAAAUCGAGAUUGCCAUGAUACGAGCCAAUGUCAAAGAAGAUGAUGAGCAAACUAUGGCACGUUUCUUGAAUGGACUCAAUCACCCUAUCAAGAAGAUUGCCGACUUCCAACCAUACUCGAACCUCAUCGAGCUAGUGCAUCAAGCUACCAAAGCGGAACGGCAAGUACAAGACGACUUCAAGUAUGCCAAGUUCUCAUCCAAGUCCUAUGGCCUCUCCAACAAUCAAGCUUCGACGACUCCCACCACGAGCAAUGGCGACAAGUCAAGUUACAAGAAAGCUUCGACAAGCUCAAGUCGUCCUCCUACUACAAGCAACUUCAAGCCGAAAGCUUCAUCAUCAUCUACUCCAACCGAUGAGACCAUCAAGACAAGUUCCAUCAAAUGUUUCACAUGCGGAGGCCGAGGCCACAAGUCCUUCGAGUGCACAAACAAGCGCAGCAUGAUCCUCAACGACGACGGCACCUACGACUCCAUGAGUGAAGGAGAAAUGGAAGCUCUUGAGCAAGUGGCCAUGCACCAACAUGUGAACAAUGAAGAAGAAGAUGAUCACAUCUUUUGUGACGAAGACUCAAGUCCCGCUCUUGUUGUCUCCAAGGUCUUGACUCUUCAACAUCAACAAGACGAAGAUCAAAGAUGCCAUAUCUUCCACACAAAGGCCGGCAUCAAUGGAUGGUCCGUCAAGGUCAUCAUCGAUGGAGGGAGUUGCCAUAACUUGGCAAGUGAAGAACUAUGCUCCAAACUCCAAUUGGUCAAGAUGAAGCACCCGCACCCCUACAAGGUUCAAUGGCUAAGCGACACCGGCACCAUACAAGUCGAGCAGAGAGUACAAGUCUCUUUCAAGAUCGGCGCCUAUGAAGACACUUUGGAGUGUGAUGUCCUUUCGAUGACCGUGUGCCACCUCCUCCUUGGACGGCCAUGGCAAUUUGACCGAGGUGUCAUUCACAAUGGGCGUACAAAUCACUAUAGCUUCAAGAUGAAAGGGAAAGAGUUUGUGCUACGUCCUAUGUCUCCAAGCCAAGUGCUCGCCGACAAGCAAAACACCCAUCGUGGAGAGAAUAGUGAGAGAGUGAACCACCAAAAAGAGAGUGAGCACCACAAGCCCAAAUUGAGUGCCUCCACGAUGAGCGACAAGAAAAACUUAGUCCUAUUUGCCACCAAACAUGAGAUGAGAGAAGUGUGUGAGAACCCAUCAAGUGUCCUACACUAUGUCCUAUUGUGCAUGGAUGAGGCACCAAAAACUAACAACUCUCACGAUCUACCUUUGGUGUUAUCUUCUUUAUUGCAAGAAUUCCAAGAUGUUUUCCUCGAUGAGCUACCUCCGGGUCUACCUCCACUACGAGGCAUUGAGCACCGAAUUGAUCUCAUCCCCGGAGCGCCGCUUCCAAACAAAGCGCCCUACCGCGUCAACCCCGAAGAAACCAAAGAAAUUCAAAGGCAAGUAAAGCAUCUCAUAGACCAUGGACAUGUGCGUGAAAGUUUGAGUCCUUGUGCCGUACCGGUCAUUCUUGUGCCAAAAUGAGACGGUAGCUUUCGCAUGUGUUCCGAUUGUAGACCUAUCAAUGCUAUCACCGUUCGUUAUAGGUAUCCCAUUCCACGCCUUGAUGAUAUGCUUGAUGAACUUUGCGGUGCCACUAUCUUUUCCAAAAUUGAUCUUAAAAGUGGUUACUAUCAAAUCCGCAUACAAGAGGGUGAUGAAUGGAAAACCGCUUUCAAAACAAAGUUUGGUCUAUAUGAGUGGUCAGUCAUGCCUAUGGUUUUAUCGGAAGCACCCGGUACUUUCAUGCGUCUUAUGCAUUACGUGUUUCGCCCUAACAUUGGUGAAUUUGUUGUUGUCUACUUUGAUGAUAUCCUUGUGUUUAGCAAAUCUCUCAAAGAGCAUGUCACCCACCUUCGCACCGUGCUACAAACUCUUCGAAAAGAGCAACUUUAUGCUAAUAUGAAAAAUGCCUAUUUGGUGUUGAUAAGCUUGUUUUCUUGGGUUUCGUAGUAUCUUCUAAGGGUGUUCAUGUUGAUGAAUCUAAGAUCAAUGCUAUUAAAACUUGGCCCCAACCAACCAAUUUGCAACAAGUGCGUAGUUUUCUUGGUUUAGCCGGUUUCUAUCGCGGAUUUGUGAAGGAUUUUAGCACCAUUGCUUCACCUUUGCAUGCUUUGAGUAAGAAAAAUGCACCGUUUGUUUGGGGAACAUCUCAAGAUAUCGCUUUCAAUGAGCUUAAGAAUUUGCUUACUCAUGCUCCCGUGCUUGCAUUACCCAACUUUGACAAACCUUUCGAAAUUCAUUGCGAUGCUAGUGGUAAUGGCAUAGGAGGUGUGUUAAAUCAAGAGAAGCGCCCAAUUGCUUAUUUUAGUGAGAAACUCUCCGGAGCGCAACUCAAUUACCCUAUCUAUGACAAAGAGCUAUAUGCUUUGGUGCGAGUUUUGCAUGAAUAGGAACAUUACCUACACCUUCAUGAGUUCAUCAUCCAUACCGACCAUGAAACGCUUAAAUACCUUAAGGGUCAAACUAAGUUGAACAAGCGUCAUGCUAAAUGGAGUGAGUUCAUUGAGUCGUUUCCUUAUGUCAUCAAGUAUAUUAAAGGUAAGGAAAAUGUUGUGGCGGAUGCACUUUCCCGUAUAUGCAUGCUUGUUAAUCAACUUGAGUUAAAUAUCAUUGGCUUUGAGCAUAUAAAAGACUUGUAUGAGCAUGAUCCUACAUUUUCUAUUCCUUAUGCCAAGUGUUUGACGCAUACUUCUUGGGAUCGAUACUACAUCAAAGAUGGAUAUCGCACAAACUUUGCAUCCCCGAGUCCUCUCUUCGCUUGUUGCUUUUGCGGGAAUCUCAUGGAGGCGGACUCAUGGGACACUUUGGACGCGACAAGACAUUUGCUACGCUCUCCAAGAACUACUUUUGGCCCAAGAUGUUCCGCGACGUCAAUCGCUUCACCAACCGAUGCUCUACAUGUCGCAAAGCUAAGUCCAAAGCUCAAUCUCAUGGCCUCUAUAUGCCACUUCCAAUUCCAUAUCACCCAUGGGAAGACAUUAGCAUGGACUUUGUGCUUGGUUUGCCUAGAACUCGAAAUGGCAAGGAUUCCGUUUUUGUUGUUGUGGACCGAUUCUCCAAAAUGGCACAUUUCAUUCCUUGCAACAAGAUAGACGAUGCUUCACAUGUUGCAAAUUUGUUUUGUAGGGAAAUCUUGCGCCUUCAUGGAGUGCCAAAGACGAUUGUCUCGGACCGCGACGUCAAGUUCUUGAGUUACUUUUGGAAGACAUUGUGCGCCAAGCUCGGAAUCAAGCUUUUGUUCUCUUCGGCAUACCAUCCACAAACCGACGGCCAAACGGAGGUGACCAACCGCACGCUCUCCACUCUACUACGCGUGUUGAUAAAGAAGAACAUCAAGGAGUGGGAGGAGUGCCUACCCAUCACCGAGUACGCCUACAAUCGUGUAAGACAUUCGACUACCAGCAAGUCCCCCUUCGAGGUCGUCUAUGGCUUCAACCCAUUGUCUCCAUUGGACAUUCUACCUCUACCGCUACAAGAGCGCACAAACAUGGACGCGAGUGCCCGAGUCAACUUCCUCAAGAAGAUGCACGAAGAUACAAGAAACACCAUCGAGCGCCAAGUAGAACGACUCGCGACCAAGCUCAACGUCAACAAGUAACCCAUGAUGUUCAAUGUUGGAGAUCUUGUGUGGCUACACCUUCCCAAGGAUUGCUUCCCCAAGGAACACAAAUCCGAGCUACUACCCCGAGCGGAUGGACCCUUCAAGGUGCUUGCACGCUACAACAACAACGCAUACAAGAUCGACAUCCCACGCGACAAGUACUCCGUGAGCGACAUCUUCAACAUCAAAGAUCUAUCCCCGUACCAUGGUGAUGAGGAUUUCGAUCCGAGGUCGGAUCUUUCCCAAGGGAGGGGAGAUGAUGCGGAGCAUCCUACGGUCAUCCCCAUGGACCUACCAUCGUCUCAUCAAGAACCAAGAGGACCUAUGACACGAGCACGAGCUAGAGCUCUCGAGAACGACGUGACUUCCUUCCUUAGUGAUAUCACAUAUGAUCCACUCGAGACAUGGCUACUACCUAAGUCCGAUAUGCUAUGCAUGAUUAGGUGUCAAGAGGAGCCUCCCGAGGAUGCACGUGAAGACGAACAAGCCGCCAAGUUCAUGGAUGAAGAGAACCAACGGAAACGGGCAAGUUCACCUUCCAGGCCCCGGACAACCGGCCAAGUCCACGGACAUCCGGCCCCUGGAGCAACCACAGCAGCAGCAGCCCAGACGCCCAAGCCUACAGGGCCCGGACAUCCGGCGUCCAGCCCCGACAUCCGGCCCCAGCCCGGAAAUCCGGCCAAAAGCCCGGACAUCCGGCGCCACGCUACAGAACAUCCAGAAGUUUUGCCCCCCAGCCCGGACAUCCGGCCCCUCCUGAAGCCCCGGACAUUCGGCCCGUCGCCCGGACAUCCGACCACCCCUGUCUGCGCACAGUAAGGGCCGAGGCCCAUGUACCCCUUCGACCCCCUAGACUAUAUAUACUCCUUCUCCUCCAUCUUUCUAGGGUUAGCAUUGGUUUAGCUCAUAUGUGAGAUAGAGCAUUGCUCAUCCAUACGGAUCUCCUCCUCGAGAGAGACUGCGGCCCCUCUUCGGAGACGAUCCACGUUGGAUUCAAGACCCCCUCUUGGGUGGCCCCCCUCAAGACCUCCUUUCGGAGAAGAACCGGUUACCUAUGUAUCGUCCCUUGUUGGAUUUGGGUCGUGUAUCUCUUUGUGUUCCGAGGAUCUAGCACAUGUGUGAUUGUUCUUAUUGGUUUGAGUGAUUCUCUCGUGUUUUCCCCUCGUGUUUCCCUUCGUGUUCUUCGUGUUCUUAGUUGGGAUCCGCUCCUUUCGUGAAAGAUCGGCCAUCUAGGGUUCCACCCUACAUCACUUUGGCAUGAAGAAGACGGAGGAUAUACUUGCUACACCUUUCUUUUGGCCAAAGAUGAGACGGGAUGUUGAGCGUUUAGUUGCUCGCUGCACUACAUGUCAAAAAGCUAAGUCACGACUCAAUCCUCAUGGUUUAUAUAUGCCUUUGCCUGUACCUAGUGUUCCUUGGGAGGAUAUAUCUAUUGAUGAGGACAUCAAUACCAUUGUUACACCCACAGCCCCUGCUGCUAUACAUACUGGACCAAUUACUAGAGCUCGCGCACGCCAACUAAAUUACCAGGUACUUUCGUUUCUUGGUAAUGAUUCUAAUGUUCAUGAGAAUAUGAUGCUGCCUAAAUUGGAUACAUUUGUUUUGCUUACAAAUGAAGGGCCUAGCUUGGAGAAGGAUGAACAUUGGAGCAAGAACAAGCAUGGAGAUGAUGGCAUGCGCAAGGGGAACAAGAACGGAGUUACAAGUGAUGAUUUCAGGACGUUGAAGCCACCAUAAUGCGUGCAUGAAGCCUCGGACGAAAUAUACAAGAUGCGACUUCAUAACUUUCGUCCAGAGGCUAUUCUAGGUGCUGCGUCACCUUAUUAUUGGUCAGGCCCAUGUAAUUUCGAAAUACUUGAGUAUAGGCUGUUUUUAGAGCCCGUAUGUGUGGGGAAACAAGAGAUAGGGUUGUUUUCGGACCCCUUCCCCAAGGGCCACGAACCCCCCCCUCUUCCUCCAUAUAUACAGCCCUUAGGGCGUCGUUUUGACUUUGGGUUUUGUUUAGAUUAAAGUUCGCCAUAGCUGCAACUUCGCGUACUUCGUUUGUGUUCAACGACCAGACAAAGGCGUCACAGAACCCCUUGAUCACUAAAGCUUUCAUCUUAUAUUCGCAAUAUCUAGAUUGCAAUCUCAGUUUCUUGCUUGUUCUUCGUUUGCUUGCAAGAAAUAGACCCUCGUGGUCAGGUUGAUCGUGCUGCGGUGUGGUCAAUAACCUCUCGGAGUUGGUUUAGCGAUUGCUAAGGCGCGACGUCCUCGCACGUUCGUAGUCGGAUCGUCAAAGUCGACUUCCACCAAAGCGAUAUCCAUCAUCUCAUCGAAAGACGGGACACCUUUGCCUAUAUCAAGUGGUAUCAGAUUUCCAGGUUGCUCGGUGAGAUUUUACAGUUUUUCGUAGUUUAGAUCAAGUCUGUUCGUCAUACCUAUAGUCCACGAAAAAGCCAAAAAAAAUUAGGGUUAGUUCAUCCUAUCCGAACCAAUCUGAGCCUUUGCAUAAUCUCUUAUGUAUUUGCUUUGUUGACUUUGCGGUUGCAUCGUCGUGUCAAGUUGCUGGUCUUAGCGUCUAGUCCUUUAGAGAUUCGAGUUAUGUUCACAGGUUGUCACGUCGCCGCUGCCAUAUACCACCACCGUAUUAUCAUAGUCGCUGCUACCAUAUACCACCACCGCACCAACUUCAUCGCCGCUGCCAUAUACCACCACCACAUAUUCACCGCCAAUCCGAGUCCAUCUACGCAACCACAUAUCCGCCGCCAUCACGCCAAUCCGAGUCCACCUUCAACAUAUAUCCGCCACCAGUCCGAGUUCCACCAGAUUCAUCUCCGCCAUCAGUCCGAGUUCCACCAGAUUUAUCUCCGCUACCAGUCCUAGUCCGAGUCCAGUAUUUUGUUACUCUGUUUUGGAUUUCCAUAUCACGCCAUACUCCGAGUCGUGACAGAGAAGGACUCCCAAACUUUCGUGUUACCCACAGUAGAAAAUAUAGUUCCAGAUUCAAAAAAAAUCUAAGUCUGGAAAAUUCUGGCUAGGCAGUUUUUAGGCCAUUUGUAGACUUUUUCGGAAAAAAAUUGUUGCGGAGCAAAAAAAAGAGGAAAAAAAGUGCAAAAAAAGUGAAAAAAGAGAAAAAAAUUCAAAGCGUGCUCCUCCCUUGUUUACGUGCAGCACCGUGAUUUUGUUAGUGUUCUAGGCUCGCGUCUCUAGCACGGUCUAGCCUAGGACCAGCACAGUACCGUCGUUGAGCGUUUAUUCAACUUUGCAUCUCUGAAUUGAUUAUUGCUGACCCUUUUUGCUACCUUAUAAGCCUUCCCAGCUCCACAUACAUCUACGUCGUGUGUUUGACUCUCCCUGGUAAUCGCUCUAUCCAAGCUUUGAGAGUUUUGACUACAACGGUUGCCGAUCGCUGCCUGCUGCAGGGUAAGAACUGGUAAGAAUUUGAGAUUCGCUUGAAGGAUUUGUGACACACCACCAUCACCACCACUUCCUAGUAGUCUGUAGGAUCAUAUUCUUGUGUGUUUCUAUUGCUGCUAACCAUGGCAGGAUCACAAGCCGAUGAGACUGAUUGGGAGAACAUGACGAACAAGGAGUUGCAUGAUAAAUUUCAGCAAAUGAUGAGUGGCCAGGUGGGAGCUGUGCUAAACAGAUUUGAAGAGGCUAUGGAGAAGAUAGAUGCAGUGGAGAAGUCGUUCGAGACAAAGCUGGAUAACAAGUUUAAUGAAUUGCUCAAGCGUCUUCCCAAACCACCACCGGCUGCACCUGUCGCACCUCUACAACAACAACAACAACAACAACAACAACAUCUCCAACGCCGCCUUCCAAAUCAAGUGGGACGAGCACAGCGCGUUCCAAUUGAGACUGGUCAAAAUUCGGGUGCCGCUACAACUACUGUUGAUGCUUCUUUGGCUCCUGCUGCUGCGGCGGCUGAGGAGGAGGAUGAUUAUGUGGGCGAUUAUGAGGAUGAGGUUGAUCAAAAUCAGAACUACGUGCAGCCACCAGCACCACCACCAGCAGGUCGACCUCAGGUAUAUAUUCACAACGGUAGGCCUGCACCACCACCUCAGGUACGAGAUAAUGACCAUAUUCCUAAACUGAAAUUGAAUAUUCCACCAUUUGAGGGUAGAUAUGUUCCUGAUAUAUAUCUUACUUGGGAGUUAGAAACUGAACAACGUUUUACAUGUUUACAAUAUCCCGAGGAGAGACGGGUUACUGCUGUUGUUUGUGCUUUCACUACUUUUGCAUGUGUAUGGUGGUCUGAACAUUGUAGAUUAUAUCCUAUUCCAGCUACUUGGGCUGCUUUGAAAACUGCUAUGCGUACUCGUUGGGUUCCACCAUAUUAUCAAUGUGAAUUGCUUCAAAAAUUGCAGCGUUUACGACAAGGGAAAAAUUAUAUAGAAGAAUAUUAUCAGGAAUUACAAACUGGCAUGAUUAGAUGUGGUAUUGUUGAGGAGAAUGAAGCUAUGCUUGCACGUUUUAUGGGUGGAUUAAUAGAGAGAUUCAGACCAUUCUAGAGUAUAAGGAGUAUACUAAUAUCACUCGUUUAUUCCAUCUUGCUUGUAAAGCUGAACGUGAAGUGCAGGAUCGACAAGCAUUGGCACGAACUAACUUUUCUGCAGGUCGACCUUCAUCAUGGACACCGCGUGCAUCCUCUACUUCCACUGCACCAGCACCUCCAUCAGGUGCCACCUCCAGCCGUGAUACAAGAAAGCAGGCACAACCACCACUAUCUGCCAAGAGCGCACCUGCCGGGCCUGCACAGAGCUCUUCUUCGUCCAUGGCAUCAACAGGGCACACAAGUGAUAUUAUUUAUUGUCGCUGUAAGGGAAGAGGACAUUAUGCGCGAGAAUGCAAAUUUCAGCGUGUGAUGAUUGCUACUGAGGAUGGUGGGUAUGAGUCCGCUAGUGACUAUGAUGAGGAGACUUUGGCUCUUAUCACACGUGAAGAACACGGUGGAGAUGAUUCUGAUCAAGAGACGCAAUACAUGGCUCCUGAAGACGCUGACAGGUAUGAAUGUUUAGUUGCUCAACGUGUUUUGAGUGUGCAGGUCACACAAGCUGAGCAAAAUCAGAGGCAUAAUUUGUUCCAUACAAAGGGAGUUGUGAAGGAACGUUCUGUGCGCGUCAUCAUAGAUGGAGGGAGCUGCAACAACUUGGCUAGCAUGGAGAUGGUGGAGAAGCUAUCUCUCACCACAAGACCACAUCCACAUCCUUACUACAUCCAAUGGUUCAACAACAGCGGCAAGGUUAAGGUAACACGUACUGUUCGUGUGCAUUUUAGUAUCUCUACAUAUGCUGAUUAUGUUGAUUGUGAUGUGGUACCUAUGCAAGCAUGUUCCUUAUUACUUGGUCGACCAUGGCAAUUUCAUAAAAAAUUCUGUACACCAUGGUAGAAACAAUCAGUAUACUCUUGUUCAUAAGGAUAAAAAUAUUACUUUGCUUCCUAUGACUCCUGAUUCCAUUUUGAAAGAUGAUAUUAAUAGAGCUAAUAAAGCAAAACAGGAGAAGAAUAAGAGUGAAAAUCAGAUUGUGGCAAAAGAAUAUGAGCAACAAAUGAAGCCCAAUAAUAAACCAUCUAGUGUUGCUUCUGAAAUUAAAUUGAAAAGUGCAUGUUUAUUUGCCACCAAAUCUGAUAUUGAUGAGCUAGAUUUCAGCAAAUCUGUUUGCUAUGCUUUUGUGUGCAAAGAGGCAUUAUUUUCAUUUGAGGACGUGCCUUCCUCUUUGCCUCCUUCUGUCACUAACAUUUUGCAGGAGUUCGCUGACGUCUUUCCACAAGACGUGCCACCGGGAUUACCUCCCAUUCGAGGGAUUGAGCAUCAGAUUGACUUAAUUUCUGGUGCAUCAUUACCCAACCGUGCACCAUACCGUACCAAUCCAGAGGAGACGAAGGAGAUUAUGCGUCAAGUACAGGAGCUGCUCGACAAAGGUUAUAUACGCGAAUCCCUUAGUCCUUGUGCUGUUCCUAUCAUUUUAGUGCCGAAAAAGGAUGGUACUUCGCGUAUGUGCCUAGAUUGUAGAGGCAUUAAUAAUAUUACUAUUCGUUAUCGUCAUCCUAUUCCUAGGCUAGAUGAUAUGCUUGAUGAAUUGAGUGGCUCUACAAUAUUCUCCAAAGUUGAUUUGCGUAGUGGAUACCAUCAAAUUCUUAUGAAAUUGGGAGAUGAAUGGAAAACAACAUUUAAAACUAAGUUUGGAUUAUAUGAGUGGUUAGUCAUGCCUUUUGGGUUAACUAAUGCACCUAGUACUUUCAUGAGAUUAAUAAACGAAGUUUUACGUGCUUUCAUUGGACGAUUUGUGGUAGUUUACUUUGAUGACAUAUUGAUUUAUAGCAAAUCUUUGGAGGAACAUUUGGAACAUUUACGUGCUGUUUUUAUUGCUCUACGUGAUGCACGUUUGUUUGGUAACCUUGGGAAGUGCACCUUUUGCACCGACCGAGUGUCUUUUCUUGGCUAUGUUGUUACUCCACAGGGAAUUGAAGUUGAUAAAGCCAAGAUUGAAGCUAUUGAGAGUUGGCCGCAGCCCAAAAGGGUCACACAAGUGCGGAGUUUUCUAGGCCUCGUAGGAUUCUAUAGGCGUUUUGUGAGAGAUUUCAGCACCAUUGCUGCACCUCUCAUGAGCUUACAAAGAAGGAUGUGCCUUUUGUUUGGGGUACCACACAGGAAGAAGCCUUCACGGUAUUGAAAGAUAAGUUGACACAUGCUCCUUUACUCCAACUUCCCGAUUUUAAUAAGACUUUUGAACUUGAAUGCGAUGCUAGUGGAAUUGGAUUAGGAGGUGUGUUAUUACAAGAUGGCAAACCUGUUGCAUACUUUUCUGAAAAAUUGAGUGGGCCUAGUCUGAAUUAUUCUACUUAUGAUAAAGAAUUAUAUGCUCUUGUUCGGACUUUAGAAACAUGGCAACAUUAUUUAUGGCCCAAAAAAUUUGUUAUACAUUCUGAUCACGAAUCUUUGAAACAUAUUAAAAGUCAAGCUAAACUAAAUCGUAGACAUGCUAAAUGGGUUGAAUCCAUUGAGACUUUCCCUUAUGUCAUUAAACACAAGAAGGUUAAAGAAAAUGUUAUUGCUGAUGCAUUGUCUCGUCGCUAUACUAUGCUUUCACAACUUGACUUCAAAAUACUUGGUUUGGAGACCAUCAAAGAUCAAUAUGUACAUGAUGCUGAUUUUAAAGAUGUAUUGCAGAAUUGUAAAGAAGGACGAACAUGGAACAAGUUCAUCGUUAAUGAUGGAUAUGUGUUCCGUGCUAACAAGCUAUGCAUUCCCACUAGCUCUAUUCGUCUUUUGUUGUUGCAGGAGGCGCAUGGAGGAGGACUAAUGGGACACUUUGGCGUGAAGAAGACGGAGGACGUACUUACUACACAUUUCUUUUGGCCAAAGAUGAGACGGGAUGUUGACCGUUUUGUUGCUCGCUGCACUACAUGUCAAAAAGCUAAGUCACGACUCAAUCCUCAUGGUUUAUAUAUGCCUUUGCCUGUACCUAGUGUUCCUUGGGAGGAUAUAUCUAUGGACUUUGUUUUAGGUUUACCUCGAACAAAGAAGGGGAGGGAUAACAUAUUUGUUAUCGUGGAUAGAUUCUCGAAAAUGGCACACUUUAUACCAUGUCAUAAAAGCGAUGAUGCUAUUAAUGUUGCUGAUUUGUUCUUUCGUGAAAUUAUUCGCUUGCAUGGUGUACCAAAUACUAUUGUUUCAGAUCGUGAUAUUAAAUUUCUUACCCACUUUUGGAGAUGUUUAUGGGCUAAGUUGGGGACUAAACUGCUUUUCAGUACUACUUGUCACCCCCAAACUGAUGGACAAACUGAAGUAGUCAAUAGAACAUUGUGUACUAUGCUUAGGGCUGUUUUGAAGAAUAAUAAGAAAAUGUGGGAAGAUGCCUCAUAUUGAAUUUGCUUAUAAUCGUACAUUGCAUUCUACUACUAAGAUGUGCCCUUUUGAAAUUUUGUAUGGUUUCCUACCUCGUGCACCUAUUGAUUUGUUGCCUCUUCCAUCUUCGGAGAAGGUUAAUUUUGAUGCUAAACUUGCUGAAUUGAUUUUAAAAAUGCAUGAGUUAACUAAGGAAAACAUUGAGCGUAUGAAUGCUAAAUAUAAACUUGCUGGAGAUAAGGGUAGAAAACAUGUUGUGUUUGCACCUGGAGAUCUUGUUUGGUUACAUUUGCGUAAGGAUAGAUUUCCUGAUUUGUGCAAAUCAAAGCUAAUGCCACGUGCUGAUGGUCCUUUUAAGGUGUUAGAGAAAAUAAAUGAUAAUGCAUAUAAACUUGAGCUGCCUGCAGAUUUUGGGGUUAGUCCCACUUUUAACAUUGCAGAUUUGAAGCCUUAUUUGGGUGAGGGAGAUGAGCUUCCGUCGAGGACGACUUCAUUUCAAGAAGGGGAGGAUGAUGAGGACAUCAAUACCAUUGUUACACACAUAGCCCCUGCUGCUAUACAUACUGGACCAAUUACUAGAGCUUGCGCACGCCAAUUAAAUUACCAGGUACUUUCGUUUCUUGGUAAUGAUUCUAAUGUUCAUGAGAAUAUGAUGCUGCCUAAAUUGGAUACAUUUGUUUUGCUUACAAAUGAAGGGCCUAGCUUGGAGAAGGAUGAACAUUGGAGGAAGAACAAGCAUGGAGGGGAACAAGAACGGAGUUACAAGCGAUGAUUUCAGGACCUUGAAGCCACCAUAAGGAGUGAAUGAAGCCUUGGACGAAAUAUACAAGAUGCCACUUCAUAAAUUUCGUCCAGAGGCUAUUCUAGGUGCACCGUCACCUUAUUAUUGGGCCAGGCCCAUGUAAUUUCGAAAUACAUAAGUAUAGGCUGUUUUUAGAGUCCGUAUGUGUGGGAAACAAGAGAUUGGGUUGGUUUCGGACCCCUUCCCCGAGGGCCACGAAAUUCCCCCCUCUUCCUCCAUAUAUACAACCCUUAGGGCACCAUUUAGACUUUGGGUUUUGUUUAGAUUAAAAGUUCGCCAUGGCUGCAACUUCGCGUACUUCGUUUGUGUUCAACGACCAGACAAAGGCGUCACAGAACCCCACCUUGAUCAAUAAAGCUUUCCUCUUAUAUUCGCAAUAUCCAGAUUGCAAUCUUAGUUUCUUGCUUGUUCUUCGUUUGCCUGCAGGAAACAGACCUUCAUGGUCAGGUUGAUCGUGCUCCGGCGUGGUCAAUAACCUCUCGGAGUUGGUUUAGCGAUUGCUAAGGCGUGACGUCCACACACGUUCGUAGUCGGUUCGUCAAAGUCGACUUCCUCCAAAACGAUAGCCACCAUCUCAUCGAAAGACGGGACACCUUUGCCUCUAUCAGGCCCUUCAUUUGUAAGCAAAACAAAUGUAUCCAAUUUAGGCAGCAUCAUAUUCUCAUGAACAUUAGAAUCAUUCCCAAGAAACGAAAGUACCUGGUAAUUUAAUUGGCGUGCGCGAGCUCUAGUAAUCGGUCCAGUAUGUAUAGUAGCAGGGGUUGUGGGUGUAACAAUGGUAUUGAUGUCCUCAUCAUCCUCCCCUUCUUGAAAUGAAGUCGUCCUCGACGGAAGCUCAUCUUCCUCACCCAAAUAAGGCUUCAAAUCUGCAAUGUUAAAAGUGGGACUAACCCCAAAAUCUGCAGGCAACUCAAGUGUAUAUGCAUUAUCAUUUAGUUUCUCUAACACCUUAAAAGGACCAUCAGCACGUGGCAUUAGCUUUGAUUUGCGCAAAUUAGGAAACCUAUCUGUACGCAAAUGUAACCAAACAAGAUCUCCAGGUGCAAAGACAACAUGUUUUCUACCCUUAUCUCCAGCAAGUUUAUAUUUAGCAUUCAUACGCUCAAUGUUUUCCUUAGUUAACUCAUGCAUUUUUAAGAUCAAUUCAUCACGUUGUUUAGCAUCAAAAUUAACCUUCUCCGAAGAUGGAAGAGCCAACAAAUCAAUGGGUGCACGAGGUAGGAAACCAUACACAAUUUCAAAAGGGCACAUCUUAGUAGUAGAAUGCAACGGACGAUUAUAAGCAAAUUCAAUAUGAGGCAAGCAUUCUUCCCACAUUUUCUUAUUAAUCUUCAAAACAGCCCUAAGCAUAGUAGACAAUGUUCUAUUGACUACUUCAGUUUGACCAUCAGUUUGGGGGUGACAAGUAGUACUAAAAAGAAGUUUAGUCCCCAACUUAGCCCAUAAACAUCUCCAAAAGUGACUAAGAAAUUUAGUAUAACGAUCUGAUAAAUAUUGUCUACUAUAGACCAUGCAAGGGAAUAAUUUCACGAAAGAACAAAUCAGCAACAUUAACAGCAUCAUCGCUUUUAUGACAUGGUAUAAAGUUUGUCAUUUUCGAGAACCUAUCCACGACAACAAAUAUGCUAUCCCUCCCCUUCUUUGUUCGAGGUAAACCUAAAACAAAGUCCAUAGAUAUAUCCUCCCAAGGAACACUAGGUACAGGCAAAGGCAUAUAUAAACCAUGAGGAUUGAGUCGUGACUUAGCUUUUUGACAUGUGAGCGAGCAACAAAACGCUCAACAUCCCGUCUCAUCUUUGGCCAAAAGAAAUGUGUAGCAAGUAUAUCCUCCGUCUUCUUCACGCCAAAGUGUCCCAUUAGUCCUCCUCCAUGCGCCUCCUGCAACAACAAAAGACGAACGGAGCUAGCUGGAAUGCAUAGCUUGUUAGCACGAAACACAAAUCCAUCGUUAACGACGAACUUGUUCCAUGUUCUACCUUCUUUACAAUUCUGCAAUACAUCUUUAAAUUCAGCAUCAUGCACAUAUUGAUCUUUGAUGGUCUCCAAACCAAAUAUCUGAAAGUCAAGUUGUGAAAGCAUAGUGUAACGACGAGACAAUGCAUCAGCAGUAACAUUUUCUUUACCCUUCUUGUGUUUAAUGAGAUAAGGGAAAGUCUCAAUGAAUUCAACCCAUUUAGCAUGUCUACGGUUCAGUUUUGCUUGACUUUUAAUGUGUUUCAAAGAUUCAUGAUCAGAAUGUAUAACAAAUUAUUUGGGCCAUAAAUAAUGUUGCCAUGUUUCUAAAGUCCGAACAAGAGUAUAUAAUUCUUUAUCAUAAGUAGAAUAGUUCAGACUAGGCCCACUCAAUUUUUCAGAAAAGUAUGCAACAGGUUUGCCAUCUUGUAAUAACACACCUCCUAAUCCAAUUCCACUAGCAUCACAUUCAAGCUCAAAAGUCUUAUUAAAAUCAGGAAGUUGGAGUAAAGGAGCAUGUGUCAACUUAUCUUUCAAUACCGUGAAGGCUUCUUCCUGUGCGGUACCCCAAACAAAAGGCACAUCCUUCUUUGUAAGCUUGUUGAGAGGUGCAGCAAUGGUGCUAAAAUCUCUCACAAAACGCCUAUAGAAACCAGCGAGUCCAAGAAAACUCCGCACUUGUGUGACUGUUUUGGGCUGCGGCCCACUCUCAAUAGCUUCUAUCUUGUCUUUAUCAACUUCAAUUCCCUGUGGAGUAACAACAUAGCCAAGAAAAGAUACUCGGUCGGUGCAAAAGGUGCACUUCCCAAGGUUACCAAACAAACGUGCAUCACGUAGAGCAAUAAAAACAGCACGUAAAUGUUCCAAAUGUUCUUCCAAAGAUUUGCUAUAAAUCAGUAUAUCAUCAAAAUAGACUACCACAAAUCGUCCAAUGAAAGCACGUAAAACUUCGUUCAUUAGUCUCAUGAAAGUAGUAGGUGCACUAGUUAACCCAAAAGGCAUGACUAACCACUCAUAUAAACCAAACUUAGUUUUAAAUGCUGUUUUCCAUUCAUCUCCCAAUUUCAUACGAAUUUGAUGGUAUCCACUACGCAAAUCAACUUUGGAGAAUAUUGUAGAGCCACUCAAUUCAUCAAGCAUAUCAUCUAGCCUAGGAAUAGGAUGACGAUAACAAAUAGUAAUAUUAUUAAUGCCUCUACAAUCAACACACAUACGUGACGUACCAUCCUUUUUAGGCACAAGUAUAAUAGGAACAGCACAAGGACUAAGAGAUUCGCGUAUAUAACCUUUGUCGAGCAGCUCCUGUACUUGACGCAUAAUCUCCUUUGUCUCCUCUGGAUUGGUACGGUAUGGUGCACGGUUGGGUAGCGAUGCACCGGGAAUUAAGUCAAUUUGAUGCUCAAUCCCUCGAAUAGGUGGUAAUCCCGGUGGCACGUCUUGUGGGAAGACGUCAGCGAACUCCUGCAAAAUGUUAGUGACUGCAGGGGGCAAAGAGGAAGGCACGUCCUCGAAUGAAAAUAAUGCCUCUUUGCACACGAAAGCAUAGCAAACAGAUUUGCUGAAAUCUAGCUCAUCAAUAUCAGAUUUUGUGGCAAGUAAACAUGCACUUUUCAAUUUAAUUUCAGAAACAACACUAGAUGGUUUAUUAUUAGGUUUCAUUUGUUGCUCAAAUUCAUUUGCCACAAUCUGAUUUUCACUCUUAUUUUUCUCCUGUUUUGCUUUAUUAGCUCUAUUAAUGUCAUCUUUCAAAAUGGAAUCAGGAGUCAUAGGAAGCAAAGUAAUAUUUUUAUCCUUAUGAACAAGAGUAUACUGAUUGUUUCUACCAUGGUGUACAGAAUUUUUAUCAAAUUGCCAAGGUCUACCUAGUAAUAAGGAACAUGCUUGCAUGGGUACCACAUCACAAUCAACAUAAUCAGCAUAUGUAGAGAUACUAAAAUGCACCCGAACAGUACGUGUUACCUUAACCUUGCCGCUGUUGUUGAACCAUUGGAUGUAGUAAGGAUGUGGAUGUGGUCUUGUGGUGAGAGAUAGCUUCUCCACCAUGUCCAUGCUAGCCAAGUUGUUACAGCUCCCUCCAUCUAUGAUGACGCGAACAGAACGUUCCUUCACAACUCCCUUUGUAUGGAACAAAUUAUGCCUCUGAUUUUGCUCUGCUUGUGUAACCUGCACACUCAAAACACGUUGAGCAACUAAACACUCAUACCUGUCAGCAUCUUCAGGAGCCAUGUAUUGCGUCUCAUUUUCAGAAUCAUCUUCACCAUGUUCUUCACGGGUAAUAAGAGCCAAAGUCUCCUCAUCAUAGUCACUAGCGGACUCAUACCCACCAUCCUCAGUAGCAAUCAUCACACGCUGAGAUUUGCAUUCUCUCGCAAAAUGUCCUCUUCCCUUACAACGACGACAAAUAAUAUCACUUGUGUGCCCUGUUGACGCCAUGGAAGAAGAAGAGCUCUGUGCAGGCCCGACAGGUGUGCUCUUGGCAGAUAGUGGUGGUUGUGCCUGCUUUCUUGUAUCACGGUUGGAGGUGGCACCUGAAGGAGGUGAUGGUGCAGUGGAAGUAGAUGAUGCACGUGGUGUCCAUGAUGAAGGUCGACCUGCAGAAAAGUUAGUUCGCGUCAAUGCCUGUCGAUCCUGCACUUCACGUUCAGCUUUACAAGCAAGAUGGAAUAAACGAGUGAUAUUAUUAUAAUCUUUAUACUCUAGAAUGGUCUGAAUCUCUCUAUUUAAUCCACCCAUAAAACGUGCAAGCAUAGCUUCAUUCUCCUCAACAAUACCACAUCUAAUCAAGCCAGUUUGUAAUUCCUGAUAAUAUUCUUCUACAUAAUUUUUUCCUUGUCUUAAGCGCUGCAAUUUUUGAAGUAAUUCACGUUGAUAAUAUGGUGGAACCCAACGAGUACGCAUAGCAGUUUUCAAAGCAGCCCAAGUAGCUGGAACAAGAUAUAAUCUACAAUGUUCAGACCACCAAACACAUGCAAAGCUAGUGAAAGCACAAACAGUAGCAGGAACACGUCUCUCCUUAGGAUAUUGUAAACAUGUAAAUCGUUGUUCAGUUUCUAACUCCCAAGUAAGAUAUAUAUCAGGAACAUAUCUACCCUCAAAUGGUGGAAUAUUCAAUUUCAGUUUAGGGAGAUGGUCAUGAUCUCGUACCUGAGGGGGAGCCCUAACAUUGCCAUUAUUUGCGUGUGGACGACCUGGUGGUUGUGGUGCUGGUGGUUGCACGUAGUUCUGAUUUUGAUCAACCUCAUCCUCGUAAUCUCCCGCAUAAUCAUCGUCCUCCACAUCAGCAGCAGGAGCCAUAGAAGUAUCAACAGCAGCACCAGAAGUUUGGCCAGGCUGAAGAGGGACAUGACUCGCUCGGCGGAGGGCUGUUUCCCGACGUGGAGGUACUCGUUGUUGUUGUUGCAGAGGUGCGGCAGGUGCGGCCGAUGGUGGAAGACGCGCAAGCAGUUCAUUAAAUCUGUUAUCAAGCUUUGUUUCGAACGUCUUCUCAAGGCCAGUGAUCUUCUCCAUGGCCUCUUCAAAAUUGUUUAGCACAUCUUGCACCUGUUCAGUCAUCAUUUGCUGAAACUUAUCAUGAAGCUCCUUGUUCAUUAAAUUCUCCCAGUCAAUCUUGUCGGCUUGUGAUCCUGGCAUGGUUAGCAGUAAUAGAAACACACAAGAAUAUGAUCCUAUAGACUACUAACAAGUGGUGGUGGUGGGUGUCACAAAUCCGUCAAGCAAAUCUCAAAUUCUUACCAGUUCUUACCCAGCAGCAGGCAGUGAUCGGCAACCGAUGUAGUCAAAACUCUCAAAGCUUGGAUUACCAGGGAGAGUCAAACGCACGAUGUAGAUGUAUGUGGAGCUGGGAAGGCUUAUAAUAUGGUAGCAAAAAGGGUCGGCAAUAAUCAAUUCAGAGAUGCAAAGUUGAAUAAACGCUCAACGAUGGUACUGUGCUGGUCCUAGGCUAGACCGCACCAGAGACGCGAGCCUAGAACACUAACAAAGUCACGGCGCUGCACGUAAACAAGGGAGGAGCACACUCUGAUUUUUUUUCUUUUUUCACUUUUUUCUGCACUUUUUUUCCUCUUUUUUUUGCUCCGCAACAAUUUUUUUUCGAAAAAGUCUACAAAUGUCCUAAAAACUGCCUAGCCAGAUUUUUUUUAAACUAGAACUAUUUUUCUUCUGCGGAUGGCUCGGAAGUUGGGGAGUCCUACUCUGUCACGAUUCGGAGUAUAGCGUGAUCUGGAAAUCGAGAACAAAGCAAUAAUUACUAGACUCGGACUAGGACUGGUGGCGGAGAGGAAUCUGGUGGAAACUCGGACUGGUGGCGGAUAUUUGCAGGGCGAUGGAACACGGACUGGUGGCGAAUCUGUGAUGGAGGUGGACUCGGAUUAGUGUGAUGGCGGUGGAUAUGUGGUAUAUGGUAGCCGCGAUGACGAUGGUGGUAUAUGGCAGCGGUGAUGACGAUGGUGCGGCGGCGGCGUGACAACUUGUGAACAGAACUCGAAACUCUAAAGUACUAGACGCUAGGACCAGCAACUUGACACGACGAUGCAACCGCAAAUUCAACAAAGCAAAUACAGAAAAUAUUAUGCAAAGGCUCAGAUUGGUUCGGAUAAGAUGAACUAACCCUAAUAUUUUUUUUGGCUUUUUCGUGGACUAUAGGUAUGAAGAACAGACUCGAUCUAAACUACGAAAAACUGUAAAAUCUCACCGAGCAACCUGAAAAUCUGAUACCACUUGAUAGAGGCAAAGGUGUCCCGUCUUUCGAUGAGAUGGUGGCUAUCGUUUUGGAGGAAGUCGACUUUGACGAACCGACGACGAACGUGCGAGGACGUCGCGCCUUAGCAAUCGCUAAACCAACUCCGAGAGGUUAUUGACCACGCUGGAGCACGAUCAACCUGACCACGAAGGUCUGUUUCCUGCAGGCAAACGAAGAACAAGCAAGAAACUAAGAUUGCAAUCUGGAUAUUGCGAAUAUAAGAGGAAAGCUUUAUUGAUCAAGGUGGGGUUCUGUGACGCCUUUGUCUGGUCGUUGAACACAAACGAAGUACGCGAAGUUGCAGCUAUGGCGAACUUUUAAUCUAAACAAAACCCGAAGUCUAAACGGUGCUCUAAGGGUUGUAUAUAUGGAGGAAGAGGGGGGGAAUUUCGUGGCCCUCGGGGAAGGGGUCCGAAACCAACCCUAUCUCUUGUUUCCCCACACAUACGGACUCUAAAAACAGCCUAUACUUAUGUAUUUCGAAAUUACAUGGGGCUGGCCCAAUAAUAAGGUGACGCUGCACCUAGAAUAGCCUCUGGACGAAAUUUAUGAAGUGGCAUCUUGUAUAUUUCGUCCAAGGCUUCAUUCACUCCUUAUGGUAGCUUCAAAGUCCUGAAAUCAUCACUUGUAACUCCGUUCUUGUUCCCCUUGCGCAUGCCAUCAACUCCAUGCUUGUUCUUGCUCCAAUGUUCAUCCUUCUCCAAGCUAGGCCCUUCAUUUGUAAGCAAAACAAAUGUAUCUAAUUUAGGCAGCAUCAUAUUCUCAUGAACAUUAGAAUCAUUACAAAGAAACGAAAGUGCCUGGUAAUUUAAUUGGCGUGCACGAGCUCUAGUAAUCGGUCCAGUAUGUAUAGUAGCAGGGGUUGUGGGUGUAACAAUGGUAUUGAUGUCCUCAUCAGGGCUUAGCUUCGAGAAGGAUGAACAUUGGAGCAAGAACAAGCAUGGAGUUGAUGGCAUGCGCAAGGGAGACAAGAACAGAGUUUCAAGUGAUGAUUUCAGGACUUUGAAGCCACCAAAAUGAGUGCAUGAAGCCUUGGACGAAAUAUACAAGAUGCCACUUCAUAAUUUUCGUCCAGAGGCUAUUCUAGGUGCUGAUUCACCUUAUUUUGGGCCAGGCCCAUGUAAUUUCGAAAUAGGUCAAUAUAGGCUGUUUUUAGAGUCCGUAUGUGUGGGGAAACAAGAGUUAGGGUGGGUUUCGGACCCCUCCUCCAAGGGCCACGAAAUUCCCCGCCUCUUCCUCCAUAUAUACAGCCACUACGGCAUUGUUUAGACUUUGGGUUUUGUUUAGAUUAAAAGUUCGCCAUAGCCGCAACUUCGCGUACCUCGUUUGUGUUCAACGACCAGACAAAGGCGUCACAGAACCCCACCUUGAUCAAUAAAGCUUUCCUCUUAUAAUCGCAAUAUCCAGAUUGCAAUCUUAGUUUCUUGCUUGUUCUUCAUUUGCCUGCAGGAAACAGACCUUCGUGGUCAGGUUGAUCGUGCUCCGGCGUGGUCAAUAACCUCUCGGAGUUGGUUUAGCGAUUGCUAAGGCGCGACGUCCUCGCACGUUCGUAGUCGGAUCGUCAAAGUCGACUUCCUCCAAAACGAUAGCCACCAUCUCAUCGAAAGAUGGGACACCUUUGCCUCUAUCAUCAGCUCCGUAGACGAGGAAGAAUGGAGUCUCGCCGGUCGGCUAGGUUGCGGUGGUGCGUAUGGACCACAUUACGGACUAGAGCUCGUCCAGCCAGCCGCUGGCGCAGGCUUCGAGCUUCUUCUUGAAAGUCCUUGCUUUGAGGCCCCUCAGGACCUCUGCGUUUGCGCGCUCAGCUUGGCCGUUGCUCCUGGGGUGUGCCACUUAGGCAUAACAUAUCUGCGUUCCAAGAUUAGCACAAUAUGUUUUGAAGAGAUUGCUAGUGAACUGUGAGCCGUUGUCGGUGAUGAUGCGAUUAGGGACUCCGAACCGGCUCACAAGGUCCUUGAUGAACUUGACCGCCAAGUCGGCCGGGAUGCGGACUGGCUCCACCUCCGCCCACUUGGUGAACUUGUCAGGUAGCGGUAGCCCCCAGGCGCUCGAGGGAACGGGCCCAAAAUGUCCAGCCCCCAGACCGCAAACGGAUAUGAGAGCGGGAUAGUCUAGAGGCCCUGAGCAGGCUUGUGGAUUUGCUUUGCAUGGAACUGGCAGGCUUCACAAGAUUUCACUAGCUCGGUUGCAUUGUUGAGUGCUGUGGGCCAGUAGAAUCCACUGCGGAACGCCUUGCCCACCAAUGUGCGCAAUGAUGAGUGAUGUCUGCAGUCCCCGCCGUGUAUGUCAGUUAACAGCUCGCACCCCUGCUCCCUGGCGAUGCAUUGCAAAGAAACAUUGUUUGGCCAUUUUCGGUACAGCUCACCGUCCUGGAUGAAGUAGGCUGUGGCCUGCCGAGCUACACGCUCCGUGUCUUCCUUCUUUUCCGGCAGGGUUCCCUGCAGCAGCUAUGCCUUGAAUUCUUCGGUCCAGCACCCAUCCUAAGGCUCGAGCGCGAGGAGCAGGCAUGCUCCUGAGGUCGGGCCGCAGGCUGGGGCUCCUGAGGUUGGUGGCGCGGGGAGCUCCCCUGAGGCGGCGCCGUCUCCGCAGCCGGAGGGGCCGCUGAAGGCUUGAAGAGCCGCUCCUCGAAGACGUCGUGACAGAGGCAAAGGUGUCCCGUCUUUCGAUGAGAUGAUGGAUAUCGCUUUGGUGGAAGUCGACUUUGAUGAUCCGACUACGAACGUGCGAUGACGUCGCGCCUUAGCAAUCGCUAGACCAACUCCGAGAGGUUAUUGACCACGCCGGAGCACGAUCAACCUGACCACGAGGGUUUGUUUCCUGCGAGCAAACGAAGAACAAGCAAGAAACUGAGAUUGCAAUCUGGAUAUUGCGAAUAUAAGAUGAAAGUUUUAUUGAUCAAGGUGGGGUUCUGUGACGCCUUUGUCUGGUCUUUGAACACAAACGAAGUACACGAAGUUGCAGCUAUGGUGAACUUUUAAUCUAAACAAAACCCAAAGUCUAAACGACGCCCUAAGGGUUGUAUAUAUGGAGGAAGAGGGGGGAAUUUUGUGGCCCUUGGGGAAGGGGUCCGAAACCAACCCUAUCUCUUGUUUCCCCACACAUACGGACUCUAAAAACAGCCUAUACUCAAGUAUUUCGAAAUUACAUGGGCCUGGCCAUUUAAUAAGGCGACGCAGCACCUAGAAUAGCCUCUGGACGAAAGUUAUGGAGUAGCAUCUUGUAUAUUUCGUCCAAGGCUUCAUGCACGCAUUAUGGUGGCUUCAACGUCCUGAAAUCAUCACUUGUAACUCUGUUCUUAUUCCCCAUGCGCAUGCCAUCAUCUCCAUGCUUGUUCUUGCUCCAAUGUUCAUCCUUCUCAAAGCUAGGCCCUUCAUUUGUAAGCAAAACAAAUGUAUCCAAUUUAGGCAGCAUCAUAUUCUCAUGAACAUUAGAAUCAUUACCAAGAAAUGAAAGUACCUGGUAAUUUAAUUGGCAUGCGCGAGCUCUAGUAAUUGGUCCAGUAUGUAUAGCAGCAGGGGCUGUGGGUGUAACAAUGGUAUUGAUGUCCUCAUCACGUCCGGCUCCUGGGGGAGGCGCCUGGACGCCCUUUUGGCAAUGUCGUCAGCUUCCUUGUUCGUGCCGCGAGGCACGUGCUGCAGCUCCAGGCCCAAGAAUUGUUUCUCCAUUUUGUGUACCUCCGCCAGGUAUGCCUCCAUGUGUUCAUCCUUCGACUCGUACACUUUGUUGGAGAAGUUGACGAGGAGCUGAGAGUCGCCCUUGAUGGUGAGGCACUUCACGCCCAAAGCGGCCACGGCCUUGACGACGGCGAUCAAGCCUUCGUACUCCGCGAUCUUGUUGAUCUUCUCGCCGUGUUGGAAACAGAGCUGCACGGUGUAGUAGAGCUUGUCUUGGGUGGGCGAGAUGAGCACGGCUCCAGCCCCCGCGCACUGACGUGCAAAAGCACGGUCAAAGUACAUGACCCAGUCGUCUAGUCCUUCGCUCCCUGGCAAGAGGGACCGGUCUUGUGGUGAGAGAUAGCUUCUCCACCAUCUCCAUGCUAGCCAAGUUGUUGCAGCUCCCUCCAUCUAUGAUGAUGCGAAUAGAACGUUCCUUCACAACUCCCUUUGUAUGGAACAAAUUAUGCAUCUGAUUUUGCUCAGCUUGUGUAACCUGCACACUCAAAACAUGUUGAGCAACUAAACAUUCAUACCUGUCAGCAUCUUCAGCAGCCAUGUAUUGUGUCUCAUGAUCAGAAUCAUCUCCACCGUGUUCUUGAUGUGUAAUAAGAGCCAAAGUCUCCUCAUCAUAGUCACUAGCGGACUCAUACCCACCAUCCUCAGUAGCAAUCAUCACACGCUGAGAUUUGCAUUCUCUCGCAAAAUGUCCUCUUCCCUUACAACGACGACAAAUAAUAUCACUUGUGUGCCCUGUUGAUAGAGGCGAGGGUGUCCCGAUCUUUCGAUGAGAUGAUAACUAUUGAUUUGGUGGAGUCGACUUUGACGAUCCGACUACAAACGUGCACGACAUUGCGCCUUAGCAAUCGCUAAACCAAUCUCCUGAGUUUACUGACGAUGCCGGAAGCACGAUCAGCCUGACCACGAAGGUCUAUUCCUGCAAGCAAUCAAAGAACGAGCAAGAAUAUGAUAAAGCAAUCUGAAUAUUGCGAAUAUAUAUGAAGUAUUGAUAAUGGUGGGGAUCCGUAAGCGGUCUUGGUCUGGUCGUUGGACACAAACGAAGUACACGAAGUUGUAAUGGCUAACUAAACAAAUCCCAAGGAAAAAGCUACUAGAUGGAUCUACUUAUAUAGGAGCAAGGGGUGGCGACCAAGGAGGUGGGAGGAUGUCCCAAGGCAGCCUAAAACCAACCCUAGGUCGUACAAGGCUCAUGGGCCCAAGUGGAGGUGAUGCAACACCUUUGGACUUGUAGUUUGACUCGGAUUCUAGUGCAACGUCAGAUUGUUUCGACCAUAACUCAAUGCUCCGGACGAAUUUAAAGGUGAAUCCAAUUGGGUUGGAAAGACCACGAAAUCUAGUUUCCAACAAAAAAAGAAUCACCCAAUUCGGAGUCCGUAUGAAAAAGUUGUUGGCGUUUUGAGUCAGGUAUGUCUGUGCAGUCCGAAUCUGAAUCCAGAACGUGAGAGACUUGGACUCUAUCUUCUCUUGGCCCAAAAGUGACGUGAGAGGACUUUUUGAACAUAACCUAAACUUCUCCUUUUGCCUUAUCUUCAUAUGUGGAUUGUACAAAUGUCUCAUACACCUGCAAUUAGACAAAACACAAAAGUGUGUGAAGUAUUUUUGUUCUGGAUAACAUAAAUAGAUUAUUGAAUAGUUUGCACUAGAAAUCACCUGACAAAUAUGCAUGUAUGCAAUAUUUUUGGUCGUAUCCAAGGUAGUCAUGUCCUCAUCAUCCUCCCCUUCUUGAAAACAAAGCCGUCCUCGGCGUUGCUUAAUCUGAAAUGUGGCUAACAAAAGAGACAAGGUGUACAUGUUGUAUAUGUAUAUGUCAUCCAUUUUUACUUCCCGUGGAUUUUGCACAUAUGACAAAUGUAUACAUGAGUAACUUUCAUAGUUAAUAAAAUUUAAAGCCAAAAUAUUAUCACAAGAAGUAGAAGGCAUGAAAGUAUUGCAACUCAGUUUGCACAUAUAAGUGAAGCUCUUAUUCAUACGAAAAGAUUGACAAUAUUCAUCAUUAAACCAUCCCAACAUUGAUGAACCAUCACCAAGAUUAGAGGUCAUAUCAAAAUGAUUAAACAUUGGCACAAUUAUUUUCAAACAUAUUUGAUCCAAAUCUGAUUUAUUCCCUGAUUCAGUUGAUUCUUUUGCAUCGAUAGUUAAUUCAAUGGGCUCACUCAAAAUUGUUUGAUCACAUGGCAAAGUCAAAUCAUCAACAUAGUCCUCUAAGGUAGCUGGUGUGAUCAAAGUAGUGGGUAGCUCACCGCAUGGUGCACUUAAAUUGACAAGACAUUCAUCAUACUCAUGUGGAAGUGGAAGAUUAGUACCUUUGUCAUUACCUCUUAUGAUCAACUCAGAUGAUGUAGGCACUCUCGGUGAUGAUGUGUCACAUGGUGGAGGUGAUGUAGUCCUCACAACAACGGAUGUGGUUGUCAUAGUAUGCUUAGUAGUUGAAGGGACAACCGUAUCAACUCUUGGAAUGUGCAUCUCGCGCUUGUUCUCCUUGUGCGCAACACGUCGUUUUAUUUCCUGUUCAGCUUUGCAAGCAAGAUGAAACAAAUGGUCCAUAGGAUAACACUCUUCAUGAAUUAGUAUCUCCUGAAUGUCACGAUUUAAUCCUCCCCAAAAUCUAUCCAUAAAAUCUUCUUCACUUUCUUCUAAAGAGGAAUGCAGCAAGGUAGUUUGUAAAGUAUCAUAAUAUUUCGUUACGGUGUCACUACCUUGUUUUAAAUGUUGCAACUUUGUAAUCAUGUCACGAGUAUAAUAAGCGGGAACGAAUGUAUGUCGCAUGGCAAGUUUCAAAUCAUCCCAAGUAGUAGGUAUAUCAUUAGGGUGUAACCGACAAUAUUCAUUCCACCAAACUACAGCAUAACCAGUGAAAGAACCAACCGCAACCUUAACUUUUUUACGUACAUCAAAAUUAUUGGAAGAAAAUUUAUUAUUUAGGUCAAACUCCCAUUCAAUAUAUAAAGCAGGUCUAAAACGGCCAUUAAAUGGUGGUAUAGAAACAUUAACCUGAUCAUGUGCAUUUGGAUGUUUGUGCACCUCUCGUGACGGUUGUGGUAUUUGCAUAGGUGAUGGCACAUCUCCCACGAUCGACAAACCCCAUGAAUUGACUCUAGAUCCUGUCAUGAUUAGUAGAAACAAGAAACAAAAUUGAAGAAUAAUGUUCCUAUGAACUACUAGGAUGUGGUGGUAAAGCGCUCACAGUAAAGCAAAUAUCAAUAUCUUACAAGUUCUUACCAAGCAGCAGGUGGUGACAGGCAACCAGCGGUGCCAAAUAACUCAAAAGAUUGAGUAAAGCGAUUGCCAGGGGAACGUACGUAUACACGGUGUAGAAAUAUGUGGAGUUGGGUUGGCUAUAUAUGGUAGCAAAAUAUUAGCAAUAAUCAAUUCAGAGAUGCAAUGUUGAAUAAACGCUCAACGACGGUACUGUGCUGGUCCUAGGCUAGACCGGACUAGAGACGCGAGCCUAGAACACUAAUGAGGUCACGGCGUAGCACAACUAGCAUCAAUGAAGGAUACUAAGUAGCUCUGGACAGCAAGAUAUAAGUGAAGAUCACAACGGCAGUAAAGAUAAUGAUGAAAAACAACUGCCAAGUAGGAUAUACAACAACUCUCUCCAACUUUCCUCUUGAAAAGUUUGUGCCAAUUUUCUGAUUUUUUUUUCAAAGAAUGCUACUAACUCAAGCUUUCCAAUGCAAAAAGAAUCACUCAAUUCCGAGUUGAUAUGAGGAGUCAAAGAAUUCUAAAACUGGCUUGAAAAACUGGAAUAAGCUGUGUCCGCGAACUUCGGAGGGCAAAAAGACCUAUUUAGAAGACGAUUUUGAGGUGUCAAAUAUUGAACAUGUCUCUGCAACUAUUUAGAUGCGGCUCGUCGCUAGCUCUCAUUUGAGUACUCGCGGAGUCAAAACGGACUUCAUAUGAGGAAGUUAUGCCUGUUUUACUAAACAGUGCACAAAACAGAUUCCAAUCCGAAUUCAACUACGAGAUCGAGUCUAGAUAGAUCCGAAUUUUGUUUUUUUUCUUCUCUUUUUUUUUCCUCACACUUUUUUUCUUUCUCUUUUUUUCUGACUUCUUUUUCUUUCUUUUUUCUCUCUUUUUUUUCUCUAUCUUUUUUUCUCUCCCUCUUUCCAAGACAAACUAGAUAAGAUGCAGAUUGGAUCAAGCGAAGAUGUGAACGACCUCAACUAUGAUUGUGACAAUGAACUAUGGGUAGCACGUGGUGGAAUUUGAUGGAUGGUGUGGUGGACAGCGGAAGGGAUAACGAUGCAGCGGCGACGUGACUAAUGUGAACAGAACUCGAAACUCUAACGAACUAGACCCUAAGACCAGCAACUCGACACGACGAUGCAACCGAUAAUUCAAUAAUGCAAACAAUGAAUAGAAAAUUGCAAAGGCUCAGACUGGCUUGGACAAAAGGAUGAAUAGAUCUAACUUUUUUGUGGCUUUUUCUUGGACAAUAGGUAAGAAAAUAAAUCUAAUCUAGGGGAAGCUGGAAAUUCUCACCGAG